AAAAUUUAUAAAAAUUACAUAAUUUUUAGUAAAAAUAUAAAAAUUAAUGUGAUAAGUAAAAAAAUUAAUGACUCUUAAAUAAAGUGGGUAUAAGAUGUAUAUCUUAGAACCUCUUAUCCAGACUGUAUGGGCACAAGUGAAAUUUUCAUUAUUUUAUUUUAUUUUAUUUUAUUUUAUGACAGUUUAAUUCAAAUUCUAACAGCAUACCCCUUCAUUGUACAAUGUUUUUUUACCACAAUAAUUUUUAGGGGCAAUUGCCUAUAUAUCUUUGAAAAGUUUUCGAUUUUUUUAUUUACCUCUAUUAGAAAGCUAAUAUUGAAAAUACCCUUCUUGUGUUCUAAGUUCUUUCUAAUAUAUCCCUAGAGUUAAAUUCCGUUAGUGAGGUGUUAACAAUUAUCGUUAUCUCUAAAAAUUACCAUUUUGCCCAUUCCAAUAUUCCCUUAUACCGUAACUAACUUUUCUUACAUAUCCUUCAUCUAGUAAAUACUUUUCUUAUUUGCACUUCAAAUAUCAAUUAAUUAAUUAAGCACGUGGGAGCGAGUAGAUGAACGGAUAAGAUCGAUCACAGCUAAACCAACCUUGGUGGCUGGAGGCAUAGUUAGUUAAUUCGGAUUCGGCGAAAAUUCGGUACGGAUAUAAUUCAGAUAAAAUUCGUCUUUUAAUUUUUAAAUUCUUUGAAAAAUACGGUUAAAAAACGGAUUCGGCAAUUAUUCGGAUACGUGAUUUAUACGGGUAUUAUAUGUUCACCAAUUAAAAAUUCGAGAUAAAAAAUUCGGCUAUAUAAUAAAUAUAUAAUAAUUAUUAUACUAUAUAUAUUAUUAUUAUAAUUUUUAUAUAUAGAUUAAAUAUAUUUAAAAUUAUAAUAAAUAUAUAUUAAUAAGAAUUGGGCUCUUAUGCUUUUAAAAGUACCAAAUCAUUGGUGCUUGUAAAUUUUUGGCCCUUGAAUUAAAGCAUAUGCGAUCACUAGGCAAAUGAUAUCGAAAAAUAAUAAAAUUGAGUGGGUGCUAGGUACUCCAAAUAAAAUUUAUUUUCUAGGUACUCCAAAUACUCUAGAUUAAGUUUAACGGAGCCGAUCGACGAUUCGAAAGACACAACAUCGAAAACAAGCUAGAAGCACGGAAGGCUCCGUGCUUCCGAUAGCAUCGUAGCCUCACUCUCUCUCUCUCUCUCUCUCUCUAUAUAUAUAUAUAUAUAUAUAUAUAUAUAUAUAUAUAAUGAGAGGGAGGUCCACAGGGAGGUCCACCGUGGACCUCCCUCUCCGGUCCACGAGGCCAAACUAGCCUCGUGGACCGCGCAUAAUCUCUGCUCCCCUCCGCGAGCAACACCGCGCCCUCUUGCUCCCGGCACGCGGACGGCCUCGGGCGGACGGCAUGUGGACGGCCUCAGGCGAGAUUGGGUCGUCGCUGCGGCNCUCCGCCUGCUCCUCCGCCUUCUCCUCCUUCCUCCUCGGCAGCGGCCUCGCCUCCCCCUCCCUCUUCAACGGCUCCUGCGACCUCUCCUCCUCCUCCUCCUCCACCGGCGGCGGCGGAGACCUCGCCGCGGGGGCGCGGCCGUGCCAGUACGCGUCGCUCUCGGAGCUCCGGGCCGCCGCGCCCGCGGCGCUCGACAACGCCACCGCGCUAUGCACUGGCCCCUCCGCCUCCCCCGACCUCAUUGCCGACCAGGCCGGGUGCGCCGCGUGCCAGAGCGCCGUGAUCGGCCUCGCCUUUGCCCUCCUCGGUGCCGCCGGCCCAAUCGCCGAGCUCGUCCCCUGAGGCAUGGCCGCCACCAUCGAGGUCCGGUCCCGCUCCCGGCCCUUCCUCCCCCGCUUCCGCUCCUACGCCCUCUGCAUGGUCCAGGUCCUCGAGAACGUCAACGCCCUCGGCGGAGGAGGAGGAGGACGACGACAAGAGCGGAGGCGACGGCGCUAGGCUUGAGGGUAAUGAGGCCAAGUUGGGAGAGAAAGAGAGGAUAAUUUAAGAAAAUAGUUUAAUAAGGUAGGGGCAAAAUAGAUAUUUUAAUUAGGUUUUAACUCUGGUAUAUAUUUAACCCAUAUUUAACCCGAAUUAGUUUAACAGGGAAUAACUGCAGGUGUAUUUUGGAAUAACGGUGGAACAUAUGAGUGGUAUUUUAGAAAGAAAAAAAAAAUAGGAAUAAAUCAGAUAUUUUCAAACGUAUGAGAGAUAUAUAGGCAAUUAUCCCUAAUUUUUAAAAGAGUUUUUAAUUUUUAAAAGAGCUUAGUCGUUAUAGUACGAUGUAUUUAAUUAGUAAGAUACAAAUAUAAAUUUUACACCUUAAAAUUUCUUCGCUUGUUAUAUAUUUAUGAGAGAGAGAGAGAGAGAGAGAGUAGGGCUAUUAUACUCUUACGAUUUUAGAACCCUUCGUACUCAUAAAUUGUUUUAGAUGAUGGAGUUUCCGAUUUGGCGAUCCACUCAAUUAAAUAUGAUCUAAAAUAUUUGAAACUUCUAAAACUAAAUUUCGUAAUGUUUCGAAAUCAUAAUAAAAUCUAUCAAGCGGGCAUAAAAAAAAGGUCAAAAUCGAACGACGUUCUAAAAAAGGAUAAUCGGAUUCUUCAAUUUAAGAUCAGAGUUAUUGAUCUUUAUCUAAGUAAUGAGUAGAAGUCUCUAUCAAAAAUUCAAUCUAUUCCAAUUCUUUUACACCGUUAAACUAGCAAGAAUCUUAUAGUGGCCAUUAAAAAUUGUCAAUUUUGUGAUCAUUUGUUCGUAAAGUAAAUGGUAUCGAAAAAUUAUGAAAUUUAAUUUUCAGAAGUUUUAAAUACUCUAAAUAAUAUUUAACGGUAUAGAUCGCCGAUUUGGAAGCUUUAUCAUAAAAAACGACUUAUGAGUAUGUAUGAAGGCGAUCGUCUUUAUAAAAGAAUAGUAAUCCAACUAUAUAUAUAUAUAUAUAUAUAUAUAUAUAUAUAUAUAUAUACAAAUAAAAAAUUUUUUCUUUUGCGGUGGGCCCCGCAUGGGGCUACACAUGGCAGCCACGUGGCUUGCGACCUGCAACCCUUUACUUUUUCUUUUCUUUUUUUUCUUUUUUUUUUUUGUGCUUAACUAUAAAAACACUUCCUGCAUUUUACCACGUUGAGAUGCCUCCUCUAUGAACAAAUCUGAUCGGAGGUGGUUCAUAAUUCUCCCCGUACAAUCCGAUCGGUCGGAUUUGGCAAUCCGCUCGGAAAUUAAUUCUCGAUCGAUCGCAUCACUCGUGACGAUUUUACAAUCAAAUUCGAUCAGUCGGAUUUGGUGAUUCGCCCCAGGUCGAAUUCGGCAUUCCGAAUCGGUUUUGAACCUGAGAGUUCGGGGUUUUACAUAUGAGAUCGUGCAUAUCCCUAAGUAAAACUUUUUGAGCGAAUCUUUUGAAGAGUUUUACGAGAGAAAAAUUAGGGUUUUGAGAGAGCCAUACAAAGAGGAGAGAAGAAUACAGGUUGUAGUGUUCCGAUCUAGAAGAGGAGAAUGGAGAACAUUGAUUGGAGUGGCUCGUUCAAAACGGUGUUAAGGAGUUCUUCGAUAGAAAAGUUUUUUUUUCUUGUAUUAAAGGUGAUAUCUUUGGGGCAGUGUCGGAGAAGAUAUUGUACUCUUAACUACUGCAAAAAUCUUUAUGAUUCAAUCGAGGAGGCAACUGAUAGACCCGCCAAGAUAUCAGAUAAAGAAUGUGAGAAAUUAUAUCGCAAAAUCGUUGAAAUUAUUAGAUAGCGGAUUACACGAUAGCAUUUUCCACCAUGUUUCGAUGGCGGUAAAUUAAAGCCCUAAGACUUUGGCUGAAACUGAAAAAAGAGUUUAAACGAGGGAAAGACGGCAUAGAAUAAAGUGUUCUUCAUCCACAAAUCGGCGAACUCGAAAUAUAAGGAGGGGACUUCCACGGCGAAGCCUCUAAGUAACUUUCAGAAUGUUGUGAACCAGGUAGACAAGAUGAAGAUGGUGUUGUUAGAUGAGGAACGGUCGAGAUGGGGGACGACUGAGAAUCGAAGAUCAUAGACCUGGGAGAUAUUGUGCUUAUCACAAGUUUGAGGUACGUACGAACUGGUGCUAAAGAAUAUAUUGUUCGACACGCCGCAGAUAUUCACUUACAACUAUUGUCGACAGGGUGCUAGAACAAAAAGGUUACUGCAGUGUGUUCGGCGAUGGCCAGUGGAAGCUAACCAACAAAUCAAUAGAAGCAGCCAGAGGUGCCAAGCAUUGGCUCUUUCUACUUAAUAUAGGGAAAGCUCAGCAAGUGGGGAGGUGAAAGAAGCAGGGAAACUACGCACCUCAAAGCUAUGGCAUCGACAAUUAGGACAUAUAAGCCAAAAAAAAGUAUGUCAAUUUUGGCUAAUAUAAUACUUUUUCUACUGAUAGUUGUGGAGCGAAAAGGUGUGACAGUUUGCAAUCCUUUGGGAGGAAUGUUGCCGUAAGAUUGACAGCCGCAGUUAAAUGAAUAAACUCACCAAACUUUCAGCUACAUGAUGAGCAAUCUGGCUUGAAAGAAAUAGUGUUAUUUUUAGGGGACGAGGCUCAAGCCCAACUCAAGUUCUUCGCCGUAUACAUUCAUUCCAACAGGAUUGGUUAGAACAAUGCCGUUAAUUAUAUACUCGUUGCUUAAUCCUUCUCCCUAUUCUUUCAUCCAUUUCCCCCUCUAUCUCUUUUCAUUUUUUGAUGUUUUGUUUUCUCCUUUCUUGAGGUCUUGACUGCCUUCUUUAUAUUGUCAAGUUCAUACCACUUUAUGAAUGAAGCGAAUAGCUUGCUAUCUUUUUUUUUAAAAAAAAAAAGAAAAAGAAAAAGGAAAAGGUGUGACAGUUAGUUAUCUUAUGGGUAAGCAACGAAUUUCAUUUUAGACCUUUUUUCCCCAAAAAAGAACUGGUGCUUAGAUCUUAUUCAUAAUAAUAUAUGUCAUAUGAUUGAUAAGAAGACUCUUUUAGAGUAUGUUCUUGUUUCAUAACUUUCAGUAAUAAUUAAUCACCCUCUUUUAAAAGUUUGGACAUAUGGUUUAAAAUCAAAAGAGCAGGUGCUCACGUGUUCAAGCAGUUUCACAUCUCUGCUGAGAAGGGGACUAGGAAAAAGAGCAUAUGGGCGGAUAACAGGGGUAAAUAUAGAGAGGUUCUUUUGAGAAGUAGUGUCAACAAAAGUAGUAUUAGACUGGAGAAAACAGUGCCUGAAAGAACACAAAGAACUGGGGUUGCUGAGAGGAUGAACUUGACGAUCUGCGAGAAGAUCAAGAGUUUUCGGAUUCGAGGUUAAGGGUCGAAUGAUGAUUAGAUCUGGAUAAUUACUUUUUGUCUGUGUGUUUCUGUUCUUUUGUAUAUAUAUAUUUUGUAUGUAUAUCUUCGUGACAGUAAUCGGCUGAUUCAACCGUCCUAGUUUUUUGUUUCGAGGUUAAGGGUCAAAUAGUAGUUAGAUCUUGGUGUAAUUAUUUUUGUCUAUGUGUUUCUGUUCUUUAAUCUUUUUAAUUUAAAUUUUUAUUAGCCUAAUUUUUAGGUUGAGAGUCAAACUGAUUCAAGAUUUAUUAACUUAAUUUUAUUGUUGCUUAGGUUUAUAUAUGAGUCUCGAUCUAUCAAAGAUUUACAACAUCUUUGAUAGAUGUAAGUGAGAACACACAAACAUUUUUUGAUCCAAAAAACUUCAAAAUGAUUCAAGUCUGAAUUAAACCCAAACAGCAAGCUAUAUCUUACCAGUAUCCCUUAUGCGUCUUGACACAUUUAUAAAUCUGCAAAAUAUGGGUCGUCCAACCACGUAGCUGACAUAUAUUAGGUGUGUAACAGACGACACAUAUCUGGUACAGACAGAGCAUUUAAAAAUGAAGCAUCUGUGGCUCUGCGCAUCAUAGAAUGAACUCUCAAUACAUCAAUUUGUAAUUACAUUGUACCAUUGUGACCGUACGCAUUAGUUGAUACUACGUCCUGUUCAAUUGAAUGCUAAGAACAAUUAAUUGGAAGCAAUAGAUCUUUCAGAUUUAUGAAGGUACCACACUAGAAGAUGGCAACAGUUGGUAGAAAUUAUUGGACUCUUUCCCAGAAUAGCUACACACAUAAUUCCUACAUAUCUGAACAGCAUAACUACAGAUUGUAACAAUUUAUUGAUCAUUGAAGUCUCAACUAACAUUUAGAUGGAUCAUGUAGUGCACUACUCUUUCUCAACUGCCGAUUGUGCUGUUGCCUACUCGAUAUCUUGUUAAAUCUUAAAUGGGCUCAAUAGAGGAUUGCAGAGGAAAACAAUUGCUUACUAAAUCCAAUGAAGAAAUGUAAUUAGCAAAGCACUGUAAGUGACUACCGCAAACGAAAAUAAUGAUUGUUAAAUAAAAAAAAAAAAAAAAAUCAAGUACAAUUGGCAGAGAGGAGAAUUACACAGUACCUGCUUAAUCGAGUUGGUUGAGUGGUGGGGUUGAAUUGGGGAAAGUGCUGCCCCACAAUGAAAAAUGUAGCUCAGAGGAGGGGCAAAAAAAUUUAAUGUGUGCUAAUGAUAGUUAGGUACUAACAACAGUCAGUUAACUACCGGUAAGCAAACUAUAGUAGAGAUAAACGUGCGGAAACAGAACCUUGAGGAAUAGUCGUGCAAAUAAUAACUUUAAUGGGUUUGACGAAUAUACAUACUUGAUGUGUAUGUUUGAAAAAUCUCAGGACAAAACAAGCCAAUGAUCAACAAAUAAGGAAGAAUUAAUGCCUAUGAUGCCCCUACUACAGUUCUAAUAUCGGAAUGGUGUUAUGAUCAUCCCAAUUCUUAUUUGGUUUUUCUAUUGGGUUUGGUAAUCAUAUUAGAACUAUUGUUUUGAUUCUGGGCCUAUAAAUAAGAGGCUCCCCUCUUUUACAAUCAAUGGUCAUUUAUUUUAACGAAAAAGAGUUAUUCUUAUUGACUUCUAGUAUAGGCUAAGUUAUAAGAGAAAGCCCCCUCUUCUACUUGGAGCAAAAGGGCGUUCGAUAGAAAUCCAAACAACUUAGUAUUUGAGCUAUAGUUAGGAGUAGAAGAUCCUAAAAGAUGGAUGAUUAAUAGGCAACUUUAAGAGGCUAAAGUGUUAUAGUAACAGAAGCGGAACUAUGUUAGUGAUGAAAAGAUUUAAUAGAGCAGAAUAAAAUUCUACCUUAAGCAACUUGGCAACUAUUCAACUCUUGUAUAUUAAAAUGGUAUCCAAGGUUGCAAUUCCAAUUUCACAAAUAAAAGUUCAUUUCAGUGAAGUUCGAAUUUUUAUUCUUCUGGCAGUUUCAAAUUCAUUUUCAGUCAUUUCAUCUAAAGUAAUUUUGCAAAUAUAAAAAAUAUGCAAAUAUACGGAUCAAACUUCAACAUAUUUGGAGAUAACAGUUUCUUCUUACCGCAAAAACUAUGAACUUAGAAGUGAAGAGCAAUUUGAAGAAAUGACCUUAAAUCUAAAUUUGGAUAUAAUAAUUUUACUCCUUUUUGGGCUAAAAUUUUGGAAAUUACGGAACUGUUUUUUUUUUUUUUUUUGAGAGAGAGAAAGGUAGCAUGCUACCCGCUUCGUUUAUUUUAUUUAGAAAUAAACUUAGCUGGAAAUGUGAAUCAACUAGGAUUCGAACUUGGAAAUUACGGAACUGUUAUAACACAUUACAGUUAGAUAAUCAAAUGAGCAUAAUAAUUCAUCUAAAUAGCAAAAUUAUAUUUGUCAGCUAAACAUUAAUGACAAGUAUUCAAUGUGGAAAUUUGUAAGCUAGGAUUUAAAAAAAAAAAAAAAAGUUUGUAGAUCUACAUCAAUUUGUGUAGAUCUACAUAAAUCAAUGGCAGCCAUGGAACUUAAAAGAAAAAGGAAGAAGAUUAAUUGACUUGUUAGACUAUGCUGAAUAUGCAGAGAUUUUUCAAACCAUAAAACCAAACUCUCAGUGUUUCAAAAGGCUUUAUCUGAUAAGUUCUCCACAUUGUAUACUAACUGCAUACCGCUAAAGUGUUCCAUAUAGAGGUGUCAACGAGCCGAACACGAGCGAGCUAGGGCCGGCUCAUGUUUAGCUUGUUUAUGAAACGAGCCAAUCUCGAGCUAGCUCAUUAAAGUAUCGAGCCUAAAAACUCAGCUCGUUUAUUAACGAACCGAACACGAGCUAGCUCAUGGACAACUAGUUAAAAGAUUAGAAAGAAUAUAUAUAGGAUAUAAAUUUUCGAGAUCUUAUCCAUUAGACUUUGAUCUAAUUGUUGAAAUUUUAUACAUAAAUGGACCUUUUUAUAAUUGAGUUGGGCAUUAUAUUUAGGUUGGGAUAAAAAUUAAAUAAUAAAAAUCUGUAUUUUAUAUAUAUAUAUAUAUAUAUAUAUGUAUUCGAACUGUUGUCGAGCCAAACACCAGUGAGCUGACCCUAGCUCGUGUUCGGCUCGUUUAUAAGCAAGCUAAAAAAUUCAGCUCGUAUUCGACUCGUUUACUAAACGAGCGAUUUGAUCUCGAGCUCAUUUCGAGCCAAACACGAGAUGGCUCCCGAACAGUGAGCUGGAUUGCCACCCCUAGUUCCAUAUCACAAAUGAACUGGCAAACUAUUAGAAAUAAUUUAUUACCUGCCAACAAAUUAAGUACUAUAGAGCAAAAAGUUGCUGACAUCUUACAUAAGUGUGAGCAAACUCCUAUUAACAAAGCAAGUAGUAACCAAAAUAUGCCAAAAAUUUGUAAACCAAGAUAUGUCUUCCUCUAUAAAAAAAGGUAGUGAAUCUUCUCACGUCAAACCAAGACAACAGACGGUUGAGCAACAUUGCAUCCUUCAUUUGAUAGAGUACAGCUAAACGAUUGAAAGAUAAUCACUUUGUCCAUGCAUCUUUCAAAGGUGUUUCCUAUAUAUUUGAUAAUGAUAUUACAUGUUAGUUGAUUACAUCAAUAAUAUGUUUAAUUGAAAUUCCAGAUGCCAUUCAAGGAAUAACGAUUGGUGGCCUAGUUUAGCAGUCCAUAGACGUCAUAACGCACUUUUUAAAUUACCUCAUCCUAAUUACCAACUAAACAUCUAUACAAGGAUUUGUGUUUCAUAACUGGAGAAGCUCGGUUCAUUUACCAGAUUAUGAAGAGAAGCAAAUCCAUAAUGGCCACCAAGGAGAAAAAUGGCCUCAGUAAUUGUUUGCUUAUCCUUAUGAACCUGAUGUAUACGUGUAGCGUGUCUGAGCUCCAACUAUUAGCUCUACAACCUUAGCUGCAUGAGGAAUGAAGCAAGAGUAAACCACCAUGUACUUAUAUUUUAACUCAAAGCAAUAAAAAACAACAAUAAAAGUAGUAACUAAAUGUAAAGGGUCAAGCAGAGCGAAAGCCAUACGCACCAGUGAGAAAGCCAAAUAAUGGAACUGGGCUCAAAUAUCUAUCAGCCUUUUCAAGAUGAUGCCUGAGAAUACAACAUGUUAAGAGUAAGAACAAAAACUAAUAAACAAAAGCUGUAGUAUAGAUAAGAAGAUGUGUAUAAUUACUUGGUAUACUUGGUGAAGAAUGGGUCUCUCAUGAUAUAAAGCGCCCAUAUCAGCUUUCUUCUUUUUAACUGGGACAUGCCAUAUAAUACCCAUAAUCAGCACUUCACACAAGAAGUAAAAAAAAAAGAAUCCAUCUUAAGGAAUUUAAGUGCACUUGCCUCAUCUUUUUCAGAGGUAGAGAGCUGAUAAAAUUUCACUCCGACUCUGUGAGGUCGACUAGCAGCAUGCAAUAGGAUGCUCAUACUACUGAGAUCUACAGCCAGUGACACUAACCAAGGUUUCCACGAUCUAAUCCCGUAUUUUCUUAUGAACAUCACAUAUAUAAGCGGUCUCAAGAUAGAGAGAAUCUCCCCAACAAAAAAUAAACGGCCCGAAAGCCCUUUCUCUGACCAAAUACUUGACAGCGUAGGUUUUUCUACCACCAAAGCUGAAGAAAAAUCGACAAUACAUAAAGAACUUGUGAAUUUUCAACAACACAAAGUACAAUACAGCUCAACAAUCAUAGAACUGAUUAAAAUAGGUUAAAACGUACAGAGACUACGAACUAUAGACCCGUUUGAAAUGGGUACCAGAAUCUCAAACAUACUGAUUUCAAUCACCUAACCUUUCAGUAUCUCCAAUUUCAGUGCCUCUCAGUCAUAAGAUAAUGAUAUUGUGAUUCUUUUCAAAUUAGCAGAAUUUUACAUUACUUGAUGGGAUAUUCUAUAACUAUUUCCUGACGAAACUGUUUAGUUCUGAUAAAACUUGAUUGAGAGGAACUGAAAUAAAGCAUAAGGGAAAGUUAGGUACUAAAUUCAUAAUUUAAAAUUUAGAUACUCACUUCAAAAUGCAGUAUAGUUCAGCUAGUCUUUGCAGGUUUUUCACCUCUAAAAUAUUACCAGGAGGCUCAAAAGGAUGUCGAAGUCUAUUCAACAACAUCGGGUCCAACGCCAUUUUAGCAUUCUCGCCAAACCUGCUCAGUGCAGACAUAGCUCUCCCCUCCAGAUUCUUCGGCACAAUCCCAUUAUGAUUUUUUGAAUACCCAUUUUGAUGACCAUUCCUCACAUAGCCACCAGGCCAUCCAUUAGCCCUCAUACCACCACCAUAGUCUUCGGGAACAUCUAAUAUCUUCUCCUCAUUCACCACCUCCCCUCCUUGUAGAAGCAUCCUGUACCCGCUAUCGCGGAAAGCAGCUAAUCUCACCAGUGCCCUGAAUUGCAAACAACCCCAAGUUGCCGUGUCACAAGCAAGACAAAAAAAAAAAAAAAAAAAAAAAAAAAGAACCGACGGAGCAUGUUCUACAUGCUUGUUUACCCCUACUUGUACUUCUACUUUCAGCUGCAGCCACUGAUAGCCUCUAUCAUAACAAGAAGAUGAAAUGAAAUUCUCACCUCCAAAAUGAGCGGACGAGGGGGUCUUAUAUAUAGUGCCUCCCCCUGGCAGCACUACUCGAACAGCACUUCCAUCAAACAACAAUUCAUUAUAUAACAUAACCUAAGCUCUUGCCGGGCCCAGCUUCUCAAACAGCUUUUCUGCUCGCUUUCGAUUGCGACAGCAAGCUCAAACUGAGCUUCUAGCGUCAAAAAGCAGAAAGUCUAAUUUGAAGCUUCUGAUUCAAGCUAAGGCAGAAGCUGACAGAAACUUCUUUGUGUGUCAGAUCAACAGCAAGGACAGACAGGCUGACAGACAGCCAGCCCCUAACUAACUUGAAGAUUAAUUCAUGAGGCAAGGGGUCUUACUUCACUCCCUCGGCGACGGCGAGGAAGUUCCACUUCCCCUUCUCCCCGAACAAAUGCUGAGCACCAACUUCAACCACGGUCUCCGCAUCUUUGAGAAUCGACACGAACAAAGACCACGGAAAACCCGACUUCUCGGGCUUCACCGGAAACCCCCGCCCGGGAGGCGGCGCCGUGUCAAUUAUAUGCUGGUUCACGGUUCCGACUAUGCCCAAAACCGCAUAAACUGCACCCCCCCCCCAAAAAAAAAAGAGAAAAAAAAAAGAAGAAAAAUCCAAUACAUAGCCCUCAAAAAACCACAAUUCCCACAAAAUUAUCAUUUACGAAUCUACGCGGAAAAGGUAAAUGUUACCGAAAUUUCACAGAACCUGCUUCGGGGCCGAUCUCGGAGUUGGAGAAGCGCUCGGGGAGGAGCCAAGUGAUGCCCUAAUCGAUCGAAUUCGACGAGAUUAGGAUCGGAUCGGAUCGGAUCGGAUCGGAUCGGAUCGAACCGUGCGAUUUGAGGAGAAAUUCCUAUGAGAAAGGAAAACAAAAAUCAAAAAUCGGGGGCUUACGUUGGCUAGGGAUUCGAGGGAGCGGACGAACUCCCGGUUCGUCCGCACCCAAAGCUUGUAGGCGUCCAUGGCGUUCUUCGUCGUCUUCUUCCUUCUCCUCCUAAUCCGAUUCUAGUCGCCUCCCCCAGGACAUGUAUAUAUGAUUUUUUAUUUGUUUUUUUUUUUUUUUUUUNUUUUUUUUUUUUUUUUUUUUUUUUUUGUUAACGCCGUGGGAAUAUGAGUUGGUCGGAAAGGGCAAACGCCGUUGGGAAUCUUGGGAUCAAGUUCGUGUACCGCGUCCAUGAAAGUGUACAGCUGGGAUUAAAAAUAGAGUUUUAUAAAUUUACUAAAAAUUAUAAUUUUUUAAUAUGCUUUUACUAAUAGCCCAAUUUUAAAAGUAGGAAAAGGCGCGGUGCGUGUAAUUUUUUAAUCAUAAAAUUAUCUCCAUAUUUGCACAGUAUUAGUAAAAAAAACUUUACAAGACACAUGGCGUAUAAUGCUGCGCGUUUCUUAAAGCGAUCCAACGAUUAAAAAGUCCUAAACAUGAAUGCUUCUAUGCUUUUAAAAGUGAAGGAGCUCGACUUUUAACUUUUGAUAUCUCUUCAAAAUUAUCAAUACUAUUUUUAAUACUAUAAAUUAAUAAUUUAUAUAAAAAAUAUCCUCCAUCAGGUGGAUUAUUGUGUACCUAGUUGCAUGUAAUUGUAAAUAGGGAUAAUAGCUUAUAUGUUUUUCAAAACUUAAAAAUUAUCUUAUUUAUUUUUUGAGAAUCAAGAUAUUCUUGUUGAUUUUAAAAAAUUUCGUGAAACAACCGUUGUACUCAAGCUUAAGCUGGCCUGGGCUCGAGACUUUUUAAUCGGCCUAUGACGUGGGCUUGAAUUAAAUGGGAGAAAAUUAAUAUGCUAGGAACCUAGCGUGACUCGAACUCAGGACCUCCUGCUCUGAUACCAUGUGAAACAACCGUUGUACUCUAAAAGCUUAAGCUUUUAGAUAACGGUAUUUUAAACAUUUUUAUAUUUUUUACAAAUUUCUUCAAAUAUUCUCAUUUUUCCUAGGGUUUCCUAAUGGGAUUAGAUUCUGUAAAAGUAUUUUGAUAAUUUUGAAUAAAUUUAAAAUUUUUGAAUAAUUGUAAGUGGUAAAUAAGCAAAAUCUCAUAUAAAUAAUAGCGUGGUACUAUGUGAAGGUAAUCAAUUUAUUUCCUAUUCAAAAAUUACUCUGAUUUUUAUGUAUGAUUCAAUUACAUGAAUAUCUUUUUUGUCUACUUAAAUUUAUUUAUUUUUAUUUAAUAUCAUAUGAGUCUCAUGUUGAUCUUAGUUAAUAAUUAAUUCUAAAGUUAGACUAUACUUUUCUUUGUGAAUUUAUUUUCUACUUUCUCUAAAUUAGCAUGAUUUUUUUGUUUAGUAUUCGUAUAGUUUAGUAAUUAAUUAGUUUUAUUUUAGUAUAAAUUCAUCUAUAUUAUUUCCUUUAAGCUGAUUAAAAAGGCAUAAAUAACUGAUUAUGGGCCAAAAAGAAAAGUUUAGUUUUUAGACAGAUUAUAUGAGUAUUUCUGAUAAUUUUGAAGAUUAGAAGAAUAUUUUUGAUAUUAACACUUUUAGAUGGAUUUUAUGUAAUUAAGGUUGUGCACGUGAAAUUAUCCUUUUAAUAUAUGUAUUGAGUAAAAAAAGAAAUGAACGGUGCAUAUCUAUAAUCUAUAAAUCUAUAAUCUAUCUACAAACAUAUAUUAUUUCCCAAUAAUUUUGCUGACGUGGCGCAACAUUCUUGCUUUGAGAAUUUUUUUUUCUCAUUUAGAUAGCUUGCUUACCCUCUCUCUCUAUGUAACUCCCAUGUCCCCCGUCUUCUCUUUCCCUUCCUGUGUCACUUCGUUUUCCUCCUCUUUAUAACUCCUCAUUCUUUUCCACAGCCACCAUAUUCUCUUUUUCUCUCUAUAUAACUCCUAUGUCCUUCCUUCUUCCCUUCUUCUCCCCGCGUCCCUCCGUCUUCCCCCUGCCAUGACUCUCCAUUCUUCUCUAACCACUACGAGUCUUUGCAAAAGAGAUACUACACAUCAUUUUUAAUCCAAAUCCUUACAAUGUUCAAUCGAACGAUUGAUAUAAACCGAUCAUUUCCUCAUCAAUAUAUCCAAUGGUCGAGAUCAUACGAGAUUUGUUGGCACUUUUUCCACACGCUCUCUAUAAACCCUCUCUACUUUAUCUCUCACACUCCUUUUAGGAUUUCUGCCUCUUUUGUACCCUGAAGCUAUACUCAAAGCGGCAUCAUAGAAUGAUCCCCUUCGGGAUCAACAGAGCCCUUUAGCCGAAGAGGGACUUUAUUUGCUUCGUGAAGUGGCCGAAGGUGGUGCGGAUCCAGUGGCAGAGUAGGAUUCUCAUGCAGAGGUUGAAGGCGCUCCCCACUUUGAACCAAUUCAUCAAGACCCUUGAUAAGAACCUUGCUAAACUACUAAUAUUCUUUUUUUUUGUUUUAGAGAUUUUGUUAAUAUAAUUGUAUCAUCUCUAUUGAAUUACUUGUAGUAUUUAUCCAUCACUAAUCUCUCUCUCUCUCUCUACGAAUGCUCAAGAAGUUUUGGCAAAUCUCGCCCACGGUUCAAAAUCGCCUCAAAUUGGUAGGGUUUCGCAUUAUUUUCUAUUGAUUUCGUCUUUGAUCGAUCUAAUUUUUGACUCUAUAGAUUGGAUCCUUGAGGUGGGGAACAAGGCGUCAAAUGUCGUUGGGGAGAUUCUUCACAAGUAUUUUCGCCAAAGGUUCAACAUCAUCGACAAAGAGGAUCUUAGUCUUUGGUACCCUUAUUGCUCGUCUCUGCAAGGGAGAACCCAUAAAUUUUGGACAUAUUAUGUGAUUUAUUUGUAUGUACGAUUGUUUACAUUAUUCAUGUUUCCUGUAUACUGUUUAAUUUUAAAGAUUUUAUAUCUUGCAGACGUGUAUUUAUCUUUUCUUGUAGUCUAACACUUUCUUGACCUUGAGUUUAAUUGUAUAGAUUGUUGAGUGUAUACAGAUAAAAAAUUAUUUUAGUAGUUUUUUACCAAUUCUUGCAAACUAUUUAAACUAAUGUUCUUCAUUUCAUAUUAGAGUAUUAUUUUCUAUGUAUUUGAUGAACUAUACAUUUAAGACUUAUUUCUCCAAACUAUUAUCGAUAAUCAACAAUAACUAAAAAAAAUAAUUGCUUUGAUAAUAUCUACUCGCCACAUCGUACUGGUAACUACACUAGUUAAAUAGAAAAAAGAAUAGCAUGAAUACUCCCCAUUAAAAACCAAAGCCAUUAUUCUUGAUCAAGAUAUCAAAACAUAUUUCGUAAAAAAAAUUUAACUUAUGUAGAUCAAAUCAAGUUGUUAAACUAACAAAUACAAUGAAUCAAUUGCUAAAAUAAUACAGCUAAAUAAAUUAGUAUAAGCAUUGAACUUUUAUUAAAUUGAACCUUUAAUAUCAUUAAAUAAUUUAUAGUUCUGCUAUGAUUUUUUUUAAAAAAAAAGAUUUUGAGCCCAAAUACUCUACAAAAAUUAAUUCUAGUGUUUACAUAUCUAUCUAUCUAUCUAUAUAGUGUAUCACCUGUCUAUCUAUUUUUAAUUGAUUCAAUUAAUAUAAAUAAUUAAUUAGUUAUCAGUUAUUUACACUUUAAUAAAAUUUGCAGUAUUAUUAGCCAAAAAAAGGAUUUAAAGAAGUUAAAUUUAACAAAGGCUCUUAAAGUUACAAUUUUCUUUUUCAAUUUAAUUAACGAAAUUAACUUAAUUCAAAAUACUAAAGUUAAAAGUGUCGAUCAAAAAAAUAAAAUAAUUAAAGGACCAACUUUAAUAUGGUCAAUAAUUAAAGGAUCUGCUUUUAAAGGUCCCUGUAUAUUUUCACUGAAAAUAAAAAGAAUUUUUGGGCUUUUCUUUUGGCCAAUUUGCAUAAAAAUUCAUCAAGAUUUUGUAAAAGUAGGCAGCCUUUUUAGAUUUUAUAGAUUCAGUCCGAAUUUUCAAUAAACUGACCAAAAUACUUUUAUUUCUCUUUCUCUCUCUUCACGUUCGUUUUUUUUUCUGUACGGUUCUUCCUUUCUUUCUCCUCCCACUUUCUCUCCUUUCUCAUCCUCCCCACAUCGACGUUAACUACACGCUCCUUUCUCUUACUUCACCUGUACGUCAGUCGAUACUGGCUUGAUAUAGAUAGAUUGCAAAUCCAAGUUAUGACUGUGGAUGUACCAAACGGCGAUAGCGGUUCCCAGUUUUUGAGAACAACGGAAGAGGAGACAAAGGGCGAGGAAAAUACAUAAAAAAAGAUGCAGAGGGAAAGAAAAAAUUAUAUAUAUUAUAUUAUAUAUUAUAUAUUUAUAUAUUAUAUCUGAUAUUAUAAAACAAAACACAGUAUGGUUAGGCUAGAAUACUUUUAGCUAGUAUCUAGGGUUGUGCUUACGUGGUUUUUACCAUUGUGGAGAGAUAGUGAGUUGAGAUUGACGGUGUAGUGGUGAGUAGGUUGGACAUAGUCAUUGAGUCUGCAAGACUAUAUAGUACAUUCAAAGUAUAUCCAUGCUAAAAACCUAAAGCACCUAUCGGGGGGGUGAUAUUUGAAAAUUCCUAUGCUUAACAGUACCCAAGUUAAUGAUGUCUUUAAAUAUAAUAUAUAUAUAAAUAAUAAAUAAUAUACUAUAUAAUAUAUAUAUUAUUAUAUAUACUUAUAUUAUAAUAUAUAUAUAUAAUUGAGCUCCUAUACUUUUACAAGUACCAAGUUAUUGAUGCUUGUAGAUUUUCGGUCAUUGAAUUAAGAGAAGUGGAGUUAGGAUGAUGUGGGUCUCUUAGAGUUGAGUGGGUGGUUGGUUAAAUAGUAUAAUCUAAAUGUUGAAAAUGAUUAAAAGCGUAGAUCUAGCGGUAAAAAAUUUACAAACACCAAGUGCUUGGUGCUUUUAUAAGCACCAUAGCCGGACUCUCUCUCUCUCUCUCUCUCUCUCUCUCUCUCUCUCUCUAUCUCUCUCUCUCUCUCUCUCUCUCUCUAUAUAUAUAUAUAUAGAGUCCGGCUACUAUACUCUAAGAAGUACGAUCGCCUUCGUACUCAUAAGUUGUUUUCAAUGAUAGAGCUUCCGAAUCGACGAUCCAUACCGUUAAACAUUAUUUAGAGCAUUUAAAACUUCUAAAAGUCAACUUUUAUAAUUUUUCGAUAUCAUUUACCUUACGAUCAAAAUCUCAUAAAAUUGACAAUUUUUAACGGUCGCUAUGAGAUAUUUGCUAGUUUAAUGGUGAAAAAGAAUCGGAAUAUGUUGAAUUUUUGAUAGAAAAUUCUAUUCACUACCUAAAUAAAGAUCAAUAACUCUGAUCUUAAAUUGAAGGAUCCGAUCAUCCAUUUUUAGGAUGUCAUUCGAUUUUAACCGUUCAUUUUAUACUCGCAUGAUGGACUUUAUAAUGAUUUUGAAAAAUUACGAAAUUUAUUUUCUAGAAGUUUCAAAUACGCUAGAUCAUGUUUAAUGGUGUGGAUCGUCGAUUUGAAAAAUCCAACAUCUAAAACAACUUAUGAGUACGGAGGGCUCUAUACUCAUAAGAGUAUAGCAGCCCUACUCUCUCUCUCUCUCUCUCUCUCUCUCUCUCUCUCUCUCUCUAUAUAUAUAUAUAUAUAUAUAUAGAAUUAUGCUACUAUACUAUCAAUAGUACCAAGCCUUUGGUACUAUUGAAUUUUCGGCCGUUGGAUAAAAAGAUGUGCGGUUAUGAUGAUAGUGAUCCCCGGUUAAAUUGAUAGCGGUCCUCUAGGGUUGAGUGGGUGGUUGGUUUAAUAGUAUAAUCUAACGGGUGAAAAUGAUCAAAAGGUUGAUCUAACGGUAGAAAACUAAUAGCAGGGCUACUGUGCUAUUAGGAGCACAGCAGCCCUUGUGCUUCUAACUUUCUAACCACCCAUCAAGUUUGAUGGGUGGUUAGAAUGAGAGAGGAAAGAGAUAUUGGGGAGAAAUUGGGAGUUAGAAAGUUGAUGAGUGGUUAAAAAGUUAGGAGCACAAGGGCUGCUGUGCUCCUAAUAGCACAGUAGCCCUGCUCAUAUAUAUAUAUAUAUAUAUAUAUAUAUAUAUUUUUUUGAAAAAAUCAAUAAUGUACAGUUAUGACGCUGAAGAAAAAAAAAAAAAAAACAGAAGUCGCCAGUAUUGUAGAAGAGGACAAACUUGUACUGUUUGAGAGCAAAGUUGCACUACUUGAGAAUAUAUUGCACUGUUUAAAAUAAAAUUGUGCAAUAUAAAAUAGAAAGUUGCACUAUUUUUGGACUAAAUUGCACUAGUUGACGAAGUUGCACUAUUUAAAACGAAAGUUGCACUUAGAGAGUAAAUUGUACUGUUUGAGAUAAAAUUGCAUCAUUAGAAUAAGUUUGUCUCAAAUAGUGUAACUUAGUCUUAGACAAAAUUAGAUAAUCUCCCAGCUCCUCGCCCGCGCCCACAUGCUCCCCGAGCUCCACUCCCUCCACCGCCACUUCCUCCUCCCCUCAUCCUCCUCCGCCUCCUAUGCAGUCGCCGCCGCCGUCGCCGUCAUCUCCGUCUUCGCCGUCACCUCUCUAUAGUUAGUCGCCUCUCUGCAAAUUGGCCACUUAUAUUUCUUCUUUGUUAUUUUUAUUAUUUUUAUUUUUUAUAGGAUUUGUUUUGGUUUUUAAUUAUUUGCAUAUAUAUUUUAUAUCAUCCUAGCUAGAUUUGGUAUGGUUAUAUCAAAACAUCAGAUAAUUCUAUUUAGAUCCAAUAUGUUCAUGUACAGUUGAUUUCUCUUCUAUCAUAAGAGAUUAGAAGUGUCCUUAUAUGAGUCAAAAGGUGUCCAUUGAUAUUAUUUGCAAAGAGGAUGGUCAUUUGCUUGUAAGGUGCACUAUGAAUCUCUUAUAAAAAAAAAAAAAUCGUUCUUUAGUUCUAUGCGAUGAUAAAGGUGCACUUUAUUAGGCAUCAAUCAUUCUUUAGUUCUAUGAUUGAGAUGACGGCAGCGGCGGCGGAGACGACGGCAGUGGCGGCGGAGAUGACGGCGACGACGACAGCAGUGAUGGCGAAGACGACGACGAUUUCCGUGGCAAAGACGACGGCGAUAGUUGCAGAAAAGGCGGAGGAGGACGAGGGGAGGAGAGGAGGAAGAGGUGGAGGUGAAGGAAGUGGAGCUCGAGAGCAUGUGGGUGCGGGCGAGGAGGUUGGAGAUGGUACAAUUUUGUCUGAGCCUAAGUUGAACUAUUUGAAACAAAGUUAUUCAAAAUAGUACAAUUUUGUCUUAAACAAUGGGUGCAACUUAUUCUCUAACAGUACAAUUUUUUUUCUUCUUCUCUCUUCUUUCUCUUAAACAAUGCAAUAUAGUCUCAACAGUGCAAUAAGGUCUAAAAAUAGUGCAAUUUUUAUUUUAUAUGGUAAAAUUUUGUCUCAAACAGUACAACUUAUUUUCUCAAACAGUAUAACUUUGGUUUCACACAGUGCAAUUUUGCCUUCUUCUUCUAUUUUCUUUGUUUUUAGCGGCACCAACACAUGAUGAUUUUUUUUCAAGAGAAAAUUUUUUUUUUUUUAUUUUUUUCUUUCACCCUCUAUUUCCUUUUCUAUAACCGUACCUCAUCCCUCGCCCUUUGCCAUAGUUGCCGCAUCUCUGCCCCGACGCGCUCUCCCUCCCCAUCGUCCUCAAAACUUGCGAUACUGUCUUGCCGUUGCUGUCACCAUCCACGACCAUGUAUUCUGUCAUAUCGCGAUCUGUGCUAUAUUCGAGUAGGCGUUGGCGGAGAUGGGAGCGAGAGAGGAGCGCGGCAUUGACAUCAAGGUGGUGGAGGAAGAGGAGAAAGGACAGAAAGAAGGAGGAGAAAGAGAAGAAGAAACGGCUAGGAGGAAGAAGACAAACUGUACAGAAAAAAAAAAGCAUGAAAAAAAGAAAGAGAAAGAGGAAUAAGGACAUUUUGGUCAAUUUAUUAAAAAUCCGGACCUGAUCUGUAAAAUCCAAAAAGAUGGUCUAGUUUUGCAAAAAUCCAAAAUCAAUGAAUUUUCUAUGCAACAUUUUUUUUAAAUUAAUUUUUUUUUUCUUUUUGAGUGAAUGCCCUUAGGCAAAUUUCACUUUGGCAAAUUUCAUUAAGUAGCAGAGCAUAAUAGAAAAUAUACGGGAGAUAACAUCAAGCAGUCAAUGACCUCAACACUAAGACAAAGAAAAAGAUGAAAUUGAAGGUCCCUAAACCUCAACAGUAAAAUAGAGUUUUAUAGAUUACUAUAAUAGGUUGGCACCUAAACCUUAAAACUCUAUAAUUUUUUACUCUAUUUUUUAUUAUUUGGCUUAAAUUUGGAAAAAUAAAUAAUUUGACAUAAAAAAAUCCACCACCACCUUCUCCUUGCUUUAACCACUCCCACUACCUUCUCCUUGCUCAAACCCGCCAACUCCCCACCCCUCCCACCUUCAUCAACACCCUCUAUCGUGAUGACCCUACACGAAAAAUCCACCAAUGUCUCACCUCGAAGCAAAAGAUCCUGUGGGUGGCGGCGGCGACGGCGGCCAAUGGCUAGGAAAAAUGCCGCAAUCUCAAGGAGAAGGAAGCAGUAGAGAUAGAAGAAAAGGAGUAGGAAGUCAUGCGGCAGCUGCGGCGGCGGCGGCGACGCAAGGCGCCGAGGAAGUGGAGGGGCGCAUGGUUGACGGAGUGGGAAAGCCCGUGAGAAUCGCCAGCGGGUCGAGGAGGUGGUAGUGGAAGAUGUAUGGGGAAAGAAGAAGGAGGUGGGAUGAGUUCUCUGGAAAAAAAAAAAAAAAAAAAGUGAUCUAUGCUCUUUUUUCUCCAAAAAACUUCGUUAUGAGUCUAUUACUCUCUUUAUAUUUCAAAAAGUUAUCCAACAUGUCUUUUAUAAAGUUUCAAGAAUUAUAAAAAAUAUACUGUAAUAGACUAUUACUCUGUAUUGGGUGGUACCCAAAUAGGCCCUAGAUAAUUUUAAUAAUAGUUUCUUCUUUGACCAGACUAAAUGGGAAACAUUUGCAUAAUUGUCUGACCUAAUUCUUAAAAAAUUCAAAAUGUAAACAUAGUAAACUUGUAGUGGUGAAAUCCAUACAAUAAGAAAUAUCAUAUCUUGGGCUUGAGCAGAAGCAUCUCCGGUAGCAUGCCUAGAUCUAUCAUGUACAUAGGGCUCUCCCAUACAUACAAAGCAACAAACAAACAAAAAUUUCAUAUGAGUUGGAGUAUCAAAGUAUAAAUCGACUAUUCUAUUACAAACCACAAAUUCCAAAUAUUCUAUUACAUGUUUAGUCAAACAAUGUAACUUACCAAAAUAUUAGAGUUUUAAAUAGGGUUCAACGUUUAGACAACACCAAAAACAAACGGCAGAGAGUUAGCUACGAUGCGACACCCUUGCCACGAUCACCUGCAGAUGAUGAGAAGAACUCUAAAAAAGAAAGCAACAAUGGAACGUGAAAACUAUAUAAAAUAGUUUCCAGUGAGUGGAAUCACCAUAAGGAAAGCUCUAUCCACUAUGUCCACUAGCAUCAUAAUAAUGAAGUAUAAAACAACGGUAAAGAAAUAAUAUGUGUUCAUAACAAGAAAGUCUACUAUAAUGCCUCUAGAAUAUCGGAGCAUGCCAAUCAUCAUCUCUACAUGUAUCAAUUUAUAUGGUUACAAGUUGACUACUCAUCAUCCAAUAAUCUCAAUCAAUACAAGAUCCAAUCAAACUUACGCCUUGUCUAGUGGGACAUUGAACAAUCGCACACGAACCACAUCAGCACUCAACAGGUAGAGCGAGGUGAACAAUCGCAUCUUUACUAGACUAUAUCUCUAGCGAGCCACGGCUUGUAAGAAGCGACACUCACAAGCUAAAGUGCUCAUUGAGCUCAUUUUGGCUCUUGCAAGCUAUAAUUAAUCUAAUUAACUUGUUAUGUCUCAAUUCGGAACACAUAUAAAAGUUAUCUUGCUACAUUGGCAUUUCAUCAAACACUUAGUGGGCAUUUUCAUGAUUCAAGCUCUACAUAUCAUAAUUCCUGUCCAAUUGCUAUUACACUAUCAUGACAUUUUCUAAGGGUGUUCCAUCAAAGAGAAUAAAUAAUCAACAAUUGCAAGGCAUGCAAGUAUAGAUUCCAUCAUAAUCAACCUUUAAAAUUAGAGUUUUCUACUUACGUCCAUGAAUCAUCAAUUUAUAGAAAAUUUCUACUUUAACUAGGAUUUCUCAUGCGACCCUAGAGUAGAAAAUUAACUAUAAAUGUAAGGAAGAAGAUAUAGAGAGAGAGAUCGCUCAUUUUGGAGACUUAAACCUAUAUAUAUAGAUUCCCAGAGAAGGUCGAUAGAUACUUGAAUGGAGUUGAGGAGUCCAUCAAACAACCCUACAAGAGAGUUUCUAUCUCAUAAUUUUUGUCUAAAACUCUUUCACAUAAAACCUCCAAUUUAAAACCCUAAAAUCCACACUCCACAAAAUCCCCCAAAAACUACCAAAAUCACACUAUUUCAAGUCUAAGGGAAAAAAACUCACCUCUUCCAAGUUCUAUCUCCUAGAUUCAAUCUUUGGAUCUAGAGUUGGGCUCUCUAAGAACUCUUCCUUCACUUCUCUUGCUCCAAAUUCAAGCUUGGGUUGAGAUUGAGCUUUCAAAGAGAGAAAAGAGAGUAGAGGUGAAGGCUCAAAGGAGAGGAAGAGGAAAAAGAUGAAGGAGAAGGAAAGAGAGUAGUUUCUCUCUUGUGGCUAAGAGAAAUAAGGGAGACUGAGAGAGAAAGGCAUUUAUAGUUUCAAUGUUACCCCCUCAAUACACAGUUUGCAUACAAAUAAGUACUAGUACUCGAACUUGAGUACUAAUACUCUCUCACUUAGUACUAGUACACUCCAAAGUUUCACAAAAUUCAAGAGUUCCAACAGUAAAAAUAACUCAAGAUGUACCGAUAUUCCACCUCGGAUGUCGAUAAAUCAUCGUAGGUAUAAUUUUGAUUAAUAAUAUGAGGGUUAAAGCAUUAUUUGAUAUAGGUGUAUCUCAUUCUUUUGUAAGCCAUUCUUGCUGUAUCAUAUGGAUUGGAACCGGUAUCUUUGCCGUAUGUAGAAAAGGUUUAAAUUCCUAAUCAUGUAUUGUAUGUUGUCGAAUACUGCUCUGCUUGCCCAAUUAAGGUCGAUGAUUGGAUCAUACUCGUAAAGUUGUUGGCACUAAAACAGUUAACAAACUAUUAACGUUGCUUUGGACAUGGAUUAGCUCACCCGCUUUUACACAAGGACUGAUUGUCGAAAUCGAACUAUGAUCAUUCGUGAGUCGAGCCAAGAGGAAUUUGUCUUUCAUGGUUGUAAGAGUUUUCUCUUUGCAAUGUUGAUUUCGAUGUCGUGGCCAAGCACUUGAUGAAUAACUGCUGUGUAGCCAACUUGGUGUGGAUGGUGGAUGUGACAAAGGAGGCUUCGGGACUCAAAGACAUCCUACUAGUUCGCGAAUUCCCUAAUGUCUUCCCUUUGGGGCUAGAUGUCACCAAAUCGAAAAAUCGAAUUUGUUAUUGAUUUGGUUCCUAGUAUGGCUCCUAUUUGCAAAGCACCAUAUAGGAUGGCACUGGCUAAACUAAGAGAGUUGAUGGUGCAACUUUAGAAUCUUUUGGAAAAGGGUUUUGUUAAGCCGAGUGUAUCGCCUUAGAGAGCUCCAAUGUUGUUAAACAAGGAGAAGGACCCCGUUUGUGUGUAGACUACAGCGAAUUAAACAAGAUGAUAAUUAAGAACAAAUAGGCAUUGUCGCGUAUCCAUGACCUCUUUGAUCAACUUCAAGGAUCAUGGGUGCACUCAAAGAUAGAUAGGGAUGUCAAUGGGUAUGGAUAUCCGAAAUAUUAUCCAUAUCCGAACCCGAACGGGGCGGGUUUAUCCGAGCUAAAAGGAUAUGGAUUUGGUUAUGGGUAUAGAAAAUAAAAACCCAACGGAUAUGGGUACAGGUAUGGAUUUUGUAUAUACCCGACCCGAACCCGAACACAAACCCGAAUAAAUUAUAUAUAUAUAUAUAUAUAUAUAUAUAUAUAUAUAUAUAUAUAUAUAUAUAUAUAUAUAUAUAUAUAUAUUUAUUUAUUUAUUUAUUUAUUUAUAGAACUAGGCUAAUACACUAUUAAUAGCACCAAGUUAUUGGUGCUACCAAGUUUUUGGCCAUUGGAUUAAGAAAUGUACGGUUAGGAUGAUGUAGGCCCUCUAGGGUUGAGUAAGUUGUUGGUUGAAUAGUAUAAUCUAACGGGUGAAAAUAGUCAAAGGGUUAAAUCCAACGGUGGAAAACUCGAUAACACCAAGUGCUUGGUGCUAUCGAUAGUAUCCCAACCGUACUCUCUCUCUCUCUCUCUCUCUCUCUCUCUCUCUCUCUCUCUCUCUCCUCUCUAGUUACUAUCAUAGUUAGUAUAUAUAUAUAUAUAAAUUAUUUUUUUAUAUAAUAUAUAAAAUAUUUAAUAAUGUUUAUCCAUUGGAUCUUCAUCCAACGGUAUACAAAAAUUUCUAUCUUCAUUUUCCUAUUUUCCCUUAUUUUCAAUGUGGUCCUCGGGAUGUGCGGCAAGAGCGAGAGGGAUUACUCAUCACUAAACCCUAAGUCCCUUUGCCCCAUCCGCCAUUUCACCGCCCCCUUCGAUCUGCCGUUCGCGGUCUCCCCCGCCCGUCCCCAAUCCGGCAAUCCUUCCCUCUGCCGUCUGCCCCGCCUUGCCCGCUGCCUGUCCCCAGACGCCUUGCUCGCGCCCCAUCCCUAGUCUCCAUUCGAUCGAAGUCGAACCAUUCCGUGAUUUCUCGUACUCGGUACUCUCAAUCUCACGACGCCCUUCCCUCUCCUCUUCCUCCUCGGUCUCUUUUUCCUCUUCCUUCCAUUCUCGUUUUCUGCAUUCAACAUGGUAUGAGUUCACCCAUUUAAUCUCGUCGACGUUCAGCAAGGUCAGAUCCAUUAGUUUUUUUUGGUAUGGGGCCUGCAAAGUUACUGCUCAUCAAUUUCAAAAACUACAAAAAGAUCGGAAAAAGAAACCAAGAGGCCCUUAACUAUUUAAAUUGUUAACAGAACAAAUUACACCAGUAUUCCUGAACCAUAUCCGCUACAUUUGUAUUCAUUAUUGUAUACGAACUCAUCCCAUACAAGAAAAAGAAGUGUUAAAUAGCUUGAGAAUAUUUUUGAAGCUCUUCUAUUUCAAAGGAACAAAAAAAGGAAAUGAGGCAUAGAAAUGCCUCUGAGAUGGUGAAUUAAAAUCAGCCUAUCAAGCCUUAGGUCAUGUCAUCUGUAACUGCCAAAAGAAUGAAACUGUUUCCAAGGGAUGAGAGAGCUGUGUUUCUCAUUCCUAAUUCCCAAAGCUCAGAGUUUUGAGAUUAGUAAUGACCAAAGCUAAUCAAAAUUUGGUCCAAAUUGACCAAAAUACAUUGUGUUAAGCCAACUAAUCCAAAACAAGCCGAAGCUGAUUGAAUCCCCAAAAUUUCCUUAGUUUUGUAUUUAGCCUCAGUUGAACCUUCAGAACUCGUGCCUUUAAACAUAGAGAUGUAAAUAGGAAUACUCUGUUUUGGUUUUAUUUGCAUAAUCAUUCAAUUAUUCUCUUGGCUAGAUACUUUUUUUUAUUUAUUACUCUCUUGAUGAUUGAUUAGCAGGUCAAAUUAUACAAACCAAAAGGAUAAAAAAUGUCUACACAACCGGCUAAUGAAAACUCUCAACCUUCACCGGCACCACUUACUAUUCAUACAAAUGUAGGAUCAAAUCCAUCCCCAGUUGAUACUAUCGGUGAUGACGAAGAAACCAAUGAAGUAAUGAAAAAAAAAAGCAACUUCCUUGGUGUGGAAUCACUUUUCGAAGGAAAAAGUUGCUGAAGCUAUAAAAGCCAAGUGUAAUUAUUGUGGAAAGAAACUUUGUAGGGAUGCAAAACAUGGAACGAGCCACUUACAUUCGCAUCUCAAGGUAUGCCCAAAGCGCAGAUUUAAAAACAUUAAAGAUAUAGUGUAUCAAAAAAAGCUAAAGUUAGAACAAUUUGGUGGUGAGAAAGUAAAGGUUGUCAAUUUUACCUUUGAUCAAGAGGUGUCAAGAAACGAGUUAGCGUCGAUGAUUAUUAUGCAUGAAUAUCCAAUUUCCAUAGUAGAGCAUGUUGGUUUUAGAAAAUACUCGGCUUCUCUUCAACCGGCAUUUAAAAUACCUUCUAGAAAUACAGUGAGAAAUGAAUCUUAAAAAUUUAUGAUUAUUAGAAGGAAAAUACGAUGAAUUUAUUGAAAUCAAAUCAAAGUAGAAUUGCUAUUAUUACUGAUAUAUGGACAGCUAAGAACCAAAAGAGAGGCUUUAUGGCGAUCAUGGCUCACUUUAUUGAUGAUUCUUGGAUGUUGCAAAGUCGAGUGUUGAGGUAUAUUUUAAUUUCUGUAUGCAAAUAGUAUUACUUUUCAUAUUUCUCAUUCAUAAAAGUAACUUUCAUUAUUAUUCAUUAUAGGUUUGCCUAUGUACCUUGUCCACACACUGCUAAUACACUUUCUGAUGUAUUGAUGGACACAUUUAUUAAUUGGAAUCUUGAUAAAAAGCUCUCUACUCUAACAGUAAACAACUGCAGUUCGAAUGAUGUUAUUGUAGAUAUCCUAUUGGAUAAGCUUGAAAACAGGUCUCUUAUGGUGCGUGGGCAUUUUUUUCACAUGCGUUGUUGUGCGCAUAUUCUUAAUUUAAUUGUUAGAGAUGGAUUAGAGAUGAUUGGAGAUGCUUUUGAGAAAAUACGAGAUAGUGUUGCAUUUUGGAAGGCAACACCAAAGAGAGAGGAAAAGUUUGAAGAAACAGCCCGUCAGUUGGACAUUUCAAGUACUAAGAAAUUGGUGCUUGAUUGUAAAACGCGAUAGAAUUCUACAUUUUUAAUGCUUCAAUCUGCUUUGGUAUAUAGGGAUAUUUUCUCACGUUUGAAACUUCGUGAGCCAUUAUACAAGUGUUUGCCUUUAGAAGACGAUUGGUGUGUAGCGGUGGACAUAUGUGAGACACUCGAACUUUUUUAUAGUGUAACCGAAAUUUUUUCGGGUACAAGAUAUCCGACGGCUAAUCUAUUUUUUGAAAAAGUGUGCGAUAUUAGAUUGACAUUACUUGAGUGGUCUGUAGAUCUUAAUGAGAUGAUUAGAUCCAUGGCUGAAAAAAUGCUUAAAAAAUUUGAUAAAUAUUGGCAUAUAAUUCAUGGCAUUAUAGGAGUAGCAACUGUUUUGGAUCCAAAAUAUAAGUUGACUUUAUUAGAUUGUUAUUUUUCGACCAUUUAUAGUACCGAAGUCAAUAAUGAUCGAAGUUGAUAAAAUUCGACAAUUAUGCUAUGAUCUCCUUAGUGAGUAUCAAGAAAGAAACAAGCAAGACAAGGAAGUUGGUGGUAAAUCUUCUCAUUCAUUUUCUUCUUCUAUUAGUGAAGUUGGCAGUCGUAGUAUGAUUAACAGGAAAAAUUUUACUGCUAUUUAUGAUCAAUAUAUGAUGCAGAAGAAGAAAUCAACAUCUAGUACACCUAUAAAAUCCGAAUUGGAUCAUUACUUAGAGGAGGAUACAUUACCAAGAACAGAUAAUUUUGAUGUGUUGGCUUGGUGGAAAAGUAAUGGCCUCAAGUACCCUACAUUGAUGAUGAUGGCUAGAGAUAUCCUUGCAAUUCCAAUUUCUACUAUUGCAUCCGAGUCGACAUUUAGUACUAGUGGAAGAUUUUUAAGUCCACAUCGAAAUCGGCUUCUUCCUGAUGUUUUAGAAGCAUUAAUGUGUACUCGUGAUUGGCUUUGGGCAAAAUUUCAUCAAGAAGGUUUUUUUAAAAAAAUUUAGUGAUAUAUAAUUUAGUAUUUUAAAAUAUGUCUAUUAUAGUUAUUAUUUAUAUUGAUAUCUAAUAUGUUAUUUGUAGAUUCCUCUACAGCUACAUCGUAUUAUUGAUCUUCGUUGGAUGAUGAUGAUGAAGGUGGCAUCAUUGAUGUUGAUGAGGUAAUUUCUAAUCAAUAUUUUUAGAAAGGAAUAGUAUAAGAAUUUAUUAUUCUAGAAAUACUUUUAAUAGUUUUUGUAUCUUUUCUCAUGUACAGGAAUAAUAUAUAAUUUGCCAACGCAUCUUGGAGGAUUGACUAAUGACGAGGAGGCUAAGCGAAUGUUGUAUUAGAUAACUUAUUUAAAUUUUAAUGUAACAUUUUGAUAUCUAGAAAUUGUACUAGAUAUUUAGCGAAUGUAUUGUUGUCUUUAACUAUUUGAAUUUAUAUUUUUUUUAUCGAAAUAUUGAUAUUAUAUGGCAUGAAUGUAUUUGAUUGUGUUUUGAAAUUUUGAUUGUGCAUGUUUUUUUAUUGUGUUUUGAAAUUUUGUAUCGAAAUAUUGAUAUUAUAUGGCAUGAAUGUAUUUUGAUUGUAUUUGAUUGUGUUUUGAAAUUUUGAUUUUACUAUAAUUUAUUUUGAAAUAUGUUAAAAAAAAUUCAUUAUUUUGGGUUCGGGUUUUCGGGUUCGGGUUCGGGUUUUUGAAAACCCGACCCAAACCCGACCCGUUGACAUCCUUAAAGAUAGAUCUCCAAUCUAAAUAUCACCAACAUAAGAUCAAGCCAGAAUAUAUGCAUAACACGACUUUCAAGACACAGUAUGGACACUACAUGUUCAGAGUUAUGCCGUUCAAACUCACCAAUACCUUGUUGGCCUUUAUGGAUUUAAUGAACCAUAUUUUCAAACUGUUUUUGGAUCGAUUAGUAGUGGCCUUCAUUAACGACAUCUUGGUGUUCUUUUGGAGCUAGUGAUGCUGAUCACAAAGAACAUUUGAGACAAGUGUUGCAUGUUUUGCAGAGUGAGAAACUUUUUGCCAAAUUGAAAAAAGAAUGUGAAUUUUAGCUUCAGAAAGUUGCUUUCUUGGGAGAUGAUACUGGCAUGUUGGUCAAUUCAAAAAAAUUUUAGCAAUCCAAGACUGGCCAUGGCAGACAAAUGACACUAUGGUAAGGAGUUUUCUUGGUCUUGCUAAAUACUAUCGUCGAUUUGGCGCAUUACUUGUGCAGCUACCCAAUAGCAUUAAAUUGAUGUGUUAGGACAGCGGGAGAGUAGGAUAAGUGUGAGACUCAUUUCGAGACACCUCGUGGGUUGGGGUGACGUUCCGACGAGUCGGUUCGACAAUCGGGCGAUCUUUCGGUGACCGUGGAACGGGGUCCGGAAAUCCAAUUGUUUGCCCGUUUGGAUUCACUUAGAGUCAUAGCUUUUGUAAUUAGUGAGUUUGAAAUAAUUACGAUUUUGGAUCAUACUUUGCUUAGGUUAGGCCUAUGACGGGAGACAUUAACAGGGUGUUGAUGACCUGAUUUCAUUCUAUAGAAGAAGUGGAUACUUCAAUCCGAAGUCGGUAAAAUGGUGCUUGCUCAGUGAUUUCUAUCCCUAUUACCUCCUUUCAUUUACUUAAUACUGGUGAGCUUUUGUACACCACUUGACUUCUUAGCUAGUUGCUCUACACUUGUUCCUAUCUCAUUUUAUCAUAAUUUAGUGGCAGAGCGGUGUUCCUUGGUAAUUGAAUUGUCUAUUGUAUAUUGAUAAAAGAUAACUAUGACAUUAGUUGGCACUCGUUGUUGGUGACACUCCUAGAUGUGUAUUGCAUGAUAUGGCAUUAGUUGACACUCGUUGUCGCUGACACUCCUAGAUGUGUAUUGCAUGAUAUGGCAUUAGUUGACACUCGUUGUCGCUGACACUCCUAAAUGUGUAUUGCAUGAUAUGACAUUAGUUGACACUCGUUGUAGCUGACACUUCUUGAUGUGUACUGCAUAAUAUAAUAUUAGUUGACACUCAUUAACACUACUAUUUGUAUAUUUCAUGAUUUGAUAAUUGUUGACCAUGUGGUUAGUGACACUUCUAGUGGUAUAUCGCAUGACUUGACAUUAGUUGACCUGAUGGUCGGUGACACUCCUAGAUAGAUAUUGACCUAAUUGCUUGGUGACUCUUUGUGGAUUAUUCUCUCGGCUACUUGCCGAUGUUGGCUAUUGAACAUGUUGCAUCGAUCGCCACAGCUCAUGAGCAUUUCAUGUACACCAGUGGUCUGAUCCACCGCAAGAGGGUGUUCUUUUCUGAAAAAGUUGUCGUACUUCUGACCUGUGAGCCUUACGAGGUGGCUGUUAGGGUUAUAUGUCAGGUGGGCGAGCAGGAUGUGGUUCAACCUGAGGUCUUUUGACCCAUAGGGCAGUUGAUUUAGUUGUUAGUGCUAUCCACCAUUUGAUGCAUUGGAGUAUCCUGUUGUUCGUUAUAGUAGCGGAUAGUUAUGCAUUGAUUAACAAUUAUAGUUCUUUUUAGUCACUAUUGCUACUGUUCCGAUGCAUAUGUUGAUUAUGCCUAAUUAUUGAUUUCUACCUUAUCUUACAAUAGUAGUUACUUUUGCAUCUAUUGCCGGUUACUAUUCUAUUGCUACUGUACUUAUGAUAUCUGUUCAUGAUUAUAGUUAUCUUUUCUAUCCGGCGGUGAGUUCAGCUCGCCUUCGUCGGCUUGCGAUACUCGGUGGGAGGAGAGACUUGUUUACAUGUUCUCACCCCCAACCAUUUUUCGAGUAACGCGAGCGGUGAGUGUUGGGACAGUGCGUGAGGAUGAUACUAGAUAGCCGAUCAGUCCGUUGUUGACAUUCAUUAUCGUUUUACUGGAUUAGUUUAGUUCACUUCCUAUUAAUGUUUAAAAAUAUUGGAUGGAUGGUUAUUAUGUGAUCAUCAUAUUGUUUGUGUUGUGUGGUUGUAUGUUUGGUUGACUUUGUAUUAUGGUGCUACGCCGUGCAUAUACAGGAAAGACUCUAUCAAUUCAUAUAGGGGAUUCUUUGUUCAUGUGGCGGGUCUAUAUGCGUCUGUGGGGUGUUCUCAAAGGUGUUUUAAAAAAAAUCUAUACAUUUUUUGCUAGUUUCCCUAAGAAGGAUUUUUAAAAAAAUCUCGAGGUGUGACACUGUGCAACUCCCAUAGACCUGAAAACCCUCUAGACCAAUGUUGUGCCAAGCCUGCACAUAAGUCCCUACAGUAAUUGCUCCUUGUGUCCAAAGCCCAACACACCCCAUGUUAGUUGGGCCCUAUUCUACGCAGCCCUGACAGAAAGUUGGCCCUUCUAAGGACCUUCAACACAUUCCAAAAUCAAACAGCUAGCUCUCUGCCACCCAUGACACCGUUUCCCAACAAAAAAUAUCAUCCCUCAUAAGCAAUAAUGUUCAUUCUUAAAAGUUGAUCCUCUUUUCUCUCUGUUCUCUUUUUCUUUCACUUUUUCCUUACCCCCUUGUUUAGCAUUUGCAUGAAAAAAGGAACCCCUUUCCUUUACCUUUUCAUGGUGCGAUCUUGAUUUUCUCCCACACAAACAAAUCCUAUCUUUGACCUUAUCGUCACUUUUUCUCACACAGUUUAGCAUACCUUGUACAUGUCGCAGUCCUCUCUUUGCAUUUAGAUCUACUAAUGACCGUUGGAGCAAAAACUUGGACAUCAUGUCAUCACUAGUGCUGGCGAUCAUUGAUGGACCUAUUGUCUAUUGCUGUCUUCUCCGCCUAUUAGACAACCUUUUCAUGCCAUCUAUCUACUGUUUGAUUUCUACCUCCCCUAUCUCCACAUUGCUUACUCCAUUACUGUCGAUCGAAAGCCCAUUGCCUUUUAGCUCCUGAUUCCCUUCGCCCUCUUCAUCAGGAUCGCCAGGCGGUGGCAGCACAUCCCACCGUAAUCACCUUCCGUUUUCGAACUCUCCAAUUGAACUAGUACAAAGGCUAUAUCAUCACCUAAGGCUAUUGUUAUGUUUUGUGGUAUGUCCCAAAGAACGUCAACAACGAUUUGACAAUGAAAGGCUUUCAAAUCAGUCAUUCUUUUAGCGGCUUCAUCUACCCUAAAAAAUUUAUCAAACCUACUAACGAGAGCUGCAACCCUUGCCACCAUCGAUCACUCUCAAGGAAGGUUACAUAGCUUGAUCCAUGCCGUAUAUGGCAACCUGAGAGGAGUUGCAUGCCUAUAAGGGCCCCAAGCAUAGCAGUUCAACCAAAAGCCUUCCAAAGUGAUGAUUUGGCGCCGUAUCAGCAUCUUCGCGAGACCCAUUUAAGGAGAUAUAUCACGAACUCCCGAUCCUUAUUACUCGCUAAAAAGACGUCCUUGGAGUAUCUACCAAAUUGGUUUGCCAAUGCAUUUGCGUUGGUUUGUUGUGAGAAGUGUCCCAGAUUCAUCAGCUAUACGGCAUCAGCCAACAUAGCAUUCUGGCAUAAUUCUCUAUGCUUAAAGUACUUCGUGUAUGGAAUGUAAGCCCUCAUAUUCGGCACACAACCCUGGCACGCUACACUCUGAACAUAGUGCUCCUUAUGUUGUUGAACCAUUGUUUAAACUAAAAAGCCCAGUGUCUAAUCUUGAGGCACCAAAGACACCUAAAGGGAUCCCGACACGUUGUUGCUUUAUGUUCCUAACUAAGGCACCUGGCGCACCUGCCAUCUAAGGUCUCACUCUCGUCACAGGCUUGUUGGCUUAAAUAGGCUAGAAUCCUGCCCUGUGGCGGGAGGCCAUGUUGGGCCGAGUCAUGUUCGAAAUGACGUGAGGCUGGGUGGGCCGAGUCAUGUUCGAAGUGGCGUGAGGCUGGUGGGGCUGAGUCACAAUCGAGACCCGUGGGCGCUAUUUCUGUACGCUUUAAGUGGAUUGGUUGCGUAUUUCUAACAGCUCGAGCUUUUGGGAUUAAUGGUUAGCGCCAACGAUCUGACAAGUGGUAUCAGAGCCAGAGGUCAUAGGUUCGAUUCCCGCAUGCUGCAAAUGUGUCCAAGUGUUGGGGAGGGGAUUGUUGGUUUAAAUGGGCCAGCAUCCUACCCUGUAGCAGGAAGCCAUGUUAGGCCAAGUCAUGAUCGAAAUGGUGUGAGGCUGGAUGGGCCGAGUCAUGUUCGAAGUGGCGUGAGGCUGGUGGGGUCGAGUCACAAUCAAGACCCAAGGGCACUGUUUCUGUAUGCUUUAAGUGAAUUGGUUGCGUAUUUCUAAUAGCACGAGUUUUUGAGAUUAAUGGUUAGCGCCAACGAUCCGAUAGGGCUUACAUUGCUUUAUAUUUAGGUCUUUGAAUUUGGCUUGCACAGGCGAUAUUGGUUCUAUCAACAAGGCCUCUUUAUAGGACUUAAGGGCUCCAGGAGUAGAGUAAUGGUGACCGAUGCUCCUAGGUUGUUCAUUCUCUACCAUUUCACUACUGAAUCCAUCCAUAUCUUUUUCCAGAAUGAUGACAAACUUCAAUGUGAUCUUUUUCUAUUAAUUGUAGUUUCUAAUACACGUGGCAAAGGGCUUGAUAGUUGGCAACUGAGGUUGCAAGUUUGAAGCCCAGUUACGUCAUAUUUUCAGCUAAGUUUAUUCUUUUAAAAAAAAUGAAUGAGCAGAAAGCAAAUACAUUCAAAAGGGUGUAAGACUCACACCUUUUCAUCUGAGAGUUUAGGUAUGUCUUGUGGAUUUUUUAAUAUUAAAAGUAGAUCGAUACGACUAGUGUAAAGAAAUGGGUCUCUAGAUGAAGAAGAUGUAAGAUUUUGCUUAGUUUCUGGAUAUUGAUAUGAUUAGUAUAAAGAAAUGGGUCCGUAGGUGAAGAGGAUGUAAGAUUUUGCUUACUUUCUAGGUAUACAAAUAGUGUGUAAGCUUUUGCUUACUUUCUGGAUAUACAAAUAGUGUUGCCAAACUUUAACCUUCAACUUCCCCUUCCGGAAACUUCCUUUGGAUUCUUCCUACUCCUAUUGAGUAGAUGGAUCGAUAUAAAAGUGGCUUUCUUCCAUGGUGACCUAAAGAAGGAGAUAUAUAUGUCACAACUAGCUAGAAGGUUGUUAAAUAAAUUGUUGUACAACGUGCAAAAGACGCAAAGGUGUUGGUACAAAUGGUUUGAUUCCUUCAUUGUGAGUUUGGGUUUUGAUAAGUUUGAAGUGGAUCAUUGUGUUUAUUUCUAUGAAUAUGAUGAUAGGGGCUUUUGCAUAUUGUUAUUCUAGGUCGACGACACAGUGGCUGUGGGAAAUAGCAAGGCCAAAUAUCUACUCUAAAGACUCAGUUGGUUGGGGAAUCAGAUAUGAAGGACUUAGAAUCCGUGAACCAAAUAUUCAGGAUGGAGGUGUUGCAUAAGAGAAAGAAUGGAAAAGUUUGGCUUUUCACAAAAGGCUUAUGUGGAGAAGAUUUUGUGGCCCUUCAAUAUGCAAAACUCAAACUCAAUUUCUACCUUAUUUUUUAUUCAUUUGAAACUGUCUACAGUGCAAUCACCCAACAGUGAAGCAGAAAAAGUCAACAUGGCUCGGAUACCAUAUUCUUCGACAGUAGGGAGCCUUAUAUUUGCCAUCAUAUGUGCGAGACCUGAUAUUACUCAAGCAAUAGGAGAAUGAGUCGGUAUAUGGCAAAUUUGGUUGUGAAUAUUGGAAUGUAGUGAAGUGGAUCUCAAGUUUUUGAGGGGCACCGCAAAUUUCUCACUCUAUUAUAGUUCUGUAGGUUUGGAGUGAGUUGGAUAUGUGAAUGUAGUUUUCGUAGGAGAUAGAGACAUAAGAAAGUUUACCACGGGAUAUGUAUUCUCCAUGGGUGGUAGUACCAUUAGCUGGAAGUCGAAGCUUCAGUCGGUGAUUGCUUUGUCGACGAUAGAGGCAAAGUACAUAGCAAUAAUACAUGUUGUAAAGAGGCUAUGUGGUUAAAAAACUUCAAGGAGAAUUGAAAGUGAAGUAAAAUAUGGUGGGAGUGAAUUGUCCUAAUCAAAGUGCAAUACACUUGGCGAACAAUCUGGCGUUUUACUCUCAGAUGAAACACAUUGACAUUCGCUAUCAUUUUGUGACAGAUGUAGUGGAUAAGCAUCUUAUUUUCUUGUUGAAGGUUCAUAUCGAUACAAAUCCAGCGAAUAUUUUGAUGAAGCUGGUGACUCAAGAAAAGUUUAAUUGGAGCAUGAUUUUAUUGGUCUUGGAGCUACUAGAAGAAAGCGAUAGCUUGUCAAGACCUCUGAUUUGGUGUUUUAUGGAGUUCGGCACAUGUCUUCAAGGGAGAGAAUUGUUAGAUUAUGUGAAGCCAUAUUCUGAGUCGAUAUUAUGGUGAAAAAGUUGAAAGUUUGAGGUUUUUCGAUAUUAAAUAUCAAAAGUUAAAGUUUGAGUAUCAAUAUCGACAAGUACAUCAGAUGUUCCUCAAAUUCGAAGUUGUGAAGAACGAUCUAUAUAUUGAGUAUUGGUAUGCGAUUUUGAAUACUAUAAAUUCUGGAGGUGUUUUAGUUUCGGUACUCCAACUUAGGCACUAGUACUCAACUCUGAGACAAACAAGGUAAAUUGGAUUUGACUCCAAGUUGAUAUAAUCUUAAGUCUUGAGAUUAAGGAUGGUCCAAGAACACUUUGGAGAGGGUUUUAAGAGGAGAUCAACAGUUAGAAGUGAAUCGGGGACUCAGAUAGAUGGUGAAAAUUAUUUCCUAUUAGAAUUGGGGUCUUUGGGUUAAAAAUCUUUAUAAUUCAUGUUUUAGAGUUUAGAGCUUCAUUGUUGGAGGUUUCUUAGAGAUAGAGCUACAUCGUAGAAAUCCUAAUUGAGAGGAAGACAUGGAAAGCUCCUGAAAGAAAGAUUCUUAUAAUCCAAUAUUAUUCUUCAUGCUUUUAUAUUGUGGAUUAAUCGAAGAACACAUUAAAGUGGUCUUGUCCGCAGACGUGCGUAGGUCGACACAUUGGAUCCGAAUACAUAAAUUUUGUAUCUUGUGUUAUCUUAUUCAUUUUAUUGCUUUGUUAUUCUCGUGCUUAUUUUCUAUAAUCAUUCUCGUCUAUUUUCAUUUACGAAAAGUCUUAUUUCUGCUGCACUUGUGCUGUGUGAGUUUGAGAUGUGCUCGAUAACCUCUUAGUCAGUCACUUCAUAAAUUGAAACUAAAAGGCAAAAUUGCAAACCCACAAAAAUGCACCAACUAAUUAAGCAGAUGGUGAUAAAACUAGUCACCAUAUAAACUUCAUAUUUUUAAAGGCAUUCCUUGAGCUCAAUUCAUGGUAUUGAGACACAAACCCAUAAAAGAGUAGUCAUAAAAGAAGAGAAAUGCACAGAAAUUAAAGAAACCACCACCACACUUGAACUCGAAAUUUGACUCCUGAUUCUUGAAACUUGAGAUCCUUUAUUUCCUCUGGAACUUCGACUCAGCUAUUGGUUAUUAAUUAGCUGCUCACCAAAAGUAUUAAGCAAAAUGAGUAAAUAAAUAAAUAAAUAAAAUGUAAGCCUAGUAAAUUAAAGGAGAUUAGAAGUCACCAAAAAAAAUUAAAAGGGUACGUGAACUUUUCAACAGUAAAUUCCAUUUACCCCCCCUGUAAGUUAAACACAUUUUUACUUAGUUAUUCUAUGGUUUAAAAGGUUUUAAUUAUAUUUAUUUUACUGUUCGAAUUCGCCAUUAUACAGAUAGCAAAUUAAGUGUUAUAUGUUACAAAUAAUGUUAGCAAAGUGCAAACUAUAGGAUAGUAGAAUAUUAUAUAUUUUACAUUAAUCCUAUGGUUUGUAAAAUACAUCAUUUUAGUAUUUUCUGAUUUGUAAAUUGUAGUAGUUUUCCUACUCUAUUUAAUGGCGGAUAGCUAUGGUGAAGCAAAGUAAAAUUAUAGGGUAGAAAAUAAAAAUUUUCAAAUAAUAGGGUGGCAAAUUAGAGUUAUCCAUUUUUCGGAGACAUAUAUGAAAAGACAAUUAGACAAAGAUUUAUAUGUAGAAAUAUACACUUUUACAAGAUUAUAUUAUAUAUUUAAAGGUUAAAUUACACUUUUAAUAUAUACUCACAAGGACACUUUUGGUUAUUAAAUUUUAAUUUAUCACAAUUUCUAGCUCUAACCUUUUAGACCAAUUUAGUUUACUACUAUUGCCACAUCAUAGGUGAUAACACUUUCACAUUACUACAUUAUUAGUUUCAUAUUAUCAUUUAGACAACUUAAUUGGACUAUAAGAUUUGAUUGUAAAGAACAUAAACAAAAAAAAAAAUGCAAUAUUUUAAUGUUGGCUAAAUUACACUUUUGGUCCUCAAUUAUGAGGUUCCUAAACUUUAAUGUAUUAUAAUUCCUGGCUAGAAUCGCUUAAAUUGUUGCAAUUUCUACAACUUAAUUAAUAAAUUAACUGAAUAUUAAUGUGUCACUAAUGUAUAAAUAAUGUGACAGUGUUGUAAUUGAUAACAGAAUAAUAAUUAAGUAUGUCGCAGUACUCUUCCACAUCAGGUAUUGAUAUUUAGACAUUUAUUCGAUCACUUGAGCCAGAAAAUUAUAAUAAAUUAAAGUUUGAGAACCAAAAUAUCAUAUGCCUGAUAAUUUGAUAUUCCAAAGUAUAAUUUAUUUGGUGAAAGUUUGGAAAUAGACUUUUCAAGGCCUCAAAAUGUAAUUCAGGGUAUAAUGUAUUAUCUAAAAGAAAUUGAAAGCUAUGAGGAGGCCCGCGGGCCGUAACGGGCCGGCACCGCCUGGCCUAAUCCAGUUCUAAAUCUGGACCGUGCGAUGCCGGGCUCGUGCCGAUCUUUAUAUUUUUUUAUAUUUAAUUUUAUUUAAAUUUAAAAAUUAAAAGAAUUAAGAAGACCAAAAUACUUCCCCGACUUUUUUCUGAAUAUUUUUUAUUUUUUUAUUUUACUUUUAAUUCUUUUUUCUAUAUUAGUAUAUUAUAAAAUAUAUAAAUAUUUAUUUAAAAAUUUAUUUAUAUAAUUUUUUUAAUAAUUUUAAUUUAUUUAGUAGAGAAUAUAUAUAUAAAGUAUAAGACAGCUACAACCGGAUCUGUUUUGCACCCCUUAGGCUUCGUUUGGGAUUGCAGGGAGAUUGCCUAUUUGUUCGCGUACAUAAUAUUAUAUUCUGCAUAUCGCGAUGAGUCGAUCGGUUACGACGGUCCCAUCAGAGAACACAGAAGCAUACCCUAAUAAACUUUUAUCCCAACUCUAUUUUAUCUAAUAGUGUAAGAUGGGCGUCACUAUCAAACUAAGUCUUAGGAGUUGGGGGAACACUCACAGCAAGCAACGGGGGAGCGGCCACACUUGGCGGGCAAUUUGCUGAUGAUGCCGAGAGUGCUGCAGGCGCAGUCGUGGCUGACGGCCCCUAAGGCGGAGCAGCACUGCUUGCUGGGCUGGCCGGAGGAGACGCCCGGGACGACGUAGGGAGCGCAGUUGACGAGCCCGGCCAGCUGCGUCGAGCAGUUCUGCGCCACCGCCGCCGUCGGAACCCGUGCGGCCACCACCACGAGCAGGACCGCCACGGCGACAGCGACUUUCGAAGAGCGCGCAUUGUAAAUGGCCAUGCCUAGCUAGUGAUAAUCAGUUUUUUCUUUCUUUAAAAAAAAAAAAAAUUAUGGUGUUUUGGUAGCAGAUACAUGAGCUGCUUGUGAGUAGAGGUAUUUAUAGGAGAUGUGUGGGGGUGGUCAUGACUGUUGAGGACGGCGUGGCCUAACUACUGUCAGCUGAAAGGAGCAGGAAAUUAUUGCCUCCACCAGGUGUAGAAAUACAUCUCAUUUCCCUGCACCUCUAAAAUUCGCACUUAUUGAAAUAAGGAUUUAAGUGCCUAUCGACAUGGAUCGUAUCUACCGUGCCGUACCGUGCUAAGAAGAUAUCGACACAGCCCACGUGCCGAUGAUACAGUUCAAAGCUUUCUAUUUUUUAAAUUAAUAAGUAAUUUUCUUAAUAAAGUUCAAAAGAUUUAAUAAAAAUACAUAAUAAAUAGUUAGAACAUUUUAUUGUUAAAGAAUAUAAAUAUUUCAUACAAUUAUAUGUCAAUAUACAUAAAUUUUUUGUGAUUGGCACGCAUCAGCACGGUCCGGCACGCAUCGUGCCGUACCGUGCUAGUAAGUUUCCGACACGACCUCAUACUACGGUACUUAAAUCCUUGUAUUGAAAUGUAUUUCUAUAAUAUUUAAUUAAAAGGUAAAUUUUAAAUUGUCCUCCUACAGUUUAGCUUAUUUUUACUUUGUCACUUUGUAUUUAAAACAUUUCACCUUACUCUCAUGUGGUUUGAUAUAUUUUAGCUAAAAAGUAAAAUAAUUCUAUGUAAAAUAGACCGGCAAGGAAAAAAAAUUAAAAAAAAAAAAACAAAGGGUGGUAAAGUGAAUAAUAAGCUAAACUAUAGGCCGGUAAAGUGCAACUUUUUGAACUAUGCAUGGAAUGAUAAAGUGAAAAUAAACUAAACCAUAGGGAGUAAAAUAAAAUUUUUUUAACCACGGGUGGCAAAGUGAAAAUCAAAUAAGCUAAACCAUGGUAGGGCAAUUUGAAGUUUACCUAUAUAAAUUUAUGCGAUGAUUUACAUAUUGAAAAAAAAAAAAAAAGAAUUACUUAGAUGCCGAUAUAGUUUAUACAUUUUUCAAAACAUAUGAUAUUUUUUUUUAAUACAUUAUGUCUUUAGAUAUUGCAGAUUAUAUCUGUCGAAUUAAAAUUUUAAUUGAUCUUAAAAUAACAAUCAUCAAACUACGUAAUUGUCACGCACUUGGUUCAGACAAUAUUUUCUUUGAAAGGAAAGGGGGUGAAUAGCAAGUGUGUGAGUCACCAAACACCUAAUGGUAGUGUUUUUAUAUGUACGUAAUACAUGAAGCUAAAAUGAUAGAGUGGUAACAUUGAUCUUGGUGAGUUGCUACGAAGAACUAGGCAUGGACAUUGCGUGGGAAAGAGGAUGAAAAGAAAAAGAAAAAGAAAAAGAAACCUACGAGGAGGCUUUCCGGAAUGAGAUAAGGGUAUCAGCAUUGUCGAACAGUUCGCGAGCGUCAAUUUUACAAAACUUCGAUCUACUAGAAUGGGAUUUUCUUUCGCUAGUUAGAACUUAGAAUAGCCACCACUAUAAGAAAAUUAGCAUUUAAUGAUGUUUAUAUAUAUAUAUAUAUAUAUAUAUAUAUAUAUAUAUAUAUAUAUAUAUAUAGAGUGAGGCUACUAUGCUAUCGGAAGUACGGAGCCUUCCGUGCUUCCAGCUCGUUUUCGAUGUUGCNAUAUAUAUAUAUAUAUAGAGUGAGGCUACUAUGCUAUCGGAAGUACGGAGCCUUCCGUGCUUCCAGUUUGUUUUCGAUUUUGCGACUUUCAAAUUGUCGAUCGACUCCGUUAAAUUUGAUCUAGAGUAUUUGGACUACAUAGAAAAUAAAUUUUAUUAUUUUUCGAUAUCAUUUGCCUAAUGAUCGAAUGGGCUGAAAAUCAACAAAUUUCAAUGGUCGUAGUGAGCCGUUUGCAAGUUUAACGAUCUCCUAUACUAUCUAUGUACCGGGGUUCCGCUACUAUAGUCUCGUUUUCGAUCUUAAGAUGUUCAAAUUAACGAUCCACAUCGUUAAAACUAAUCUAGGGUAUUUAAAGUUUUUAGAAAUAAAAUUUUAUAUUUUUUCGACAUAGUUUACUUUAUGAUCAAACCAUUUUAAAAUUGUUAAUUUUUAAUGACUAUUAUGGUGAGUUUGGAGUUUAACGGUGUAGAAGAAUUUAAAUUUCUUCACAUUUUGAUAGAAAAUAUUUUAAACUAUCUAGAUUAAGGUUAACAUUCUUGAUCUUGAAUUUAAGAGUCCUAUACUCAAAUUUUAAAUGUUAUUCAAUUUUCACUGUCCAUUUCGAUAUAAUUUAUUUAAUGAUAUCGAAAAAAACUAAAAUUUUAUUCCUCUAGAUCAUAUUUAAUGGUGUGGAUCGUUAAUUUGAACACUCUAAAAUCGAAAACAAGACUAUAGUACCGGAGCUCCAGUACUAUAGAUAGCAGGAGCCUAUAUAUAUAUAUAUAUAUAUAUAUAUAUAAUAUACUUAGAUCUCUCAUCGAGUCCGGCUACUAUACUUUUCAUGAGUAUUGGCUCCCUUUACUCAUAAGUUUUCGGCCCUUAGAUUUAUUCACUGAUCAUUUCCACCCGUUAGAUAUACUAAUCAACCAACUACACUCAACCCUAGGGCACUAUCAUUUUAAGUGUGGACCACCAUCAUCCUAACCACACUACACAUCAAUCAAUGGUUAAAAUUUAUGAGUACAAGGGGGCUAUACUCAUAAGAGUAUAGUAGCACCAGCUUAUAUAUAUAUUAUAUAUAUAUAUUAUAUAUAGAGUUGAGCUAGAAUACUCUCAGAGCAACAGAGAGUGUGGUGUUUUAAGUUUUUAACCAUUAGAAGAGAGAUGUAGGUUGAGAUGAUAAUGUAGGUGGUGGUAGGUGGUAGUAGGUGGAAUAGUAUUUGAUCCAAGAGUAUUAGUAAUUAAGGAGUAGAUCCAAGGCUAGAAACUUAGAAGCACAAUGGGUUGAUGCUUCUAAAAGUAUUCUAGCUCAAUUAUUAUAUAUUAUAUAUAUAUAUAUAUAUAUAUAUAUAUAUUAUUCGAGCUUUCGAGCUUUUCGAGCCUAAUUCGAACGAGCCGAGUAAUACUUCAAGCUCGCGGCUUGAAAUGAAUUUCGAGCCUUUUAUUUUGUUCAAGCUCGGCUCAUUAAUUCGAGCGAGCUCGAGCGAGCCGAAUAUCGAGCCGAACACGAGUCGAACGCCAGCCGGCUCGCUCGUUUGCCGGCCCUAAUAAGGGAUGAUCCUCUCAUGUUGCAUUAACAUGCAAUAUUCCUUCGUACCUAUCACUCCAAACAUUCUUGAUCCCUUUAUAUGUUAGAUGAGUGAGAGGAGCGAAGAUCUUUGCAAAGUCAUCGAGUAGGCACCACUUUACCGACUUCGAUUUGAAGUACACGCCUCUACCGUAGAAUAAAACUGGGACACCCUAUCGAUGUCUCCCGCCACAGUCCUGACGUAAGCAAAGUUCUAUUCAAAACCGUAAUUAGCUCAAACCCACUAAUUACAAAAGCUAUGAUUCCAAGUGAAUUCAAACAGUCGAACAAUUGGGUUUCGGGAUCCCAUUCCACGAUCGCCGAAAGAUCACCUGAUUGUCACACCGACUCUUCGGAAUGUCACCCCAACCCACGAGAUGUCCCGAAAUAAGUUCCACACUUAUCCUACCUCUUCCGCUGUCCCAACACAUCAAUGUAAUGCUAUUGGGCAGCUGCACAAGUGCCAAAACAAAAAACUGAGGUCUCGAAACUCACCACUUUAAUUGGCUCCUGAAAUGCCCAUUCUGGCGCCGAAACCACCCGCAGCCCUCCUGUUGUGACCAAAGAUACUGUCAAACCUCACACUAAAACCGGUCAAUAAGGCUCAUACUUUGCUGCGAAUAGUAGCAACCUGCGCGACAAGAAACAACGCCUGAAAUUGCUCGAUUUCAGUAUUUGAGGGCUCGGAUUAGCGCUAAAGUUUUCCGAAACACUCUAUGAUUCACUUGACCAACUUCACUAUCCCAAAACACUCACUUUUGAGUGUCGGGGCAGCCAUACACUAAGUGGUGCGAUCCGGGCACGAAAUCCUCAAAAUCCAUUGUACCAGGUCCCGAAAAUCAUGGUUUGCAGUUUCGGAACCCACCUGGGGUCCUUCGCUGGUUUGUCCAACGAGGCUUCUCUACCACUGCAAGCAGCAGCUAAACCCGCUCUACGAAAACGGAGCCUUAAUAAUAAUAAUUAAAUAAUACCAUUGAAACUAAAAAAUGUAUAAUGUAACAAAAGAAAAAAACACUACAAGCUAUUUUUGAAAAAUAUUUUAAGAUAAAGGUUAAUUUUUUAUGAUCAAUGGCUUAAAAUCAAAAUGUUAUGGAUUGUUUUGAUUUAUAAUAUGUAACUACAAGUAUGGUGACCCACACGUUGCAGCGGGUAGGUAUUGAUGAAAUGAGAAUAUAAAACAAUAUCCUAUAAUAUUAUAAAAAAGAGAAGGAAUUAGAGACAUAUCCUUUUCAGAUUUAUUUAGUAGAUAUAAUGCAGUGACACGAACUUUAUAACGAGUAAAUACUAUUGUAAAACUAAAAAUAUGUAAUUUACUAAGCAAACAAAAAAAAUAAAAUAUAAAAAAAAUUAAUAUUUUUACUUAAUGUAUAAAUUCAAUCUAUAUUCAAACCAUAGGCAGCAUUAAUUCAUGGGUAGAAAAAACAACAAAAUGACAACACAUCGGAUAACGGGCAGCAUUCAUAACGAUGAUGGUCCAUUUUCGGUCAACAAAAAAGAAAAUGGAGAAAAAAGUAAAAAAACAACCAAUUUGAGAAAAAACAAUUAAAAAGAUCGAGAUGAGGAAUAUUCCUUUUGUAUAUUGUUGAUGAAAUGAUAGAGCUUAUUUAUUGUGAAUAAAGUAGAUUAUAUAUUAUAAUCAACAUAAGAGUUUUCAGAGCAUUUCUUCUUUUUCUAAAAUCUCAAGCUAAAAUAAUGCAUUUCUCAAACUAUUUGUAUAUUCCUCUUUUCUUAAAAAAAACUCAAACCAAUAUAAUAACUCAUUUUAUGUUUAAUAAUUAAAUAAAAAGAGAGAAAGAGAAAAUAAAUGUACAUACAGGCAGUUAGAGGAUGGCAGGCGUUAUAGGUACAGAGAGCUCAAGGCCCUGAUCAAAGAGAGGAAAUAAAAGCACGUGAGAACAAAAUCCAAAAAAAUUAAAAAGAGAACAAUAACAUGAAAAAGAACAGAAAAAUAAAAAGAGAUAUAGUAAAAAAAAGCAGAGAGAUAGAGAUGAUAGUCUAUCUUCUCGGUGGGGGUCCACAACCGCCAAAUUAAAAAGAUGACGGCCACCGACCGUUCCUAGCGCAAGUGGCAAAGGGCUUGGUGGUUGAUAUCCGAGCUUCCCAGUUCGAAUCCUAGUUGAUUCACAUUUCUAGCUAAAUUUAUUUAUAGAUGAAAUAAAUGAAGCGGGUAGCGUGCUACGUAUCUCUCUCUCUCCCAAAAAAAACAAAGAUGACGGUCCAGCUUUUCGGUGGAGCUCAUACGCCCAAAUAUAAAGAGAUAACUGUUCAUCUUCUCAAAAAAAUGGAGAAAAAAAAGAAUCUAGUCAAUUUUAAAAAAUUAAUUAUAAAAAUCAGUGGGACCCACACUCUGUAAUUAAUGGGGUUGGCUACAUCACCGUAAAACUAUGAGGAUUAAUAGUAGUUUACGAAUGGGCAUUUGUACAAAAAAUCAUGAGUUUUAGAAGCCAUUUAUGUACGUGUCAAGUAGGUUCGAGAAUCAAUAGUCUAACAUUGUUAGAUUUACAAGAAAUUUACAUCCAAAUUUAAUAAAUUUUUAUAUGUAGACAUUUUUAUGAUCAUAGAGCACAACCAAUGAAUUAGAAUUUGAUUUUUAAGUACUUUAUCAUUAUCAAAAUAUUUACUCUGCACGAUAUAUGAUAUGUACUUUACACCUACAAAUUUAGAGCUCUAGUUUGGAUAAAACCCAAUAUAAAAAUUAAAAUUCUUUCAACCAAAUUUUAGUUAGUUAACUUCCUUUUCUUAAUUUGGCCAUUAAAUUUAAAACUUUAAGUUAUGUAUAAUUACUACGUUUUUGUUUGCUUUAAAGCAUGAGGGUGUUUGGUCUAGUGGUAUGAUUCUCGCUUCGGGUGCGAGAGGUCGCGAGUUCGAUUCUCGCAACACCCCUUAAUUUUUAAUUUUAUUUCUUGGCUUAAAUUUUACUACUUGUUUUGAAACAUCUAGCUAAGCUUUAUUUUGGUCCUCAAAUUUUUCAAAUUCAACAUCAGUGGUUUCUAAAGUCUUAAUUGUAUGUUUGAAUCAAUUUUCAUUUUGGUCCUCAAAUUUUUAAACUUUGAUAUCGAUAAUUUCUAAACUCUUAAGAGAAUUUUACUUUAGUACUUCUACAUAUUUAUUGUUUGAUGAAUUACAGCUUAGAACUCCAUGUAACUUUUCCUCUAUUUAUUAGGUUUUUAUCGUCUGUUUUUUUCAUCGUAUGUUUCAACUAUACUAUCCAUUGAAUUAUAUAUUUCUACAAAAAGUGAGGUUAAAUUACAUAAAACCUCCCUAUAAAUUUUUUUUUUUAUAUUUUCUUCCUAACUUUCAAAAAUCUAUAUUUUGCACCCUUAAAAUUUCAAAAAUAUUUUCAGAAGUGUACGACAUUAAUGGACAGGGCAAAAUGACCGAAUUGCCCACACUUCCUCUAUAAGGAAAAAAUAAUUUUUAAUAUAUUUUGGUCAUUUUGAAAGAUAUUUUUGGUAUAAAUUAUAAAAAAUGGAUAGCAUAAUAAUGAAACCCUGACGGAGGGGAGCUAAGAGGGUUAAAAUAUAAGUUUUUGAAAGUUAGGGAGAGAGAGUAAAAAAUCUGUGUAUUUACAAAGGGGUUUUCAGUAAUUUAACGAAAAAUAAGAUCUCUAAAUUAAAAGUAUGAGGUGGACGAAAAAAAAAGAGGAAUUUAUGGUAUACAAACAAAUAGAAGACCUAGGUGCAAAGCAAUAACUUUCAAUCUAAGAUAGGGGGCAAAAUGAAAUACCACUGUAAGUUCAAGGACUACUGAAAAUCUUAUCAAAAGUUCAGCUGUUCAGGAUUUUCAAAUACAGCCCUUCUCUCUUUCUCACAAGUCACAACCAUUGCUCUGUACACCAACCAUGCACAUAUAUGUAAACUCCAGUGUAUAUAUAUAUUGAAUCUUUGUGGUGAAAAUGUUUGUACUUGUAUAGUUCUAUAUUUCAUUUUCAAUAUUUUUUUUACCACUUGCAUUCAAAUUGUUUUCACUUUUUGCCUUCUCUUAUACAAUGGUUUCCCUGCCAGGUUUGAUUGAAUAAUUUAGUUAUGCUAGAAAAUUGAGAAAUGAGGGGGAUUUAUGGGAAACCUCGAUCACAGCUCUAAAAUGGAAUAAAGUGAUCUAAGAAAUAUUGUUUGUUUUGUGCCUGAUAUAUCUUUUGACUUAAGCCCAGUUUGGUAAUAUGGUGGCUAAAAUCUCCGCUUAUAUUUUGGAAGGUCUCAAAAUUUUGAAAGUAUUUUUUAUCUUUUCUCGUUCAAUACUAUAAAAUUAUGGUGACAAUCAUCAGUGAAAAAGUAUGUGGUUUCAUCUUAUUUAUAUUUGGUCUCGUUCACAUCUUUCAACCCCGUUUCAUUCUAAAGGUCUUCAUGCUAGUAAGGAUUUAGCACAUAGCAAGAGAGUACAUUAAAACUAAGAUUCACAUCUGCGUACAAGAGUUUCUCAGUAUACCAGUUUAAACUGUUUUGUAUGCUCGAGCCAUUUAACAAAGGAAAAGACUGCUCAAUUAAAAUGCCUAGGGCAUUAGAUUUGUAGAUAAUCAAACAAAUUUCAAUUCUCACCACUCCUACCUUGUACCUCCCUCCAAACAAAUAAAAAUAAAAAAAAGUUAAAAUUGCAAGGCAUUUGGUUGGACAGCACAAAAUACUGUGCCAACAAUUUCAAUUUUAUUUGUCUUUCUUCCUCUACCUAGAAGUACUAGACAUUAAUCCUCAAUGCAUAAUUCCAAAGCUAGUUAUGAGGUGAUAUUUAACUACUGCUAAAUAAGAUGCCUCCCAUUCCAUGUAUGACUAAAGUGAACUCAAAAGAAAUAUAUAUCAUGGCGUUACAGAUGUCAAACAACAGUUUUUUUUUUAAAAAAAAUACCAACUAUGAAAAAGAGCCAACAAUUUUUGGAAACUUUAUAUAACUGCAUGCUGCAUUCAAAUUGCGCUUCGACAGAGCAUACAUAUCAUGCAUUCAGUAUAAUACUUGGUAUUGAUGUUAUUGUUCAUCACUUUCCGACAGUACUAAACUGUGACUAAGAAUCUGGUGAACUAACAAGCUUAAGUCAGUUUUUCCCCAUGUUUUCGAGCAGCGAAGCGACGUUGUCAGCCGUCAGCGGCUUGAGGAGGAAAUCAUCUAUUCCUGCUUCCAUGAAUUCUGCCUUACUCUCACUGCUGGCAUUCGCCGUUAUGCCCACAAUCUUGGCGUCAACCCCCAUCGAUCGCAGCGUCCUCGUGGCCUACAUUUAGCAGAACAAGAACCAAAGGGAUAGGCAUGGCUUGUGAAAAUUUAGGUGAUUCAGUAAUGCAUUUGAAUCAUAUAGAAAGGCCAAGGUGGUGUAGAUGCUUAAGUAACACUUUAUGUAAUGCCUUGGUGCAAUGAGUAUAAGUUGCAUGGUUGUAAAAAUACCUCAGGGCCAUCCAUGACAGGCAUCUCUUUGUCCAUGAGAACUAUGUCGAAGUUACUCCCGGAGCGAAAGAGAUCCACCGCCUCUUUCCCGUUCUCGGCUGCAGUAGUCUCGACCUUAAAGAAACGGAGCAGAGCAGUCUGCAGCACGCGGUGGAACUUACUGUCGUCGACGACAAGAGCUCUCAACACAUUCUUACCGGAGCUUGCAGAUGUUGAACCCUUGAUCUUUUCCGGGCCGGAUCCCAUCGUGAUUUUUUCGCUUAUCUAGAAUCAACCAGUGUUAGAUUGUCUACUCAAAAGUACAGGGUAAAUAGUAAAGCUUAGUUGUAGUAUCUUAGAUGGCAUGAGUGUCCAUAAAAUUAAGAUCACUAGAUUGCCUAAAUUUGCAAACCAAAGAUUCAUAGAUGAAAAAGGAUAAACUUCAUAUUAUUGGCAUUGUCGAAGCGAAUGCAUCGAUAACUGUAAUAUGUGAUUAGUGAACCUGUCAUGCAUAUUUAGUGAAAAAAGAACUCAUAAGAGAAUCCAACAAACUUCAUCUUGUGCUGCUAAGGUAACACUGUCAUUACUAGAAGGCUUUUCUAGCUAUUAAUUGGAUUUGCAUUCUCAUAUCAUGUAUUGUUAUAUAUAUCUAUUUCAUAACUAUAUCUUUCUUAUAUGAUAACUAGGAAACUGAACAAUAAUUCUCAUUCCAUAAUAAACGGUGCAUUAUUUCUUUCACGGUGAAUCGAAUAUUAGUGCUCAAUCCUUAUUGUCUGUUUACCAUCUCUAUACCCAUGUAUAUAUAGUCAAAUUAUAUUUUGAAAAUUGCAUGCACAACCGACCGUCCCUAGAGCAAGUGGCAAGGGACUUGGUGGUUGGCACCUGAGACCCAAGUUCGAAUCCUAGUUGAUUCACAUUUCCAGCUAAGUUUAUUUCUAAAUGAAAUAAACGAAGAGGGUAGCGUGCUACCUAUCUCUCAAAAAAAAAAAAGAAAAAAAAAAAAGAAAAUUGCAUGCACAAGGUUGUACAGUAAGUUCUAGUAUUGGAAGGGCCUGGAUCAGAAUCACGAAAAUGGAUGACAAAAUGUAGCAUUCUUGAAGAUCACAAAGAAAUAUAUAAACAACUUAACUAACUUACAUAAACACCAUGAAAAAAGUGUAAUUUACAAAUGGAAAAAAGUCCUUGAGUAUGGCAAUGUUGGUGAAGAAACAUGCGGCGAAGAUAACACAACAUUUUGAAGAAUACCAUAUGCAUAAAAUAGUGAAAAAUAGUUCAUGAUAUAGGAUUUUUGUGUAAUUUGAAAUGCUUCUUGAGAGGUUAGAGGAGGUGAAAGAAAGGAAAGAAAGAAACCUCACAAUAAGUUGAGGAGGUAAAUAGUGGAAGACUCCAACUCAAUACCACUUUGGUGGUCCUAUAAUGUGGCCAUAUUUAUAGAAAUAUAAGGAAGUCUCUCUUAAUCACGAGAUAAGGUGACUGAUACAGUCGGAUAUUAGAAAAUCUCCACUGUAGGCAAUGUGAGAUAUAUAGUGCCGUACAAUAUCUAAGUAAAUCUAAUUGCGUAUAAAAUCUAAGUAUAUCUAACUUUGCAGCAAAAGCGUGCCACGUGUUAAAGUGGGAUAAUUGGCAAUAUUAUGAUUUUAUGUAUUUUGCCAGAAAGGUACCUCUAUUCUUGUGAAUUGUGCAAAUGACAUGAUUUGAGCAUUUAGUUUGCAUUGUCCUUUUUGAGUUCACAUUUUUAGUAUUUGGAUUUGCAUCACAAUGUUCCUUUGAUUUUUUUUUUUUUUUCCUUUCCCUUUGAGAGAUGUUUCAUUUUAAUGAUAAAAGAGCCUAAGCAUGCUUUAGACACAACAUGGGGACGCGUGCUUAGCGGAAACAAUGAACAUGUUAUAUUAGCAAGUACAAUGAUGUAUUCGGAGGUCACGAAUCAGUGUGUGGUAGUUUCAGUUCCAAAAUGUAUUUGCUGCUAAAAAAUUGUCACCAUGAAAUAGGAGAUUCAUUACAACAAAAACGGUGUAUAGCGACACUUUUAAAUAUCAGUACAUAUCAAAAAAAAAAAAUAUUGCGGCUAAAUUACCGACACUUUUAAAAAGUGCUGCUGUAUGUGAAAUCGUUAGGUAUAUAGUGACAGUUUAAGAGUGUCGGUAUAACCUAAAAAAAGUGCUACUAAUUUAUCAACACUUAUUUAAGCAUUUAACAACCGCCGGAACUCUACCUCGUUGGCUGCAGUGGCGGAGGAGGAGGAGAGCGAAGGACUCUUCGUCUAAGGUUUCAGUGGAUUGAGUGAGGAGAGAAGGGGCGAUGGUGAUCGAUUUUUUUUUUCUUUUUCUGUUUAUAAUUGGGCCGAAUGGGCUAGGUGAGGUGGAUUGAGUAGAGUAAUCUUUUAUUUUUUAUUGGAUUGGGCUUUAUAUUUAGGUCUUAGUAGAUUUUUUAAAAAGUUUUGGCAUAAAUGAGACACUUACAUAAAAAUGUCUCAAACAUGUGUUCCUAUAACCUAAUUCUGUUGUAGUGAUUUUCAAUACGUUUAAAAGUAAAUAUGAUUAUUCCUGCUCUUAUUCUUAAAGAAAAAUAUAAUUAUUUUCAUUAGAUACAGGCAAAAACAUUGUGAAAUGAUCUACAUAGUUAAUUGCUAGGGUCUUUUGUCCUUCAUUAUUUCUUUCCUUUCUUCUCUAUUCUUUUCAACUAGCAAAGGGACUUAUAAUCUAAAAAAGAAAAAAGCAAACUUUCAUUUUUGGUCAAAAAAAAUUGAUGAGCUCGUUUCCAUGUUGUGUGUAAGCCUGUUCAUUUUGUAAAUGGUUAUUUGUAUUGUAAACAAAAUGCAUGCAUACGUGGACAAUAUGGAAAUAAUUUUUGUGAAGUUUGAGACAAGCUAUUCAUACUUCAUCUGGUCAAAUUUACUAAGAUGAUUCCCUCUAGGGCUUAUUUGCAAAAACUGUAAUCCUAAUUAGCUUGGGUUGAGAUUAGAUGAUUAAAAAGAACUAUUCAUAUUCUCCACCUGACACACAUGUACCAAAUAGAUGCAAAUAUACUUGGUGUGUAACCUAUCAAAACUCUAUUUAUACACAACUUAGAGGCAAUGGCUUAAAGUUGGAGCUAGUUUGAUAAUGAAAUAAGGAUCAAAUUGAUGUGAAACCUUUCCUAUUUGAUUUUUUGUGAGUCGGCUUUCAAACGCCUUUCGAAUAGCGCGAAGUCGAUAUCAAGUGAGUGAGAUAUCACAAUUUAUCAAAAGGUGUCAAUAUAUAUAGUCUGCAGGCCGUAUCUUAGGCUGACGGAAGAAACUGGGUGCUCGAAAAUUUUAGGGUGCCUUAAUUUAGCGGCCUGACUUCUCCCAAGUUGCGAGGCACGAAACAGUUUCGAGUGCUCGGAUAUUAGAAAGUGGGCGCCCGACAAUUCAUGACGCACCCAAUUCUGUGUAAAAGGUUGCAAGAAGCCUGCAUUAGAAAAUUUUCGAUUGCCCCAAAGUUGAAAUUGCAUUCAAAUCCGUCAAAUCACAGUAUAUAUAGCUGUUGUAUAUUACAGUGCAUUGUCAGAAGCCUUUGGAGAUGUGGGUGCCCGAAAGCGGAAACUGCGCCGGAUACUAGAAUUUGACUUGUAACGGCUAUAUAUUAAUUUUUGGCUUGAGAUAGAGGGAGAAAAUAGGAAAAAAGAUGUAGAAUACCCAAAAGAGAUCUCUAAGUCCUUUCAUGGGUGAUUCCUCUACAGUUAGUGAUGUCAGAUCUUGUACAGGGAAGAUUUUCUCCCGUGGAGAAGAGAAGUUAUUGUAAAGGCUGGGGUGCUUUAGGGGUGGAAACGAGCCAAGCUCGAGCAAGCUUACCUCACCUCAGCUCAAGCUUGACUUGAAAUUAAUUUCGAGCCUAAAUUUAGGCUCAAGCUCAGCUUGAAAUUAAUUCGAGCCGAGCUCGAGCGAGCCUAAUUUCGAGUUGAGCGAGCUCGAGCCCUAAACGAGCUGCUUGAAAUUUUUAAAAUCGUGCAAUCUAUAGUUUAAUUUUUAUAAAAUAUUAUCUAAAAUUCGAUACAAAAAAUGUCUAAUAGCUUAACAUACAAAAUGCAUGUAUGAAAUAUGAUAUUAUAAUAUUAAAAAAAUAGGAAAAACAACUCUCUGAGCGAGUGAAAAAGAGAAAGAGAGAGCAAUUAAAGUAAGAUUUUACUGGUUUGGCUUUAUGGGCCCAAUAAUCUAAAUUCUAUAUACAUAUAAUUAAAAUACAUAAUAUAAAUUUAUAUAAUUAAAAUAUAUAUUAUAUAUAAUUAUAUUGGAGAGAGUUUUGGCUACUAUAUUCUAUUAAGUAUAGAGCCCUUUAAUACUCAUAAUUUUUUCACGUUAGAUCUAUUCUAUCCGUAAAUCAUCACUAUUCAACCAAACCGCCCCCGUUCAAUCCUAGGGGACUGCACUAUUAAUCCUAAUUGCACAUUUUCAAGCGGCGAAAAUUUAUAAGCAUAAAGGGGUUAUUACUCCAAAGAAUCAUAUAUACGCUAGGCCUAUAUAUAUGAUAAUAAUACUAUAAUAUAUACUUAUAUACUUAUAUUAUAUAGUAUAUAUAUAUAUAACUGUAUAUUAUAUAUAUAGAAGUUGAGUUAGAUGCCGUAUCGAUGGCAAAUUCAGCAUGUUUGCACCCAUUUGUUUUUCGAUGAUGGACGCCUCCAAACUCGCCGAUCGGCACCGUUGAACAUGAUUAUACCACUUGAAGUGUUUAGAAAUCAAAUUUUAAAAUCUUUUCAACAUCAUUAUUGCUAAUAAUCAAAGGGUUUCAAAAUUUAUAAUUUUAAUGGUCGAUAUGAGGCGUUUUCUCCGUUUAACGCGAAAAGAUAUCCAAAUCAAUUGAAUUUUUGUUAGAAAAUUCUUUAAACUAUUUAAAACAAGAUUAUACUCUUGAAUCUUGAUUAUAAGACUCCUAUAUAUCAUUUUUUUUAAGAAUAUUCAUUUUCAGCGUUCAUUUUGUGUCACUCGAUGGAUAAAGAAAACAAUAUCGAAAAUGUAUGAAAUUUGAUUUCUAAAUAUUUCAAAUGGUAUAGAUCAUGUUCAACGGUGCCGAUCAUCAAUUUUGAGGCUCCAUCAUCGAAAACAAAUGGGUGGCAAAAGUGCCGGUUUGCUAUCGAUAGUAUUCUAGCUCAACUCUAUAUAUAUAUAUAUAUAUAUAUAUAUAUAUAUAUAUAUAGAAUUAUGUUAUAAUAUUAUUAAUAAUAUCAACUAUUUGCUAUUAGGUUUUCGGCCCUUAGAUAGUUAUUAUAUGAUGAUAAAAAAAAAGCAUUCUAAUUACUAUCAUCCUAACUGCACAUCCCUUCAUCCAAGGGCCGAAGACCUAAUAGCAAGUGGUUGGUAUUAUUAAUAAUAUAAUAGACUUUUUCUAUAUACAUAUACAUACAUAUAUAUUUCGAGCUUUUCGAGCCUAAUUCGAGCGAGCCCGGUAAUACUCAAGCUUGACUUGAAAUUAAUUUCGAGCUUAAAUUUAGGCUCAAGCUCGACUUGAAAUUAAUUCGAGCCGAGCUCGAACAAGCCGAAUAUCGAGCCGAACGUGAGUCGAACACGAGCCGGCUCGCUCAUUUGCCAGCCCUAGGGUGCUUGGCCAAAAAAAGUAUUAGUAGGCAUAGUUCUGUUAUAAAGACUUGGUGCUUGUUCAUGAAAAGUAUUGAAGGGCAUUGUGCAGGUGUAAGUAACAGCUUGAUGCUUGCCCACAAGUAUCGGAUACUGGAAAUCUAACAUCUUUGAAAUUUAGAGUUGGUGGGGACGUAGGCAAAGGACCAAACCUCGAAAUAAAUUGUCGUAUGCUUAUUGAGUUUACAUUUCUCUGCUCUCUACUCUUUCUUAAUAUGAUUGAUUUGAUUUCACCUUACAUUGUUUUAUCUUUGUAAUUUCAAUUAGCUUAUACUUUUGCCUUAGAAGCCUAUUUCAUUCUCCAUUCUAAAUCGUCAUUUCGAUUAACAAAUACCACGCCCCAUCCCACAAAAUCUUUAAUCCCUGCAAAAUAAUAUAAUAUAUUAUUAUAUAAUUCUUAAUUUUUUAAUUAUAAAUAUAGAAUGUUAGUUUUGAUGUACUUAUAUAAAUAUUUUUAAUUUAAUCAAAUAUUUUAAACAUAUUUGAUUUUUUUUUAACAAAAAAAUUAGUUAAGCAAUAUAUAUGAUUGCUAUACAUUUUUAGUAAAUUGAUGUGUCAUACUUAAUAAUGUGGCAACGAAUAAAAAAACUAACUUAAUAAUUAGGGAAACUUUACACUAAUUUGAAUUAAAAAUAAAUUAAAUUUAAUAUAAAAUCUAAAUAAAAAAUAAUCUAGAAUAUUUUUUAAUCCAUGGGGUAUCAGCGGGGGAUGAGAACGGGAGAAAGUUAUUUUUUCGUUACUUUUAGUACUUGAUGCUAUCGAUUGUAUUCCAGCUGAACUCUAUAUAUAUAUAUAUAUAUAUAUAUAGAAUUAGACGGGAAUACUAUCAAUAGCACCAAGCUAUUGGUGCUAUUAGUUUUUUAGCCCUUGAAUUGAGAAAUGUGUGGUUAGGAUGAUGUGAGCCCCCUAGGGUUGAGUGGGUGGUUGGUUGAAUAGUAUAAUCUAACGGGUAAAAAUAAUCAAAGGGUUAAUCUAACGGUGGAAAACUCGAUAGCACCAAAUUCUUGGUGCUAUUGAUAGUAUUCCCGUCUAAUUCUAUAUAUAUAUAUAUAUAUAUAUAGAAUUAGGCUGGAAUACUAUCAAUAGCACCAAGCUAUUUGUGCUAUUAGUUUUUUAGCCCUUGAAUUGAGAAAUGUGUGGUUAGGAUGAUGCGGACCCCGUAGGGUUAAGUGAGUGGUUGGUUGAAUAAUAUAAUCUAAUGGAUAAAAAUAAUCAAGGUGUCAAAUCUAGCAGUGGAAAACUCGAUAGCACCAAAUUCUUGGUGCUAUUGAUAGUAUUCCAGCCGGACUAUAUAUAUAUAUAUAUAUAUAUAUAUAUAUAUAUAUAGAGGCUAAUGCUACUAUCCUAUUAAUAGGAUANNNNNNNNNNNNNNNNNNNNNNNNNNNNNNNNNNNNNNNNNNNNNNNNNNNNNNNNNNNNNNNNNNNNNNNNNNNNNNNNNNNNNNNNNNNNNNNNNNNNNNNNNNNNNNNNNNNNNNNNNNNNNNNNNNNNNNNNNNNNNNNNNNNNNNNNNNNNNNNNNNNNNNNNNNNNNNNNNNNNNNNNNNNNNNNNNNNNNNNNNNNNNNNNNNNNNNNNNNNNNNNNNNNNNNNNNNNNNNNNNNNNNNNNNNNNNNNNNNNNNNNNNNNNNNNNNNNNNNNNNNNNNNNNNNNNNNNNNNNNNNNNNNNNNNNNNNNNNNNNNNNNNNNNNNNNNNNNNNNNNNNAGAAGAGAGAAGAGAUGAGACGAGAGGAGAGAGAGAGUCCGGCUAUGGUGCUCGUAAAAGCCACCAGCAUUUGGUGCUUGUAAAUUUUUUACCGUUAAAUUUCUGUCUUUGAUCAUUUUUACCCGUUAGAUUAUACUUCAACCAACCACCCACUCAACCCUAGGGACCCACAUCAUCCUAACUGCACAUCCAUUAAUCCAAAGGCCAAAAACUUACAAGCACUAAUAACUUGGUACUUUUAAAAGCAUAGGAGCUCAAUUCUAUAUAUAUAUAUAUAUAUAUAGAGAGAGGAGGAGAGAGAGAGAGAGAGAGAGAGAGAGAGAGAGAGAGAGAGAGAGAAUACUAUCAGUAGCAAAAGGGUUCCGUUGUCAUCCAUUUAUUUUCAAUGAUCGAGCCUUCAAAUCGAAGAUCAGCACCGUUAAACAUGAUUUAUACUACUUGAAGCAUUCUAGAAAUCAAAUUUCAUACUUUUUCGAUAUUGUUCUCCUGUCCAUCAAGUGGAUACAAAAAUGAACGGCUAAAAAUAAAUAUUCUUUAAAAAAUAAAAAUAAUAAUAGGAGUUUUGUAAUCAAGAUCAAAAGUAUAGAUUUUAUUUUAAAUAGUUAAAAAAAAUUCUAACCAAAAUUCAACAGGUUUGGAUAUCAUUAUGUUAUUAAAAGAGAAACGUAACGUUAAAAUUACGAAUUUUAAAACCCUUUGAUAAUUAGGUCAAUGAUAUCAAAAAAACUUGAAAUUUAAUUUUUAGAUACUUCAAAGGAUAUAAGUCAUGUUCAACGAUAUCAAUCGUCGAUUUGAAGGCUCAAUCAUUAAAAAUAAAUAGGUGGCAGCAAAACUUGUUUACUACCAAUAGCAUUUCAACCUAUCUCUCUCUCUUUCUCUCUCCCUCCCUCUCUCUCUCUCUCUCUCUCUAUAUAUAUAUAUAUAUAGAGAGAGAGAGAGAGAGAGUUGAGCUAGAAUACUAUCGGUAGCAAACGGGCUCCGUUGCGGCCCAUUUGUUUUCGAUGAUGGAGCCUCCAAAUCGAUGAUCAAAAUCGUUGAAUAUGAUCUAUACCACUUAAAGUAUCUAGAAAUCAAAUUUCAUACUUUUUCGAUAUUGUUCUCUUGUCCAUCAAGCGAGUGUAAAAAUGAACAGCUGAAAAUGAAUAUCCUCUAAAAAGUGAUGAUAGAAAUUUUGUAAUCACGAUCAAGAGUAUAGAUCUUAUUUUAAAUAAUUUAAAAAAUUUUCUAACAAAAAUUCAAUUGAUUUGAAUAUUUUUACACCGUUAAAUGAGAAAACGCCUCAUAUCAACCAUUAAAAUUACAAAUUUUGAAACCCUUUGAUCAUUAGGCAAAUGAUGUCGAAAAGAUGUGAAAUUUAAUUUUUAAACACUUCAAGUGGUAUAGAUCAUAUUCAACGAUGCCGAUCGUCGAUUUGGAGGCUCCAUCAUCGAAAACAAAUGGGUGGCAACGAAACCCGUUUGCUAUCGAUAGUAUUCUAGCUCAAUUAUAUAUAUAUAUAUAUAUAUAUAUAUAUAUAUAUAUAUAAAAGACCUCUUGUUUGGUGCUUUAGCUGCUACUCCAGUUAUAAGCCGUUGGACAAAACAUAGAAAACCCAAAAAAAAAAUAAAAAAAUAAAUCAAAUAACACUGCUCGGCUACGCAUAACAUUGCUGGCCACAAAGUAAAUCCAACUAACCCUUAUCUUCUUAACAGCUUUCUCUAACAGCAGUUACGUAAAACUCCCGAGUUAACAAAACAAAGAUCUUUAAGACCUAGAGAGGACAUCUCAAAGUUCACAGAAAAUACUUCAUAACACUCACACUGCUGGCAAUUGGUUUCUCAUAUUUACUCAAAGAUUGAAAACUGUAACGCAAAAAAACUGAGCCCGUAAGAUAGAGUUUGGUGCAUCCAACCAGCAUCACACACUCACACACUCGCAAAACCAAUGCAAGUUUACAAUUUCACAUUUCAAAUUACUUUUAACCGGUUGGCUCAGUAACGAGUAAACAAAAGAUUUUUUACACAAUGUACUUCAUACUACUUUCUGUUACACUGCAUUUUGCACAUCGGCAUAUUUUGUGAAGAUUGAAGAAUCAGAAAAAUGAGACAGAAACUCACAAUACAACACAAUGCCACAAGACAAGAACGAUAGUGUGAGGAACCGGAAGGAGAGAGAAGAGGUACCUAUCAAUCUAAGGCCAAUUGGUGAAUUCAAACACCUUUUGCACUAUAUCGAACCCGGUUGGGAUCUGCCAUAUGAACAACAGGACGUUCAAUGUGUUCAAUGCAAUGUGGAGAUUCCUUGCAGUCUCAUUUCCCUUCUGCAUGGCAGGGACAAGCGCUGCGGCCGCUGCCCACAGCACAGUGAUAGCUACAACAACAGAUGAGCACACGCAAAUAUUUGGAAAAAUGAGUUUGCAAUUGUAAUGCUACUAUGAUUGAGGACAAAAAAAAUUUUGAAUAGAUGCUAUCAUAUACCACCAAGUUUUUGUUGUUAUUGUUUGGCGGUAGGAUUUCUUGUUCAUGGGCUGAUGGCUAUCAUUCUGUGUGAAUAGUAGACUAUCCUAAAUGUUUUUUGUCAAAAUAAAACAUAUUUAUAGUAGAUAUUCUACGAUGACGAUGGAUAGAGGUAAAAGACUUUCUUGAUCCUCAGAUAGAUGAAAAUAUAGCACGCACGCGAAUAAUCUAGCAUACCUUUUUCUAUAAUAAAUAAAAUACAGUUAAUAACUAAAUUAGCCAUUAGAGUUUCACCCUCAAACUUCUUAUUAUAACAAUCUAGUCUACCGACCGCCCCUAGCGCAAGUGGCAAAGGACUUGGUGGUUGGUACCCAAGGUCUCAAAUCCGAAUCCUAGUUGAUUCACAUUUUCAGCUAAGUUUAUUUCUAAAUAAAAUAAACGAAGCGGGUAGUAUGCUACCCAUCUCUUAAAAAAAAAAAAAAACAAUCUAGUCUCUGAAAUUUGUUCUGCAUACCAAUUGGGUUCUUAGUUACUCCAGCCUAGGAGAACGAAAUUGAAACUAUUAUAGUUGAACUUCUGAGGAUGAAAUUGAAAUUUGCAUCACACUACAUGGACUAAAUUAGUAAUUAAUCCUGUAUAAGUGUACACACUACAUGGACUAAAUUAGUAACUAAUCCUGUAUAAGAGUACACAAAUCGUAAGAAGCUUACGAAGAAUAUAAUCAUCUUCCAGUUUUCUUUACAUUCUCCUUAGUACUUAAAGAGGUCAAUGUAGUAUUGCACGAGGGAUUAAGAGGGCACAAUCACAAAGAGAUUAGAAGAAUAUUUCGAAUUUUCCUCAUCUUUCUAUUUUAUCUGGCAAUUUUGAAAAUAUAAACAGGAUGUGCAGUAUUUAUCACUAUAAAGGAUGAAGCACCAACAAUACAGUCCACUGCUGAGGAUACCAUUACGUAAUGACAAUGAGGCCAAAGAACUUAUAAUAAAGCAAGAUUUAAGUGCCCAUCGAUAUAGGCUGUAUCUACCAUACUAUAUCGUGCCAACAAAAUAUCAGCACGAUACAGCUCCCAUACCGAUGGCACAGCUCAAAACUCUCUUUUCUUUACAUUAGUAAGUAAUUUUUUCAAUAAAGUUCAAAAGACUUGAUAAAGAUACAUAAUAAGCAAUUAAAAUAUUUUGUUGCUAAAAAAAAUAAAUACUUUAUGUAAUUAUAUGUAGGUAACACAUAUAUUUUUUGUGACCAGCAUGCAUCGGCACAGUCCGGCACGCACCAUAUCAUACCGUGCCGGCAAGUUUUCGACACGACCCCGUGCCACGGAACUUAAAUCCUUGCGAGAAAAAGCCUUGACAAACGAUCAUUCACUCAAGAUUUAGUAUUUCUAAAUCACCAAAAAUUACACUACUUUUUAGUAAUCAACAGGGAAAGUUUUUAUUCUCAAAUUCUGGUUUUGAACAAAACUAUUUCCUACUGUCGCUAACAUAAGUACACUGAGCAAUCAGAUUAAGUUGACAGAUCCAUGUAUUGUUGCCGACUACAGCCCCUAUGCCAACUACAGCCCCUAUGAUUAAACACUUUCCUGGGAACAAAUCUGCCAGGGAAAGUAGUUUCAAUUCAAAGUAUUUUAUUUUCUGUGGUAAAUGAGUAAGUGGCAAUCUCUCUACCCAACACUUAAUAUACCAAAAGCAUCGAGGGUUGGUAUUCCGAAAGCACUUUACGCUGACUAUACAAAAUAUAUGUACAAGCAGACAAAGAAUGACAGGGCCACCAGUAUUGGAGUGCUAAAGAAAAAGAAUGAUUGAAUAAUUGAGUUAGGUUUUCUAUACACUUGGGCUCGAAUUUAAUCUCUCACAAGAAGCGAAGAAAGAGACUAUAAUUACUAUUGCACUCUGAUUAUAGCCAUAGAUAAAUGUAGUCCUGGUCUAAGUGUUUGACUUCGGACAAAGAGCCGUAAUUGGAAAAGGUCACCUAUCCAUUUCAUAGAGUAUUAUACAUGUGGAAAUCCAAGGAAGGAAACAACCCCAGAUCCGCCUAGACUUUGAAUUGAUUGCAAAUCGCUCAAAUACUAGAAGUUGGAAAGAUGAAAUUUAUUAUGUGAAUAAUUGAUUUGCACUAAUCAACUACCCAGCUUGAUUUUCUCGCCUUCUAUCUGCUGUCGUUACGAGAUGGUCAUGCGACAGGAAAGAUACUAGAAAUGAAGUUGAAAAUCUAACGUUAGAAAAUUUAGUGCUAACGUAAACCCUUUCCACAAAAUUUAGGGUUAAUUGACCCUGUCCGGCAAGAAAAUCCCGAACAGGAUGUAAACCCUUCCCAAAACCAAAUCUGAACAAAUUUUAUUUCAAAUGGAAUUCAAAUCAAAUCUGAUCCAGGACCCAUAAUAUGAAGAUUAAAGAUGCUUAAUAGAUUCUUAAGCUAAAUUAAAUAGAGCAGCUAAGGCAUCGUCCGGUAUUAUCACAGUUUGUUCAUUUUCGUGAACACAAACUCUAUCCAAUGGAACAUAGGUAAGUUCAUCUACUAGUGCAUCCAACCACAUAUAGUUCUUUUAUGAAACAAAUAGAAAAAACAGUAAGAAAUCUAAGUGAGCUGUAACUAUUUAACAACUAGUCAUUCCCCCUUUCUUUGAUAAUAUAUACAUGGUAUCUCUAAAACAGCAUUUCUAUUUGAGAAACUAUAGAUUUUCAGCCUCCUUUGGGUACACUUCUGCUUGUAAUCUGUACGACAAAAACCAAAAGCUUACUAGUAACAUCUUUUUUGCUUCUUUUUUGUAACAAAGAUGCCUUUUGGCAAUUGGCCAGACUACAUCGCAAGCUAGCCAAUGAUGACAAAAGUAGCGAUGUCCCUCUAUUGGCACAUCCAACCACAGAAUUGUUACAUAUAAAAAUUAAAAAAACAACAGCAAUACCAAACAAGGUAUAACUACAUUAAUUUUAUUAGUUAUACUUUUUCUUUUGAUAAUAAUAUGCAGUAUACAAUAAGUGUGAAACAACCGAUGUACUCUAAAAGCUUAAGCUGUUAGAGAACGGUGUUUAAACAUUUUUAUAUUUAACACUCCCCCUCACGUCUGGGCUCGAAACCUUUUAAUCAGCCCAUGACGUGGGCUUGAAUUAAAUGGGAGGAAAUUAAUAUGCUAGGAGUCUGGCGUGACUCGAACUCAGGACCUCCUGCUCUGAUACCAUGUGAAACAACCGUUGUACUCUAAAAGCUUAAGCUGUUAGAGAACGGUGUUUAAACAUUUUUAUAUUUAACAAUAAGAAUGUUCUUAGUCAAGAAACUAAAAAUUUAAGGCCAAAUUUGGUUAGACUUGACACUUGCUUUGUUUUCUUAACAGUGAAAUUUUAUGCGACUGAAUGUGCUAGCAUAUGACAAAUUAUUAGCAAACUAUAUAUGUAUAAAGUUUGUUCAGCCAGAGGAAAAAAGAAAAGAAAAAAAAAAAAAUUAGUGACAACUUAUUUCACUUGUUUCCUUUUUUUGUGAAGAAAAUGAGUUUGCAAGCUAAUCAACACGUCCCAAGAAUAAAAAAGUUCAUCCAUUAGUGCGUUCAAAUGCAUGGAAAUGUAAGCAUAGUGAAACAAGGCUUUAAAAUCGUUGAUUUGUAAUUUCAAUUUUCAUGUAAAAAUAGGACCGACACUAGAUUGGGUCCGGAUGUAACUUCUAAAGCAUCAAUGGUUAAAUCGCCUAGUGUACAAAAGUUCCCUACACAGAAAAUUCGCAAUCAAUUUCCAAUGUAUGAAAAUCUUCUUUUGGAUCAGCCAGUCAGCAACUUUAGUAAAAUCACAAUUUUAAGGCGCUAGGUCACAUACUAAAACACUCGACCUAUCGUGUCCUUACAACAGGUAUUAACAGGUUGUGACAAUGCAUGGGACAAUCUCACAGACCCAGUUCUUUUCUUAUUUUUCCUUCAGUGGUCCUCAAGAAAUGCUACAUGCUAUAUAUAAGACAGAUCUCAAAGUGGAAGCAAUAAAACAAGCGCAGGUAAAAACAGAGGGGGAAGGGAGUAAGCUUUCCAGAGCAUACCAGCUCCAGCGAAGAGGUGGGGCCCGGGGAAGAGCUUCCCUGUGCGGAACCACGUAUUUAUUGCCCCUCCCACUGCCUCGAACACUCCGAAUCCCAGCAGUAUCGACCCUGCAUUAUAGUGCCGAUCCCUGUACGAUCCCUUCAGCAGCUCCUUCCUCUCCUGUUCAAAUCCCAACACCAAAAAUUUCACAUCUAAAUUCUAAUUUCUGCACUCCCAUGAAAAAUAAUAAUUGAAACAAACACGGAGAUAAUUAUGAAAUUGUGCUAUGGCAGUAAUUGUUGCUACUCAAAGAACAGUUUUAACAUCGUUACUCAUUUACAUGUUUAAAAGAUCUGACAAAAUAUACAACACAAACUGACGGAAGAGGCAAAAGAAACUACAAAUAGAACAACACUAAGAAAUUUAUGUUAUUAUAUGAUGAAUGUAAAUGAAUCAAAGCCUCGUGAAACAGAGUCGUAGGGCCGAUUCCGAUGCUAUAAUACAAAAAGAUAGAUAUAUGAAGUAGAAUACGACAAAAUGGUUCGGGAAUAAUCAGAAAACUGAUUUUGGCUCCGAUACCAUAUUACCAAAAACAUCUGUUGAAAUUGGGGAGCUAAGGACUAGUUGAAAUCUUAUAGGAUACGGUUCGGGAAUAGUCCGGGGUCACCUCGGUGAGCUUCUGAAUCUUGGCUUCGACCGGGGAGACCUCCGCAGGGGGCGGCGGCGACGCAUCGGAAGCAGCGGCGCCAGCGGGAACUGCGGCGGCGGCGGGGGCCGGGGAUUUGACCUGCUGCUUCUUGAGCUGGUUGAUCUCGUCCUGGAUGGUGCGGACGCGGCGCCACUGCCACCCCAAGUACCCCGCCCACAGCGUGUAGAAGAAGAGCCCGCUCAUCACCAACGGGUGCACCAGCGCCAGCGUGCGCCCCUCCAAGAUCCCGAACUCCCCUCCCACCGCCAUCGCGUCCUUCAUCGACCCCAUCCCCAAAUUAAUUUCUAGGGUUUCGUUACACACGCGGUACGAGAUCAAAGAUGAUGAGGAGAGGAGUACGUGCCUGGGGAUUGACGAAGAGGGGCAAUGAGAACGCCGCGGCGGCGGCGGAUGCUGCUGCGGCGGAGGGUAGGGGGAGGGAUUCGGAGAGCGAUCGGAGAGCGACGGAGAGGUGGAAAUGGAGAUCGAGCGACGACGACGACGACGACGACGACGACGACGAUGGGGUUUUGGAGAGCUUAGAGGAGAUAGGGAUGGGAUUGGGGAGGAGAUUGAGAAGCCCCAUCGUUGCGGCGGUGCUCGCCAUUGUUGCUCCCUCUCAAAGUUUCAGAGAGAGAGAGAGAGAGAGAGAGAGAGAGAGCGUGUGUGUGUUCGUGUGAUUUUGGAGGGAAAGAGGAGAUAAGAGACGAGGGGACGAGAAAAGGAGAUGGUACGGAGAAAAUGAAUGGCGGAGUAUGCGGACGCGUGGGGCUACGAGAUUAGCCGUUGGAUUCGUGCUACAGUGGCAUUUGGGUAAUUAAAGAACGGUGGAUGGUGGAGGAACGAUGGGUCCGCAUGCGACUCCGCAUGGAGGAUUUCGGAAGAGGAAGCGUCUUGAAGCUUCUGGUGAGCACACGCACGCACGUAAUACAAAUUGCACCCCUAGUCCCUAACCUUUCAGCAAGUUUUAUUUUGGUAUACAAACAUUUAAGUUGACCAGUAGUUGUCUCUAAAUUUACAAUUAAAAAAAAAAUUACUUAUACACCUCUGAAGUGUAAAUAUUAUAUUUCUUAUCUUAGAAUCUACAAAAAAAAAAAAAAAAAAAAAAAAAAAAAGCCGAAAUAGAUUUUAGUGAAAUAAAAAAAUGAUGUGAUAAGUAAAAAAAUAAUAGCUUUUAGAUAGAAUGAGUGCAAAAUAUACACUCCCGUAGCAUUGCUCAUAAAAAAAAAAAUAAUGAAUACAUCCAAAAAUUAGUGUAUAUUUUCCAUUCGAUUUAUCCAAUAGAUGAGAUAUUUUUAUUAAUCACAUUAAAUAACUAGUAAGAUGUAUAUCUUUCAAUCACUUAUUGGAUGUGUGGUGUGUAGUUAAUCUUAAAAAUUUCAGAAACACUACUGAUACGCAAAAAAGGAUAUAAAUCUUACGAUCUUUUAUUCCGAGAUCCAUAUCGGUUAAAAAAAAAAAAAAGGUUCAAGUUUGUAUUGACAAAUCUUACACUCUUUUAUCCAUCGGUCUAUAUUGAUGGAGAAAAAAAAAUUGAGCAAUACUACAUACUAGGGGCGGAAACGAGCAAGCUCGAGCGAGCUUAUGAACCUGUUUGGCCUAAUUUCUGAAAAAGUGAUUUCUGAAAAUAUGAUUUUGAUUUAGAGAAUUGAUUUUGCUUAAAAGCUGUAGAGCGUUUCGCCGAAAUAGAUAAAAGUGACUUUUCUGAAAUAAUUUUGAAAAACUAUUUGGCAUUUUUUGUUAUGUUUGCAUAAAUUAAUAUUUUUAUUAAAUAUUAUUUUAAAAUAAUUUAAAAUCUAAAUUUAAAUUUGAACUAAAAUUAAAAUUUUUAAAUUUCAAAAUUAUACAAAAUUUAAAAUUUGAUAUUUAAAUUUUAAAAAUAAUUUAAAAUUUUAAAAAUUUAAAAAUUAAAAAUAUAAAUAUAAAUUUAAAAAUAUAUAUAAUUAUGAAUUUUAAAAUAUAAAAUUUGAAUAUUUAAAAUUUAAAAUUUAAAUUUUGAAUAUUUAAAUUUAAAAUUUAAAAUUUAAAUUUUGAAUAUUUAAAAUUGAAAAAUAAAAAUUUGAAUAUUUAAAAUUUAAAAUUUAAAAUUUAAAAUUUAAAAUUUAAAAUUUUAAAAUUUUAAAAUUUUGAAAUUUAUAAUUUGCAGAUUAAAAAUUAUAAUUUGAAAUUUUAAAAUCUAAAAUUUGAGAUUUGAAAUUUAAAAUUAAAAUUUAAAGUUUGAAAUCUAUUUUUCAAAAUUUAAAAUUUAAAAGUUAAAAUUUAAAAAUUCAAAAAUGAAUCUGAAAAUUAAAAUUUAAAAUUAAAUUUAAAUGUAAAUAUUGAAAUUAAAAUAAAAAUAAAAAUUUGAAGUUUAAAUCCAAAAUCAGAAUCAAACUUCAAGAAGUAGCUUUUUUCAUCUUCUGAUUCUGAGGCCUUUAAAAUUAGAUUUCUGAUUCUAAAAAGCAGAAUCAUAUUUUAAAAGUGUGUUGCCAAACGUUCUAUUGAGCCGAAAAUUACUUUUCAACUCAAAAGCACUUUUUGAAAGUUAGGCCAAACACCCCCUAUCUCUGCUCAAGCUUGGCUUGAAAUUAAUUUCGAGCCUAAAUUUAGGCUCAAGCUUGGCUUGAAAUUAAUUCGAGCCGAGCUAGAGCGAGCCUAACUUCAAGUCGAACGAGCUGUAGCCCUAAACGAGCUGCUUGAAAUUCUUAACAUCAUGCAAUCUAUAAUUUAAUUUUUAUAAAAUAUUAUCUAAAAUUUGAUAUGAAAAAUAUCUAAUAGUUUAACAUAUAAAAUAAAUGCAUGAAAUACGAUAUUAUAAUACUAAAAUAAUUAGAAAAAUCGACUCUGCGAGGAAGGAAAAAAGAGAGAAAGAGAGCAAUUAGAGUAGGAUUUUGCUGGUUUGAUUUUGUAGGCCCAAUAAUCUAAAUUCUAUAUACAUAUAAUUAAAAUACAUAAUAUAUAUUAUUUUAUAUAAUUAAAAUAUAUAUUAUAUAUAAUUAUAUAUAGAGAGAGUUUGGUUACUAUAUAUACUUUUAUAAGUAUAAACCCCUUUAUACUUAUAAGUUUUCGACCGUUAGAUCUAUUCUUUUGACCAUUUUCAUCCGUUAAAUUAUACUAUUCAACGAACCACCCACUCAAUCUUAGGGGACCACUGUCAUUCUAAUCGCACAUCCAACGACCGAAAAUUUAUAAGUAUAAAAAGGUUUAUACUUAUAAGAGUAUAGUAGCCCGAGCAUAUAUAUAUAUAUAUAAUUAGGCUACUAUACUAUUAAUAACAAAAACCGCUUGCUAUUAGGUUUUCAGCCCUUGGAUGAAAGGAUGUGCGGUUAGAAUGAUAGUAGCCCCCUAGGGUUGAGUGGGUGGCUAGUUGAAUAUUAUGAUCUAACGGAUGAAAAUGGCUAAAGGGAUAGAUCUAAUAGCAGAAAACUCGAUAGCACCAAAUGCUUGAUACUAUCGAUAGUAUAAUAGCUGAACUUUAUAUAUAUAUAUAUAUAUUAUAAUAUAUAUAGGCAGAUUACGGCAAAACUUAAUAAUACAAGCGCUUAGUAUCUAAGAUAUAAUAGAUAAUAUAAUAGCCGGAUAUAUAUAUAUAGAGAGCAGAAGAGAGAGUCGCAUUACUAUAUUAUCGAUAGUACUAAAUGUUGGUAUUAUCGAAUUUUUUGUGCUUAGUAGGGGUGGACGAGACGAGACGAGCGAGCUUAUGUCAGCUCAAAUUCGGAUUGAAAUUAAUUUCGAGCUAAAUCUAGGCUCAAGCUCGGCUUGAAAUUAAUUCGAGCCGAGUUCGAGCGAGCCUAAUUUCGAGUCGAGCGAGCUCGAGCUCUAAACGAGCCGAUUGAAAUUCUCAAUUAUAUAAUCAAUAGUUUAAUUUUUAUAGAACAUUACCUAUAAUUUGAUGCAACAUGUCCAAUAGUUCAAAAUACAAAAUAAUUACAAGAAAUAUGAGCUAGGGUGACUGCCUGACUGGGUGAGGGUCUGAGGGAGAGAGAGAGAGAGAGAGAGAGAGAGAGAGAGAGAGAGGAAGGAAAAAAAAUUAGGGAUUUGGGAAUUUAAAUGUUAUCAUGUUUUAGGGUUAUGUGCAACAGUGAAAGUCUGAAAGAGAGAGUGUUAUGUAAAUUUAGAGUUGGGCUCAAUUGCACGGUUGUACUUAUUGGGUUUAUUUUAUGGGCCAACAAUAAUGGCCCAAAUUAAAUUAAAGCCUAUAUAUAAUUAAAUUACAUUAUAUAUAUAUAUAUAUAUAUAUAUAUAUUCGAGCUUUUCGAGCCUAAUUCGAACGAGCGGAGUAAUACUCAAGCUCGGCUUGAAAUGAAUUUUGAGCCUUUUAUUCAACUAACUACCCACUCAACCCUAGAGGAUCACUGUCAUUCUAACCACACAUUCCUUCAUCCAAAGAUCGAAAAUCUAAUAGCAAGUGAUUGGUACUAUUAAUAGUAUAGUAGACUAUAUUUAUAUGUAUAUAUAUUUCGAGCUUUUCGAGUUUAAUUCGAGCGAGCCGAGUAAUACUCAAGCUCGGCUUGAAAUUAAUUUCGAUCAUAAAUUUAGGCUCAAGCUUGCUUGAAAUUAAUUCGAGCCGAGCUUGAGCGAGCCGAAUAUCGAGCCGAACACGAGUCGAACACGAGCGGGCUCGCUCAUUUGCCAGCCCUACUACAUACACUUGUAAAUCUUACAAUAUUCUUCCAAUUUAAAAUUCACAAAAAAUUAAAUAGAAUUUCGGUUAAAAAAAAAUUGAUAAGAUAAGUAGAAAGAGUUCUUAGAUGAGCUGAGUGUAAAAUAUAUAUUUAGUUAGGAGUGCAUAUCCAGCAUUACUUUAUAAAAAAAUAUUAUUGAAAGUUUAGAGAUUAAAUUUAGUGUAAACUACGGUCCUCAACUAUGAGGCACGUGAAACGUUAGCCUUUAAACUUUAGCUUAUUGUAAAUCUGGCUUGAAGUUUCAAAAUUAAAGUGUAAACUUUCAAAAUUAAAGUGAUAAUGAUUAAUUUAGUAACAUUUACUUUUAUACUUUAUGUAUCCAUAUCAUAUAUGAUUUGUAUAGAUUGAUAUAUAUAUUCUACUUUCAUAUGGAUAAAAAAAAUCUUGCUUAUUUGGUCGGCCUGUUGCAUGUGCCCAAAUGAGCUUUUUUGGCGGUAUUGAAGAAUAACGCAUCUUUUAUUUCUAACUUUUUUAUUUAGAUUUUUCUAAUUAAUUAAGUUCAAAAAAAUUUAUUAAUUUUUAUAGCUCAAUUAACUUGUAGUAGUUAAUUAAUCUUAUUUUGUACGCUACAAAGCAGUUUAAGAUAAGUGAAAGAAUCUAAUGCAUUAGAUGGAUGAAUGUAAAUCUUGCACCUGGGAAUGAGGUAUAUGAAUAGCAUUCUUUAUACUCUUCUGUAAAAAUCUAUGAAGACCCCCUCAAAUGUUUGCGCUUUUUAAGUGUCCGGCCCCCUCAAUUUACCCUUUUUUGAAUUAACACUCCCUCAAUCUUAAUUUGUUAAAAAUUAAACUAUUUUGUCAUAUAAAUUAUAUAUUCAUCAAAUUUAUCAAUAAUUUUUAUUACAUUUAAAAAUUAAUUUUAGUAAUAAAUUUAUUUUUAUUAAUAACUUUAAUUAUUUUUAGUAUUUAAAACUAGAAUAGCCCAGUUGAGUAGCUAAAAAUCAGAAUUAAUAGUCCACCUGAGCAGCUAAACUUAAUUCAAACUAAAAGGAAACAGAACUUUAAAAAAUUUUGGUCCUCAAACUAUGAGUGGGAUGACAUUUUGGUCCUCAAAUUUUAUAAUAUCUUACUUAAAUUUUUUGUAUUGUUGUAAUUAAGUAACACAUUUCAAUUUAGUUGACUAAAUAUUGAUAAGUUGUUGGUAUAAAAGUGAUAUAAUAACUUAAUUAUUAUCGCAUAAUCAAUCACAACACUCAACACAGCACUUCUCAUCGAUGAUUUAUCAAAUAUUUAAUCAACUAAAUUAAAAUCUGUGCGACUUAAUUGUAAUAAUUUUAAAAAGCUAAUAAAAAUUUAAGGAUCACAGUACCACGUUCCACAUUGUUUAAGGACCACAGGUGUAAUUUUUCCGAAAUUUUUUUAAAAGAAAAAAUCAAAGUUGAAGUUCCUGUUUCGAAAUUGUCUACAGUUGAGAGGGAUCUCCGCGCACUUCUCAUCGUAUGCUUUUGUUACCGUGCGAGCUCAGGGUUAAAAUGAUUAGUCCCACAUCGGGAUUUAAACCACACUAUUCCCUCGUCUUUAAUACGUCAAUGCGACCGUUGUGACGUGGGGGAGCGGCAGGAGGCGUCAUCGCAUCUGUUUAUUCAAACAACGCUCGUGCAGCGUUCUAAACCCUAAACCUUCCCCAAUUUGGCGGGAAAUUUGCGAAAAAAAAAAAUGUUUCUCGAAAAGCGGGCCCACUUUCUCCGGGGUUUCCGGCCUAUCAAAAAAAACCAAAGGAAAAAAAGAAAAACCCCGAUGCCUUGCGAUGAUGAUGCCUCCCCUGUUGUUGUGAUUUGCCGCGGAAGGUUCGUAGGGGGCUCCUCACAAGCCGAUCAUCCUCGCCUUCCACACCCCCCCUUUUUUUUUUUUUAAUUGUGAGAGCUAUAAUAAAUAAUAUUUUGAUUUUUAAAUCACUAUUUUUCAUAAUUUUGAUUUGAACUUUUUGAGCUCGUUAUGAUUUAGUUUUGUAAGUUUUGUUUUCUGAUUUGUCGUAUAUUUAAAAAAAUUAGAAUUUGUGGAGAAUUGAAUUUUUUUAAGCUAAAUUAUCGUUUUAGUUCUUUAAAUUAUAAGACGUGUGAUACAUUGAUUUUCAAAUUAUUAUUUUUUAUAACUUGGGCUCGAGCUUUCUAAAUCGUUACAAUUAAGUUUCAUAAUUUUUGUUAUCUGAUUUGUCGUAGAGUCAAAUAUAUUUCUAUUUCAAAAAAUUUUGUAUUUUUAACUUUCAAAUUACAAGACGUGUGAUACUUUGAUUUUUAAGCUGUUACUUUUUUGUAAUCUUAAACUAUAAUUAAGUUUUAUAAUCUCUGUUAUUUUUUAUUUUCAAACUACUAUUUCUUAUAACUUUGGCUCAAGCUUUUUGAAUCGUUACAAUUAAGUUUCAUAAUUUUUGUUAUCUGAUUUGUCGUAUAAUCGAGUAUAUUUCUAUUUCAAAAAAUUUCAUACUUCUAGAUUUUAAAUUAUAAGACCUGUGAUAUUUUGAUUUUUAAACUAUUAUUUUUUAUAAUUUUAAACUAUAAUAAAGUUUUAUAAUCUUUGUUAUCUGAUUUGUCGAAUAUUCAAAAAAUUAUAAUCUGUGGAGAAUUUUUUCAGCUAAAUUAUACCUUUAUAGUUCUUAAAUUAUAGAACAUGUGAUAAACUGAAUUUCAAACUAUUAUAUUUUAUAAUUUUGGUUCGCGCUUUCUAAAUCAUUAUAAUUAAGUUUCAUAAUUUGUGUUAUCUGAUUUGUCGUAGAGUCAAACAUAUUUCUAUUUCAAAAAAUUUUGUAUUUUUGGUUUUUAAGUUGCAAGACGUGUGAUACUUUGAUUUUUAAACUAUUAUUUUUUAUAAUUUUAGACUAUGAUUAAGUUAAGUUUUAGAACCUUUAUUAUCUGAUUUUUCGUAUAUUCAAAAAAUUAGAAUAUGUGGAGAUUUUUUUUCAGCUAAAUUAGAAUAUGUGGAGUUUUAUAAUCUUUAUUAUCUGAUUUGUCGUAUAUUCAUAUUCUAUUUUUUUUUCAAAAAAUUAGAAUAUGAUAUACUUUGAUUUUCAAACUAUUAUUAUUACUUAUAAUUUUGGCUCGAGCUUUCUGAAUCUUUACAAUUAAGUCUCAUAAUUUUUGUUGUCUAAUUUGUCGUAGAGUCAAAUAUAUUUCUAUUUCAAAAAAAUUCAUAUUUUUAGUUUUUAAAUGAUAAGACGUGUAGUACCCUUGGCUUUGAGUUGGAGACGUUUUGCGCAAAAUAGACGUAAAAACGGACUUUGAAACUCAAGAUUUUUAUUGUAGAGGACUAAAGUGAAAAAUCUAGAUGUAUAGGGGCUUAUGGGCAAUUGUUUUUACUUAGUCGGUGGAGUCCACGUGGUCCUCCAUUCUCUAUUCUCAUCCUUUCUUUUUGUUUUUUUUUUUUAUUAUAUUGCCAAGUUGUGAGCUAAUUAAUUAGCAGGGUAGCAUUGGGUUCGUUCGUGCGAGCGAGCAAGGCGAGCGAGCGAGUCAAGUGCGCGCGUCAUAGUAGCGCCGUUGGAGGCUGGGCGAGCGCGGAAUUUCUUUUCCUAUUGACUUCUCGCUGUCGUGGAUUAGCGUUUGAAAUGGGUUUAUCAUCGGAUUUCUACUCCUAUAGUCCCGUUGGUCGACAUAUAUAAUUAGUGUAUAUUCGUCGUUAUUGUUUUUAGCUCAAAUUCAUAGUUAUGCAUGUUUUAGACAUAUGAAUUAAAUUUGGAGCAUGUUAUUAAGUGUUAAUAAUUAUAUAUGUUGGACUUGAAUAUGAUAUAAGAGAAAACCAGCGUUCGGGACCUGUCAUAUGUUAAACUACCUAAUUUAGCUCUAGGAGCCGCUGUAUUUUUAUACUGUUGCAGUAUUCUUAUGGUGAGUACCCCAGAUAGUUCAAAUUACUGUUACGCUCAUGCUGGGAUGCCGAGCCGAUUUUUACAGUAGUGUUUAUAUUGUUCCGGACUAGUGGGUGCCGUAGUGGUUGACGACGGACUUAAUUAGAUUUGUCAUUUUGAUAUUAGACUGUGCCGAGGGCACGUGACUAGUUAGUUGGUAGUCCAGUUAGACCUUAUUUAUUUGACCGAGCCUGUGAGAGCCAGAAUGAAACGAUAGAGACACUUGUAAACUCGUUGGGUCGCGCCCACGAAUGACAUUCCGGAAUGAGGUUUCAGUGCAAUGAGUGUCACAGUUUUUGUUAGACAGUUCUUGAGCCGGCCACCCUCGGGGUGGUGUACGGCGUAGCGGGAUACAGGCAGGGUGGGUCCGUUUGGACAGCCCGGGUGAGAUAGCCAGUGACUUUUACUACAGUUGGUUAGUGUAGAGCAUUCUAGUGUAGGAACAUAUAGCUGUAGAUUUCUUUCUAGCUUUUUCUUACUAGCUCUGUUCCCUUCUGUAGACUUAAUGGGUGAACCGAUGAUGUUGAGGGCGGUACCUACUGAGGACUACUUGUUUUUACAGUAGUUCUCACGCCCAGUUGUUACCACUGUUUUGCAGAGCCACCGGUUCCGGCUGCUGCACCUUCUGAGGCUGAUCGUGGUAAGGGCGUUGCGAGCUAGAGCCCUACCCGACGAGUCGCUGUGAUAGAGGAUCACCAGCUGCAGGUAGUCGUACUUUUGGUUUUUGAGUUCAUGUACAUACAGUUGUUGUAACUCGCUGGAGCGAGUACUUUUGGUCUGAUCUUUAUGUAUGUAUAUGAGACUUGUUUUAUUCUACCUGUUUAGUUUCUUUACAGCUCUAUACUACUGGUUAUAGUAUUGUAUGUUUUAUAAUUACCGUUACGUUUCGUAUAUAGAAAAAAUUCUUUGUAUACGGCGGAUUUGUCGGCGUGCCCGGGGAAUGUGUAAUCCGGGGCGUGACAAGACGUGUGAUACUUUGAUUUUUAAACUAUUAUUUUUUAUAAUUUUAAACUAUAAUUAAGUUUUAUAAUCUUCGUUAUCUUUGAUUUUCAAACUAUUAUUUUUAUAAUUAUGGCUCGAGCUUUCUGAAUCGUUACAAUUAAGUUUCAUAAUUUUUAUUGUUAGAUUUAUUGUAUAGUCAAAUAUAUUUCUAUUUCAAAAAAUUUAAUAUUUUUAGUUUUUAAAUUACAAGACGUGAUAUUUUAAUUUUCAAACUAUUAUUUUUUAUAAUUUUGAUUUGAACUUUCUAAAUCGUUGUAAUUAUGUUUUAUUGUUUUUGUUUUCUGAUUUGUCGUAUAUUCAAAAAAUUAGAAUAUGUGGAGGAUUUUUUUCCAGCUAAAUUAGAGUUUUAGUUCUUAAAUUAUAAUACAUUUGAUACUUUCAUUGUAAAACUCAAAGUUGUCCAAAAUAUCCGAUAUAUCAUACUCGAUUCGAACCCUACCCAAACCCUAUCAGGACCCAAACCGGACCCGUUAAAAAAUGGAUAGUAUAAGGGUAAAAAAAAUUACAAAUUAAAGUUUCGGGUAUAGGUCUGAAUAUUUUAUACCUAUACCCGAUUUGGACCCGACCCAAAUCCAACUUUUAAAUGGGUAGGGUUCAGAAUAAUUUUCAAAUCUAGACCCGGAUCCGGACUCGAUGAAAUAUCUGAUAGUAAAUAAAAAGGUUUUGAACUUUGAAGUUGAAGAAUCAAUUUUAAUAGAACUUAUAGAUGAAGGGUCUCUAAGUAUUUUCAUUCUAGAGAAACAUUGAAAUCCUAGCCGCUCUUUUACUCUUUUUGUUUCUAAUCUUUUUACUCUUUAUUUUUUUUAUUUCAUUUCCGUCUAAGAAUUUUUUAUGAAACAAUAUUUCCAUCGUCGUCAUCAUCAGCGAUAUUAAUUCUGUACAGGCGUGACACAAGUGAGUUUUUCCCAAAUCCCUUCUCCAAUUAUAGUCGACAACCUUGUUUUUUUUAAUGGAUAUUCUAUUUAGUAAAUUUUCUGAUUUCUCUUUUUUUUUUUUGAAUGUUAGUAUAUAAUAUUAGUAAUUAUUACAACUUAUAUAUUUUUUUAUCUAUAAUAUGAUAUCAUAAUUUUUUUAUUUUUAUGUGUUUACAUAUGAAAUUGGUUUGAAUUUUAUAUUUUUUUAAUCAGUCAAUAUAAUAGCUGAAACAAACCUUGUCCAGACAAUUUAAUAAAGUAUAUAAAAUAAUAUAUAUAUACAGAUAUUUGUAUCUGAUUUAGACCUGACCCGUACCCGAUAUUGAAUGGGUAGUAUACGGAUAGUCACUAUCCAAACCUGCUCAAAUAGACCUGAUGGUUAUAUUAGUAACUUAAGUAUUCAGACCCGGACUCGACUCGAAGUUAAAUGGUUAGGGUUUUUUUUUUUUUCUAACCAUUUUCUUUUACAGUAUAUCAACUAUCCAGAACCGACCCGGUCCACGGACUUCUUUAUUCAAACUAUUAUUUUUUAUAUUUUGACUCGGGCUUCCUGAAUUGUUAUAAUUAGGUUUCAUAAUUUUGGUUAUCUGAUUUGUCAUAUAUUUUUAUUUAAAUAUUUCUAUUUCAAAACAUUAAAUUCUCUAGAGGGUUUUGUUAAAGCUAAAUUAUACUUUGUUUUCCAAGCUAUAGUUUUUUAUAAUUUUGAUUCAAAAUUUCUAAAUUAUUAUAAUUAAGUUUUAAAAUUUCGUUAUCUAAUUUAUUGUAUAUUUCGAGUGCGUCUGGUAUGCUUAUGGAAGCACGGAGCGCUCCGUGCUUCCACUUUGUUUUCAAUGUUCGGACUUUCGAAUCGACGAUCGGCUCCGUUGGACUUUAUCUAGAGUAUUUGAAGUAUCUAGAAAAUAAAUUUUGCGAUUUUUCGAUAUCAUUUGCCUAGUGAUCGAAGUGGCUCAAAAUCAACGGCUGAAAAUAAAAUCUUACAAAAUAUGAUGAUAUGAUAUUAAAAUUUUAGAUCAAAGUUAUUGAUCUUGUUUUAUAUGGUAUAAAGAAUUUUCUAUCAAAAUUUCAUGCAAUUUGGAUAUUUCUACACUGUUGAACUUGCAACCGGCUCACCACGGCCAUUAAAAUUAUUGAUUUUGAGCCCUUCGAUCACUAGGCAAAUGAUAUCGAAAAAUCACAAAAUUUAUUUUCUAGGUACUUCAAAUACUCUAGAUCAACUCUAAUGGAGCCGAUCGUCGAUCCGAAAGUCCGAACAUCGAAAACAAAGUGGAAGCACGGAGAGCUCCGUGCUUCCAUAAGCAUACCAGCCUACUCGUAUAUUUCUAUUUCAAAAAUUAUUUUGUGGUGGAGCAAGAAUCAUGAUGAUGGGUUUUUUUAGUAAAUAAUGAGACAUGUGAAAUUUUGGUUCUCAAAUUUUAAUUUGUUAAAUUUUUUUAUUUGAACUUUUUUAAUUGUUAUAUCAAUCACAAUCCAAUUUGUAGGUCGUAAGCGCCAACCAAUUAUCCCAAAAGCACAUACUAAUGGAAAGGGUGUACCCAUCGCACUGAAGGGCUCAACCACAAUGUUCACGGAUUUUGACCUGACACAACCAACCUAAAUGUUAGGUCUAUUGUUGGGCCUCUUACCAUUAGGUCUAUUGUUGGGCCUCUUGCCAUCAGGUCUUUUGUGGACCGCAGCAAUUAACUUAUUAGUUUCAUGCAACUCAACUUAUUAGUUUCGCAGGCUUUUUGUCAUAGGGCAGGAAGUUUGAUUUAUUUCAGCCCAAUAAUAAAUAACCAACAAUCCCCACCCCAAUAUCUGCACCGUUAAUGUAGUAUGUGGGAAUCGAACUUGCGCUGCAGGCUCUGAUACUACUUGUUGAUCGUAAACGCUAAUCAACUAUUCCAAAAGCACGUGCAAAUAGUAAGGGCGAACUCAUCGCACUCAAGGACUCAACCACAGCGCUCACGAAUUUCGACCUGACUCAACCCACCUGAACGUUAAGUCUAUUGUUGGACCUUUCGCCAUUAGGUCACUUGUGGACCGCAGUCCCACUCAACUUAUUAGGCUCACCCAACUCAGUUUAUUAGUUUUCUAGACCUAUUGUUACAAAACAGCAAGUUGGACAUAUUUUAGCCGAAUAAUAAAUAGCCAACACAAUUUAGCUAAUCAAAUAUUAAUAUGUCACUAAUAUGUGAAGCUUAUUUUGGUUAAAUUAGUCUUUUGGUCCAUAAGUUUUGAUGAGCAUGACAUCUUAGUUCUCAAACUUUAGUUUGUCAUACUUUUUUAUUCGAGCUUUCUAAAUUAUUACAAUCAGUCUCUACACCUCGAUUUAGUUGACUAAAUAUUAAUGUAUCGUAAAUAUGAAGGAGAUAUAAUAUUAUCGUGAUUGAUAAUACGACAAUAAUUAAAAUGCUAUAUCAUUUUUACAUCAGUGACACAUUAAUAUUUUUUGUUCUAGCAAUUUAUAAAGUAUGAAUAAAAAAAUUAUUAUAAAUUAAAGUUUAAAAACAAAAGUAUCACACGUUUUAUAGUUUUUAUCACUAAUAUUUUUAUUUCUGUUUAAAAAAUUGUUUUAUGUAGAGGAAUGGCAAAGAAUUCUUUUCCCCCAGUAGUUUUGUUAAUUAGUUAUCUGAUUUGUAAGGUUUUUUUUUUUUUUUUUUCACCAGUAUUUUUAUUAGAACAAUAGUGUUAUAGAUCUAAAAGUAGAUGUAAAUUUUAUACCUUCUCCAUCUAAAAGUUUAUCUUUUGUGGUAGUUUUAUCUCGCCUUUUUCAUUUCAUAAGAAGUGUAGUUAGAUAAAGAUUUUUAGUUUUUUUCCCUAAUUUUUUUGUUAUUUGGUUUAUCAUAUAUUCCUGUUCAAAAAAGUUGUUUCAUUAGUUCUAAAGAGAGAAAUAAUUUGGCCUUUUCAGUAUUAUUUUGAAAAAAAAAAAAAAGAAUUUUGGUGCUCAGGGUUGGACUGUUGGAGCCCCGGGCUCAAUCCUCACGGCAUUGGGGCCUAUCUACACAAUGUGCAUGUGCAAAGAGAGCCCAUUAUCACGAACCUUAGACUUCGUUUGGUUAGAGUACAAAUAAGAAAUGCUUAUUUUAGAGAUAGAUACAAGUUCAGAUAUAAACAAGAGCUAUAUCAAUUUUGCAUUUGAAUGAAAAAUAGGUUGUUUUCGAUAAUAAGAAAAUUAGUAUUUGGAUGAAUAAGAUGAAAUAAGAAAAAUAGUGGGCAGUUGUAAAUAAAAAAUGAUGAUAUUACUUCUCUCAUUAAAUUUAAAUUUAAAUUUUUAAAUUUCAUACUUAAAUUUUUAAUUUUCAAUUUUCAAUUCUAAAUUUUAAAAUUUAAAAUUCAAAUUUAAAAUAUAAAAUUUAAAAUCUCAAGUUGUAAAUUUUAAAAUUCAAAAUUUAAAUUUUAAAUUUUAAAAUUUAAAUCAAAUGUAAAUUUAAAAAAUAUAAAAUAUCAAAUUUUAAAUUUAAAAAUUUAUGGUGUAUAAAAUAUUAGUACACAUUAGGUGUAAGUAAAGAUUUUUUCUCUUUCUCUUGGAAUUAUAAAUAUACUCUAUUAAGCAUUCUCUAUACCGGAUGUAUAUGAGAAUAUACACCACAUACUUCAAACAUUUAAUAGAGAUUGUAAAAUUUAAUUUAGUAAAUAUAUUGAAAUUAUUAGACUUUGUAAUUUAGAUAUAUUUAAUUAAGUUUCGAUAUUAGAAAUUAGUUUUUUAAUAUAUAAGUUGUGGUGUAUGGUGUGUUAAUAUACACCAAGUACAUAUAAUAAUUUCUUAUUUCUCCAAUCAAUAUUAACUAGAUAAGAAUAACAUCAUAUAUUUGCAAUUUAGAAUUAAGUCUCCAAUUUUAACUUUUUAAUUAAAAAUAUAUUUAUAGAAUAGCUACUAAAAUUACUAAGUUUGAUUGAAUUUUUACAUGAAUUUAUUAGAAUACUUUAACUCUACAAAUACUGAAAAUUAAAAAGUAUUAAUAAAAAAAAAUAGAUUUACAAUGUAUAGAAGGCUAUAUGAAUUUUUUAAAAUUUUAUCAUAUUUUUCAAUUUUAAAAUUUUAAUAAAUAUAUAUUAAUUGACUGAAAUACUAUCGAUCCGUCGGAAAGCGCGGGCCCCUGAACUUAUAUUGAAGACUCUAGAAACGAAUAUUCUAAGCAGUAACAACGACUCCUCUAGUGUGCGUCAUCACCGGUCCUCGUGAAAGAGAUGCAAAUUAGUAGUAUUCAAACAACCAAUGCUGGUCUACUUUCAUAUAUAUUAAUUGACUGAAAUACUAUCGAUCCAUCACAAAGCGCGGGCCCCUGAACUGAAGACUCCAGAAACGAAUAUUCUAAGCAGUAAUAACGACUCCUCUAGUGUGGGUCAUCACCGGUCCUCGUGAAAGAGAUGCAAAUUAGUAGUAUCCGAACAACCAAUGCUGGUCUAUUUUCAUUUUGUUCCAUUUUGCCAUUCCGUAUUGGAGUAGCUGUAAAUUGACAACGAACUUGUACCAACCGUAGCUGAAAUAGUGCACCAUUGAAGCUCCAUUUGGAGCUAAAGGUGUGUUUGGUUCCACGUAAAACUGUGAAAAAAAAAUUUUCGAUAGAAAAUUUUUUUUCAUAUAUUAAAUAGAUGAAAAACUAUUUAUUAUUUUUUAUUAUAUAUUAUUAAUAUAUAAUAAUUAAUAUAUUUUAUAUAUUAUUAUAAUUUUUAUAUAUAGAUUAAAUAUGUUUAAAAUUAUAAUAAAUAUGUUACAUCAUAUAUAAUAUAUUUAGAAAUAUUAAUAAAUAAUUACAAAUUUAUAAAUAAAAUAUUAUAUAUAUAAAAUAAAUAUAUAUAUUUAUAAAUAUGUAUAAUAAUUUUUUUUUCACAACGGUUUUUUGGUUGAAAGAAAAAAAAAAUAGAUAAAAAACUAUUUAAUAUAUUUUUAAUUAUAUAUAUUAUUAAUAUAUAAUAAUUAAUAUAUUAUAUAUAUUAUUGUUAUAAGUUUUAUAUAUAAAUUAAAUAUAUUUAAAAUUAUAAUGAACAUAUUACAUCAUAUAUAUAUAUAUAUAUAUAUAUAUAUAUAUAUAUAUAUAUAUAUAUAUAUAUAUAUAUAUAUAUAUAUAUUAUAGAUACAAGACAACUAUAAGAAGUAAGUACGUGUAUAUGGCAUGCCAACGACUGCAUAGACAUAUAGGUGGCAGACAUAUGCCGUCAAUGGGACAAUCAGUCCAAAAUACCCAAUCUCGAAACCAUGCUCAUCCGGUUUGGUCAAGCACCUGCAACCUCAAGCCAAGUGCCCUGGAGUCCGCACCGCAACACUCCCGACAGUACCCUGCCCAAUUAGCUCUACAUAUGCAUAUAACCCCUUCUAGGGCUCACGGGUUGUCACCGAUUUCUAACCACUUUUUCGGAAAAGAACAUCCUUGCGCGUGGAUCAGACCGCCAGUCGUCGUGAAUGCGACGAGUUAAUCGGGCGAUCAAUGGCAAUAUGGUCAAUGAUCAACCGUCCGGCAACCAUGCCGACAAUCCUGCCCCCCAGGGCCUAAUCGAGCAUAGGUCAUCCCUUCCAAGAACCGCCCUCGUCACUAGGAUGGACAGACCAUCGACAUCCUCUCAAACAUAUCAAAAUACUGACUAAUCAUCAACUGGGAGAUGGAACAAACUCACAAUCUCUUAUACCACAAGCAUUGAUAGAUACAUGAUGCAAAUGAGUCAACUACUGAUAUUAUGCCAAGAACGGUCAAACAAGUUAUUCUAUAUAUGGAUCUAGAACUACCGUCGCCCCAACAUAGUCCACAUACCUAGCCCUCAGUGUACAACGCGACCUCGAAAGGUCAGUCAACAAACAAGAGUCAAGAGACAAACCGACUAUAAUACGCACGACCUAUAAGAUACAAGAACAAAUCAACAUAACUCACCGCUUUCACAUAAAAUCACGAAAUACCAGAGCAUCUACUCUAAACAUCGAUACAGAUAAUGAGAAUACAUAAGUAACCGCAAUAAAGAAAUAUGGUAUAACUAACUCGUACUCCUAAUCAUUUGAUAUAUAAGAGAAACAACCGAGUAGAGUAGUAACUGAACAAACAUGGUGCUAGGCUCAACACUAUAUUAUCAACAGAUAUAUAUAUAUAUGCUAGAUAAUAACAAAAGCAAAGGUAAGAAACCCAUCACUCGGAGGCGUGCACCACUCGUACCGACGUCGAUCGAAGUACCCACCUGUUACCAACCUGUCGCGCCCUGUCUGCCUGACUCAAAAAGAACGUCAACAGACCUAAGAGUCCACUGGGUUAAGUGUCUAACCCACAACUAAGAAACCCUAACAGCAUAACUCCUCACAACAACCACUGAAUUACACAACCCACAGACAAUUCACGGAAAAUCGUUGUCCCAAAAACCGAUUACCGAACAAACUGAAAUCCGAGGAAAAAACGAAACCGCCCCACAAGAAAAACGCCGCACCACCAGACUCUGUCGGGACGCACCUGAAUUGUCUCGAAAACCACCGCACCAUAUACGAUCACCUGCUGCCCCAAAACAUUCAAUUUGAUGUUUUCAGCAAACACAAGAUAAACACGCACUACACAAUUAUCGUCGAAUAAUUGUACGAAUCCGGUCCCGAAAGUGUCUAUUUCGACCACCCGGAACCGAACCAUCCCCGCCUCCAACGUCGUCAUUCUAACUCCUCGAAAUGACGCGAGUCGAUCAACCAACAAGCUCACACUACACCUAUACGCUCCACAAGCCACCCGUGAACCUAAUUUCCCGAACCCGAAACCGCCAGCGUUCCGCGCGAUUCGCCGAGGACGCAUCCGAGCGAAAUAUACUUGUACGAUCUCCGGCACUAGGGCUUUCGGGGACCUUGACAAUCAGUCAGAGGGACUCACCCACAACACACUUACUACCAACUGCCCACAAUUAGCACACCAAGCCGCCGCCACCAAUUGGCACACAAAGUACUAUAGUGUUACCAUAAAGAAUCAUCAUUCUCUAAUGUAACAUCGGCGCGACUCACUAUGACUCGUUCUCACAGACUGAGGACUUUCUAAAUUUCCGCCAAGAACACGUACUGACAGGAUCUCGACGUGCCCGGAGCCGUUGCUCAAGGUCUAGACGCGCAACAGGUCACAGGGUGGAAGCCGGCGAGUAACGCCGAAGUUCUGGCAAACAGUGCGACAGUCGAGGAAGCAUCCGCGCCAAACAGGGCUAAAACCGACACUGUUGACUGCCAAGUGCAGGUGAGUCACCUGUGAUCAGCACUGACCAAACGAUUCACCGCGUGCUCCACCUCCGAGGCAUCAGGGACCAAGCCUCGGAUCGCCGGAUAAGCAGUGCAAAGCCAAACAGCAGCGCAAACAAGCUCUAUACGGGUCGCAAACGCCGAAAACAGCGGAACCGAUAAGUCGCACACGGCAGAAACUAAGGUGACGCACGAUGGGAGUUCAGUAAAUCUUGGGGCGGUACGGUGCGAGAUAAAAGCGUGCUCACUAUGCCGGUAGGAGAACGCGGAGAGACCUCUAGAGAGAGAUAAGGCCUAACAGAACAAUAGACCAUCCAAACUAAGCGUCCUAUUUCGAGCUUGGCCGGAUUUCAAGUCUUGUCGUCGCGGCCGCCUUCCGCGGCACGGCGGCGCGCGCGGAAGCCAGGGAUGGGUGACCCGGGGGAGGUGAGGAUAGUGGAAGGAUUCAACGAUCGCUAGAGAGUUACCAGUGCUCAAACGGUUGUCUCGAGGUUGAACGGGACGGUGGCGGCGGCGGCGCUCGCGGAGCAUACUUUAAGUCUAGGACACAAGAGAUCGGAGGCGUGCGAGUUCCCAAAGCGUGAGGCGGCGGCGCAUAUCGGCGCCGCGGAGCGGAGAGACCUCCGGGACGGCGGCUGAGGGUUGAUGGACGGCCGAGAAGGGUAGCUAGGGACCGGCGUCAGUUGGGCGGAGGACGCUGGCUGGGGCGCGCCGGGGGCUGGAGUAUCGAGGGCCAAGUUCUGGUGCAAACUAGAAGCAGGCGGCCGCCAGGGGCGUUGCAGCGCAAGACGGCGCGUCGCAGCGGCGCAGGGCGGCGGGAAGGACGCCGAGGGGCUUGGAAAGUCGGCCGGGGUGUCACGAUGGCGGCGGUGCGGAGAAAAGGCCGCCAGGCUUGCCUCGGCCUGCUCGCCUGGCGGCUGGCUGCUGCUGGAGCGGCACCGGCGGCGCUCCGCGGCUCAGGGCGCGGCGCCGCUGUGCUGAGGUCGAGGGAACGGGUGAUAACGCGCCAAGGGAGGAGUUUUGAGCCUCCCCUUGCUCGGGUCCAAGCCAGCUGGAGAAGUGAAGGUGGCAACAAGAAAGGGAGAGGGAACAAGAAAAAGGGCUGUGGUGGUGGUGCUGCCGCAGAUCCAGCUCGUGCGGCGGCCGGAGCUCGUGACGGCUAGGUCAGAGGAGGCAAGAACGUCGGACUANNNNNNNNNNNNNNNNNNNNNNNNNGGGUGCGGUUAGGGUUAACUAGGGAUGAUCUAGGGCUCGGAUCCCAAGAAAACCCUAGAAAACAAUAUAAGUAAGGCGCAAAAUUGCAAGAAAGUCCACCUAGACUUACUAUUUCAAGCUAAAUCCUUCCCAGCCUGAGUAAAAUGCGUGAAUACCCCUCCACGUGCGAUCUCACACAAAACGGUACAUAAAAUAUCGCGACUUUCGCAAAAAUACCAAUUUGCCCUCACCGAUCUCUCCUCGAUCAACGUGCGAUCUCCGCAGAUCCGUCCGUCGAAUUUGCGAACGGAUCACACCAGUGCGAUCAGCACCUCGGAGACAACAAAGCUACGAUUUCGUUUCACCUCAAACGGUCACGGAUUUGCGACGAACUCCACUCUCUCUCCAAAAGGCCAAAAAUCAAGCACAAUUACAUAAAAAACACGUUUUAUUGGAUUUUCUCGAAAUCCGUGCGUCAAACUCAAAAUCCGUCAGCGCCAUUAGUUCUAGAACAGCUGAACCGGUCGAAACGAGCUAUUGGACUGCUAUGAACGGAGUCCGAUACGCACCAGAAGCCAACUCUACUCCGUGGCUUCUCCGGAAAACCGGAGUUACUAUUCACUUAAGUGAAAACUAAAAAUCGCGUAUCUUCUCCAUUUUAGCUUAUUUUCUCCUGAAACUUGACGAGUGCUUAUGUAAUUAAAUUACACACAUAAACAUCAUCAACAGAGAGUUUAGUUGCACUGUAAAAAAUCUUAGUCCGUACACCCCAUUUUUCCAGGUGACUCGAGCGAGGAGUUGAUUCUUGGUGCGAUGGGAGGACGUACUAGCUAGACUGCAGCAGCGACCAUCACCCUAGUUAUGUUUCAUUUCCACAUUAGUAAUUUUAAAUAAUUAAAUGGUUCAGUUAGAUGAUCACUAUAAAUGUUUCAAUAUUUGUGAACUGGUUUGAGUUGAUGUUUUUCUAUGAUACAUGCGAUUGGAGAUUUAUGAAUGUAUAGUUUUGGAUUUACGUAUUUAUACAUCGUGGUUUUCUACCCCUCGAGGUAGUUGGUUUUCAAAAUGGAGUUUUCGAGUGGGAAACAGUUUUAAAAGGUUUCCAAAUGAUUUUAUGGAGGAUUAUAUAGAGUUUAAAAACAAAGCUUCUGGAUGGGAAGUACUUUUAAAUAGGAUGAGUAUUGUACUGUGCAUCGCAUCAUCCAGUGCCUAAGGAGUGCUUAGAGGCAUGCAUCAUCUCUAAGGAUCGUUAGCUGUAUGGAAAUGCAUCACAUGGAUUGUUUGUGGAUUGGUGAAUGUAAGUUGUUGUUGUGAUCCUGAUAUUGUUGUUGGUAUGCUGUGCAAAUACAAAGGAGACUCUGUCCGUAUGGUCAGAGGAAUUUUGUAUUUGUGGUAGGUCUGUACGUCACGUGGGCCGGGCUGAAUUCAAAAAAAAAAAUGGCACGUUUUUCGCAAUUCGGAUUUUAAAAUUGUAUUCAUUAUAAAAAGGCUUUUAAAAUCGGCCCCGGGGCGUGACAUCGUAGGUCCAGCUGACUUCUCGUGCGUCUAGGAUUCAAACACGAUUGUGAUAGGCGGGUACUUCGAUCCGAAGUCGGUAAAGUGGAGCCUACUCAGUGAUCUCUAUUUUUGUUAUCUUCUUUCGUUAUUUGAUAUUUAUUGAGCAUUCUUACACCACUUGACUUCUUUCGUUAUUCCUAUUUCAUAUGGUCAUGAUUUAAUAGUAGAGUAAUGUUUCUAAUGAUUGAGUCAUACAUGUGUGAUUUGACAUUAGUUGACUUCAUAGUCGGUGGCACUCGUAUUCAUACAUGCGGUGAUUUGACAUUAGUUGACUUCAUAGUCGGUGACACUCGUAUUCAUACAUGCUGUGAUUUAACAUUAGUUGACUUCAUAGUCGGUGACACUCGUAUUCAUACAUACUGUGAUUUGACAUUAGUCGACUUCAUAGUCGGUGGCACUCGUAUACAUACAUACUGUGAUUUGACAUUAGUUGACUUCAUAGUUAGUAACACUCGUAUUCAUACAUGGUAUGAUUUGACAUUAGUUGACUUCGUGGUCGGUGAUAUUGUCCUAUCCUUGAGAUAGAGGUUGACCUAGUUGGUCAGUUACUCUUUGUUGGACUUUACCUCGGCUAUCCGCCGACAGUGGGUUAUUAAGCAUAUUGCAUCGAUCGCCACUGCUCAUAUGCAUUUCACAUACACCAGCGGUUUGAUCCACCGCGGGAAGGUAUUUUUUUCGAAAAAGUGGUCGUACAUCCGACCCGUGACCCAGGAGCUUAUGCUAGGAUUAUAUGCCUUUCAGACCCAGGAGCUUAUGCUAGGAUCAUAUGCCUUUAGACUCAGGAGCUUAUGCUAGGGUCAUAUACAAGUUAGAGCGGUAGUGGCAUAGCCUGAGGUCUUCGGACCGAUAUGGCGGCUUCUGGGUAUUUUUGGGACUAAUCGUCCGGUUGAUACAUACUUGUACUUUGUUCUGUAUUACAAUAGCGGCUAGUUAUAUUCCUCUGUACUGUUGUUUACCCCCUGCAUCAUUGCUACUGUAGUUAUGAUAUCGAUGUAUGCAUUCUGUUCUACCUUACAGUAGUGGUAGUUAUAUGUUCUAUUACUGUUCUCUUUCCUUCCGGUAUUAUUGCUACUAUAUUUGUGAUAUCUGCUCAUAAUUUUGAUUAUCUCUUCUUGUACCGAUAGGGAUGUCAAUGGGUAUGGAUACCCGAAAUUUUAUCCGAACCCGAACCCGAAUGAAACGGAUAUAUCUGAUGGAUAUGGAUAUGGUUCGGAUAUGGAUAUAAAAAAUAGAAACCCGACGGAUAUGGAUUCAGAUAUGGAUUUUGAUUGUACCCGACCCGAAAACGAAACCGGCCCGAACCCGACCCGAACCCGAAUUUAUUUUGUAUUAUAUAUAAUAUAUAUAUAUAAAAUUUGAUGUUAUAUUUGAAUUUGUAUUUUAAAAAUUUAGAUUUAAUAUAAUAUAUUUUGAAAUAUUGAAAAAAGAAAUAAUUGUUUCGGGUUCAAAUUUUCGGGUUUGGGUUCGGGUUCGGGUUUCGGAUUUUUGGUCGGGUUUGGGUUUGGAUAUGGAUUUUUAAAAUCCGUCGGGUUCGGGUUCGGGUUCGGGUCUCNNNNNNNNNNNNNNNNNNNNNNNNNNNNNNNNNNNNNNNNNNNNNNNNNNNNNNNNNNNNNNNNNNNNNNNNNNNNNNNNNNNNNNNNNNNNNNNNNNNNNNNNNNNNNNNNNNNNNNNNNNNNNNNNNNNNNNNNNNNNNNNNNNNNNNNNNNNNNNNNNNNNNNNNNNNNNNNNNNNNNNNNNNNNNNNNNNNNNNNNNNNNNNNNNNNNNNNNNNNNNNNNNNNNNNNNNNNNNNNNNNNNNNNNNNNNNNNNNNNNNNNNNNNNNNNNNNNNNNNNNNNNNNNNNNNNNNNNNNNNNNNNNNNNNNNNNNNNNNNNNNNNNNNNNNNNNNNNNNNNNNNNNNNNNNNNNNNNNNNNNNNNNNNNNNNNNNNNNNNNNNNNNNNNNNNNNNNNNNNNNNNNNNNNNNNNNNNNNNNNNNNNNNNNNNNNNNNNNNNNNNNNNNNNNNNNNNNNNNNNNNNNNNNNNNNNNNNNNNNNNNNNNNNNNNNNNNNNNNNNNNNNNNNNNNNNNNNNNNNNNNNNNNNNNNNNNNNNNNNNNNNNNNNNNNNNNNNNNNNNNNNNNNNNNNNNNNNNNNNNNNNNNNNNNNNNNNNNNNNNNNNNNNNNNNNNNNNNNNNNNNNNNNNNNNNNNNNNNNNNNNNNNNNNNNNNNNNNNNNNNNNNNNNNNNNNNNNNNNNNNNNNNNNNNNNNNNNNNNNNNNNNNNNNNNNNNNNNNNNNNNNNNNNNNNNNNNNNNNNNNNNNNNNNNNNNNNNNNNNNNNNNNNNNNNNNNNNNNNNNNNNNNNNNNNNNNNNNNNNNNNNNNNNNNNNNNNNNNNNNNNNNNNNNNNNNNNNNNNNNNNNNNNNNNNNNNNNNNNNNNNNNNNNNNNNNNNNNNNNNNNNNNNNNNNNNNNNNNNNNNNNNNNNNNNNNNNNNNNNNNNNNNNNNNNNNNNNNNNNNNNNNNNNNNNNNNNNNNNNNNNNNNNNNNNNNNNNNNNNNNNNNNNNNNNNNNNNNNNNNNNNNNNNNNNNNNNNNNNNNNNNNNNNNNNCUCAAUUAUAUAUAUAUAUAUAUAUAUAUAUAUAUAUAUAUAUAUAUAUAUAUAUAUAUAUAUAUAUAUAUAUAUAUAUAUAUAUAUAUUCGCGUACAUCAUACAUACCCUAACCCCCGCUCGCCCCUCUCCGCCUCCUCCUCCUUCUAUAUUUCCGUAAAAACCCCGUCGCCCCUCCCGGCUAGAUAGCCGUAGUAAAGGCCGGCUUCAACCUUCAUCAAGCGUUUACAUCGGCGACACCGCCCUCAGCGUCGCGCGUCUACUUCUUCUCGAGGUAACAACAAUCGCAAAUAUUAUUGAAAAAAAAUAUAUUUUGAAGGACUUAAAAGAUUAUGUUUCUUGGUAAUAUGUGAUUUACAUAUUUUUUACGCAUUUAGGGUGUUUUUGAUUUGAUGUAAAAGUGGUGGAAAAAAAUAUUUGAUAAAAAAAUAAUUUACGGAUCGUUUGAUUUUACAUAAAAUUUUUUUUCAUCAAAAUUAAUUUUACAUCAGAGUGUGCUCCGGCUUGGAGCACCCGGCGCAACGCGUACUCGUCGUGAGGGCGAAAAGCAAAAGAGUACGAUAAUUAAAGUACGCGAGGGCGAAAAGCAAAAGCCGCUGGUGUCGGAGCUCGUCUUUUGCAGCAAAAGAGUACGCUAAUUAAAGUACACGAGGGCGAAAAGUAAAAGUCGCUGCUGUCGCGAGCUAACCUUUGCUUANNNNNNNNNNNNNNNNNNNNNNNNNNNNNNNNNNNNNNNNNNNNNNNNNNNNNNNNNNNNNNNNNNNNNNNNNNNNNNNNNNNNNNNNNNNNNNNNNNNNNNNNNNNNNNNNNNNNNNNNNNNNNNNNNNNNNNNNNNNNNNNNNNNNNNNNNNNNNNNNNNNNNNNNNNNNNNNNNNNNNNNNNNNNNNNNNNNNNNNNNNNNNNNNNNNNNNNNNNNNNNNNNNNNNNNNNNNNNNNNNNNNNNNNNNNNNNNNNNNNNNNNNNNNNNNNNNNNNNNNNNNNNNNNNNNNNNNNNNNNNNNNNNNNNNNNNNNNNNNNNNNNNNNNNNNNNNNNNNNNNNNNNNNNNNNNNNNNNNNNNNNNNNNNNNNNNNNNNNNNNNNNNNNNNNNNNNNNNNNNNNNNNNNNNNNNNNNNNNNNNNNNNNNNNNNNNNNNAUUGGGCGCAUCUUAGAAAUCGCAAUCUAAAUGUUUUACUUUUUGUGGCGUAAAUUUAAUAGUUUGCCACUAUUUUAAUUUGAUAUGAAUUUCUAGAUAUUAAUUAUGGGAAAUUUUUUAAAAUGGCCGCAGAUUAUGGGUACUUUUAGUAGCUAAAUUUAAAUUUCGUCACUAAAAAAAGAAUGUAAUUUCUGUGGUGACCUAUUUCUCAAUAAAUGUACAAAAUGUUAGUGGCGGACUGUAAGUUUGGUCAUUAAAAAUACUCUUUAUUUUAGUGGCUUUUUAUUUUCCUAUAAAUGUUUCGUGUAUUAGUGGCAAAUUUAUAUUUUGCUACUAUUGUAUUUUAGUGUUAUUUUAUUCACAUUAUUUGUAGAAGUUUUUAAAAAUAGCUAUAAAAUAUAUUUAAUUAUAGUAGCAAUAGUUUAAUUUUGCCACUAAAAUAUGUCCAUUACAUUAGCGGCCAUAUUUAAAAAUGCCGCAAAUUAUGGGUACUUUCAGUGGCCAAAUUUAAAUUCUAUCACUGAAAAGAAAAUGUAAUUUCUAAAUGUAGGGAAUGUUAGUGGCAGACUGUAGGUUUGGCUAUUAAAAGUACUCUUUAUUUUAGUGGCUUUUUAUUUUCCUAUAAAUGUUUCGUGUAUUAGUGGCAAAGUUUAUAUUUUGCUACUAUUGUAUUCUAGUGUUAUUUUAUGCAUAGUAUUUGUAGAAGUUUUUAAAAAUAGUAGUAAAAUAUAUUUAAUUAUAGUAGCAAUAGUUUAAUAUUGCCACUAAAAUAUGUCAGUUACAUUAGUGGCCAUGCAUGUGGCAAUAAAUUUUGAUUAUAUUUGUGAUAGUAGUUACUUUUAGCUGAUAAAAGCGGUCUUGAUUUAAAUAGCAUUUAAAUUUUCUGUAAAGUAUAAGAAUAAUAGUAGCAAUUUUUUGUUUUGCCAUUAAUACUUAGAGUAGAAUAAAUUUUUGUUUCAAAAAUAUCUCAAAUAUUUUUUAUUUGAAAUUAAAUUACAUUUUUUAACUUUAACUUUCAGUUAAAAUAUAAGUUGAAAUUUAGAAAUUAACUUUUUAGUUUUAGAUUCUAAUUUGAACUUAAAUAAAAAAUAAAAAAUUUUAAUUUAAAAUUUAUUGUUUAGUAUUAAAUAAUAAAUUUAUAUAGAUUUUAAAUUAAAUUUUAUAGAUUAAAAUUGAAAUUUAAAUUGUAAUUUCAAGUACAAAUUUGAAUCAAAUAAAAAAUUAAUUUUAUCUUUUGAAUAGUUCAUUCAGUUUCAAAUUUUAAUUUUUUAAAAAAUUAUAUAUUACGUAGAAAUUUCUAAUUAAGAUGAUAAUAAAAAUCAAAUAUAGUAAAUAUUAGGGGUGAAAGUGCAUUUACUCAAAAGAAAAUCCUAACCUCUCUCGGCGUACCUGCGGAAUAAACUUAAUCUAGAGUCCAAUAGAUACGAGCUAGAUUCUAAUUAAUCAUAUAUAUCUAGAGUCCAAUAUUGGCGUAAGUGAUACGUACCCUAAUUAAUCAUGGAUACGGCCCACGCCUUUUUAUCUAUUAAUAGAUACGAGCUAGAUUCUAAUUAAUCAUAUAUAUAUAUAUAUAUAUAUAUAUAUAUAUAUAUAUAUAUAUAUAUAUAUAUAUAUAUAUAUAUGAAUAAUUAUUUAUUAAUAUUCUUAAAUUUAUGACUUUUAUAUAUUACAUAUGUAAUAUGUUUAUUUUAAUUUUAGAUAUAUUUAAUUUAUAAAUAGAAAUUAUAAUAAUAAUUAUAUAUAUAGAAUAGUAAUUUUUAUAUAUUAAUAAUCUAUUUAAUAAAAAAAUAUUAAAUAGUUUUUCAUCUAUUUUUUUCAUUAUAACCAAACAACUGUCAUGAAAAAUUUCCACCGAAAUUUUUUUUUCCGCAAUUUUACGUGGAACCAAACACACCCUUAGCAUCUUUGAUAUUAUUUUCUCAAGUAUCAUUUUAUAUUCUUGUUAUUUUGUUUUUCAUUUUUGUGCAAAAAUAAAUUUUAGAAUGUGGAUUGGAAAAAAAAAAAAAAAUUUGUCACCAUUUUACUAUUUCAGUUGAUACUCAACUUCUUUGGUUGGGCUAUUUUGAGUCAACAAAAUGCAUGUCCUAGUCGACACUCCUCAUUUGCACUCCUCAUUUGCAAAGGAAUUUUUUUUAAUUAUUUUUGUGGCUCAAAAUAUUUUUUCUAUAUCCACGACAAUCAGAAAUUUUUAGCUUAUUAUUUUUUUCAAAAUAAACAAGUGAUUUCAAAAGUAGGACUAAACAAGCACAAAGAUAAUCAUAUAAUCAAUUUUGAAUUUUGAAUUUUGACAUUUAAGACUUGAAAUUAAAAAUUAAAAUUAAUAUUUAAAUUUAAAUUUAAUAUUUAAAUCUAAAUUUUAAAUUUUAAAAAUUUUAAUUUUUAAUAAUUCAAAUUUAAAUAAAAAAUAUAUAAUUUAAAAUUGAAAUAUGAAUUUAAAUUAAAAUUUGAAUCUAAAAUUUAAAUAAAAAUUUAAAAUUUGAGUCCAAAAUUAGAAUCAAAUUUCAUAAAGCAAAUUUUACGUGAUUUUGAUUUUAGGCCUGAAAACUAAAAAAUUAAAUCUAAAAAUCAGAAUCAAAUUUUGAAAAUAAGGUUGCCAAAUGCUCUAUAAAUUUAGAAAAUAAUAUAAAGUAAUAAAAUUAAAUAAUCCUAAUAAGACACAUUUCUACUGUUAUAAAGUUUGGCUUUAUUAUUUUAUUAGAUUGCAUAUACUCCCCUUUAUUAAUAGUGCAUGCGGAUAUUUUUAAUAUCCAGAUAUAUUGCAGAUAUAUAUAUAUAUCACGAUGGAUAAAAGUUGGAUGGGUAUUGAAAAUAGACAACAUCCGAAUUACAGAACAGGAGUGAAUGGUUUUCUUGACUUCGCAUUUGCACAUGCAGCGAGAGGAGAUAAAAUUCGAUGUCCCUGUUAUAAAUGUGUCAAUGGUGCUUUUCAUACUCGAGAGGUUGUAUUCGGUCAUCUUAUCUUGCAUGGGAUAUUAAAAGAUUAUAAAUGGUGGUCGAGUCAUGGGGAACAAUGUCCAAAUCAGAGUAGUGAAAGUAGCGACAGUAAUAAUGAAGAACAACAUAAGGAGAGUAGUGAUGAUGAAAUGCAUGAACUUCUACAAGACUUGAACCCAAUUGAAGAUAUAAAUGACUCGACGCAUUCCAACUUUGAUGAACCUAAUGAGUCUGCAAAAAAAUUUUACCAAUUAUUGAUGGACGCAAAGCAAGAAUUGUAUCCCGGAUGUAAAGAGUUUUCCAAACUAGAGUAUAUUGUAAAUCUAUUACAACUUAAAUGUCUUCAUGGUUGGAGUGACAAAUCAUUUACUGCGUUACUUCAACUGAAAAAAAGAGCACUUCCAGCUGGUGAAACACUUCCAAAAAAUUAUUAUGAAGCGAAAAAAUAUAUAAGGGAUCUAGGUUUGGAUUAUAUAAAAAUUGAUGCAUGUAAAAAUGAUUGUAUUCUCUAUUGGAAAGAAUACGAGAAAUAUGAUAAUUGUCCAGUGUGUGAAGCUUCUAGGUGGAAACAUGGUGAUGAUAAUCAAAAUAACAUUCGUGGCCGUAGAAUAAAGAAUGCAAAAAAGAUCUCACAAAAAUCUUUGCGCUAUUUUCCUCUCACGCCAAGAUUGCAAAGAUUAUAUAUGUCAUCGAAGACUGUUUCUCACAUGAGAUGGCAUAAAGAGAAACUAUGUGAUGAUGGGCUAUUAAGACAUCCUGCUGAUUCUUUAGCAUGGAAGUCGUUUGAUGAAUUACAUCCAUCCUUUGCUUUUGAUCCACGUAAUGUCAGGUUAGGUUUAGCAAGUGAUGGCUUUAAUCCCUUUGGAAAUAUGAGUACUUCCUAUAGUAUAUGGCCAGUUGUCUUAGUUGUAUACAAUUUGCCACCAUGGAUGUGUAUGAAAAGUUCUUAUUUCAUAAUGUCAAUGCUUAUUCCGGGCCCAAAAGCACCAGGGAAUGAUAUUGAUGUAUACUUACAACCUCUAAUAGAUGAAUUAAAUGGAUUAUGGAGUGUGGGAGUUGAAACUUAUGAUGCAUUAAGUAAAUCCAAUUUUCAACUCUAUGCUUCAUUAUUGUGGACUAUAAAUGACUUUCCAGCAUAUGGCAAUUUAUCUGGUUGGAGCACUAAAGGAGCAUUAGCUUGUCCUAAUUGCAAUAAAGAUACUUGCUCUCUUCGAUUAAAGCAUGGGCGAAAAAUGUGUUAUAUGGGACAUCGACGCUUCUUAAAACGCGAUCAUAAAUGGCGUAGAGAUAAAAAGUCUUUUGAUGGAAAGAUAGAAACUCAACAAGCACCAAAAUAAUUAUCUGGUGAUGAGAUACUUGAACAGCUAAGCAAGAUUACAAAUGUGACAUUUGGCAAACUCACAGAAAAAAGAAAGCGGAGUGAAUCUACUUUAAUAUAUAAUUGGAAAAAAAAAAGUAUAUUUUUCCAAUUACCUUAUUGGAGAACUCUUCUAGUGCGCCAUAAUCUUGAUGUUAUGCACAUCGAAAAGAAUAUCUGUGACAAUAUUGUGGGCACGCUCUUUAAUAUUGAUGGAAAAACAAAAGAUAGUAUAAAUGCUCGACUUGACCUUAAGGAAAUGGGAGUGCGAUCUGAAUUACAUCCUUUAGAUAAUGAUGAUAGUUAUGUCAUUCCACAAGCAUGUUACACCUUAAGUUUGAAAGAAAAGCGAGAUGUAUGUGAAUGUUUACUUAACUUAAAAGUACCAGAUGGAUAUUCGUCCAACAUAUCUCGGUGUAUCAAUAAAAAGGAGGGAAAGCUAUUUGGAAUGAAAUCUCAUGAUUGUCAUGUCUUUAUCCAAGAUCAUUUAGCACCAACUUUUCGUGGCAUUUUACGAAAAGAGGUAUAUGAACCACUAGUAGAAUUAAGUGUAUUCUUUAAGGAGUUAUGUUCGAAAACACUACGAUCAGAUGUGUUAGAAAGAUUGGAGUAUAACAUUAUAAUUACACUUUGCAAGCUAGAAAGGAUAUUUCCACCUGCAUUCUUCGAUAAAUAGAAUAUUCUAAGAUUGCUUGGUGAUAGGUUCUUGCGUAAGUUGAAGUCUUAUGUCCGUAAUAAAGCACGUCCAGAAGGAUCUAUUGCAGAAGGCUAUAUUGCAGAGGAGUGUUUAACCUUUUGUUCUAGGUAUUUGAGUAGAGUCGAGACAAAAUUCAGUCGACCUGAGAGAAAUUUUGAGGGUAAUGAAGAUCAUAGAUCAGAGUUAUCCGUUUUUCGACGAAACGGGAGACCACUUAAUAAUGGAAAGGGAGUCUUCAAGCAACUAACUUAUGAAGAAUGGCAUCGUGCACAACUUUAUGUGUUAAAAAAUUGUGCUGAAGUUCAACCUUUUCUUGAGUAAGAUUACCUAUAAGUAUUUUUAUUUGUUUACUAAUUUUCUUUUUUAUUUGUUAGUUAUUUAUCAAAAUUGAUAAUUAUACUUUUUUGCUAAUUCACAUAGAGAACACCAAAGAGAACUGGAAAAAGAGGAUUGUACUAAUGUGUCAGAAAUACAGGAUACAACAUUUGUUAAAUGGUUUAAACGCCGAGUAAGUGAAUGUAUUAGAAUAUUAUAUAUUUAUUAGUAAUUAUUAUUAUUGUCUAACUAUUCUAUAUAUUUAUCUUGUAACAGGUUACAUACUUAUAUCACGAAAGUACUGAAAAAGUAAGCAAAGAACUUUUGAAUUUAGCUUAUGGUCCCAAUACAUUAGUUAAUCACUACGCUGGUUAUAUAGUUAACGGCUACAGGUUUCACACUCAUAAGCGUGAGGUUACGCGUCAAACUCAAAGUAGUGGUGUUGUGGUUAAGGGUGAUGAGCAAUCAGGGAAUAGAGAUUAUUAUGGAGUUUUGCAGGAUAUUAUUGAAUUAGAUUAUGAUGGCGGAAAUAAAAUAACAAUUUUUAAGUGUGACUGGUGGGAUACUUAUGAUGAGGGUAGGGGUUUCAAGAAGGAAGCCAAUGGAAUUACACUUAUUAAUUUUACUCGGCACUUGGCGGUCAAUGAGCCUUAUGUGUUAGCAUGGCAAGUGGAACAAGUUUAUUAUGUAGUAGAUAAUAAGAAUCCUAAUUGGCGACUCGUUAUCAAAACUAUACCUCGAAACUUUUAUAAUUUUCCUAUUACUGAUGAAGAGUCAGUUGACGACGAAGGACUUGAUUUAGAACACGUGGAUAUGGAAGUUAAUACAACCAAUUUAUUACCAGAAUAUAUUGCUAGUAGUGAUGAUGCCAUUAUUUCUUUGACGAGAAAUGAUGUUGACGGCAUUAUUUUUGAUAAGAACCAUGCAUUAUUCAAAGAAAUAAAUCAAGUUGGAGAAAAAAAUAAUUUAGUUAAUAAAGAGCUAGAGGAGGAUAAUGAAGGUGAAGAACAAAUGGAAGAAGAAGAAGAUGAGUAGGAUAUGCAUGAAUAAUUGGUAUGAUAUUGUGUGUGGUAUGUUAUUUUAUCUCUAAUUUUUAUUAUAUGUUUGCUUCUUUAUAAUUAUUUCUAAAAAAGCGAUUUGUAUUUAUAUGAAUUUAUUUAUAGGUAUCUUAUGAUGCAAUUGACAUAUUUAUUUUCUUAUAGAUAUAAUGGCAAGCAGAAUUAGAUCUGGAAGCAUUAGGACUAGAGGUGGAGCUCAACGAGCAAUUCCAACACCACCAACUGAAGAGAUUGGCGAGCAUGAACUGCCAAUGGAAUUGAAUGUGGCACAACCUCGGGAAGAGCAUCCUUCGAUAGAUUCACAUGAUGGACUCAAUAGGAGUAGUGCUGGUAUGGUUAAUUAUUUUGAGUAUAUUUAUAUUCUUGUAAGAUAUUGAUGAUAAUACUCUACUUUCUAAUCUCAUUCUUCUUGAUCUUAUACAAAUUGUUAAGUUUUCACAUUUAUUAUCUUGUGAAAUAACAAAUGUUACUUUUUAUGUU
RNAcentral lists this long non-coding RNA (91330 nucleotides) under Ananas comosus (pineapple). RNAcentral's name for it is "long non-coding RNA (ACOM_LNC012377)". The stretch from base 43520 to 43591 matches the Rfam family "tRNA". The record is from RNAcentral. Lineage: Eukaryota; Viridiplantae; Streptophyta; Magnoliopsida; Poales; Bromeliaceae.